GAAGGCAAAUAUUUCAUUCAUUGAUAGAAUCCAAGAUAUUUAAUGAGUAUACUUCCAUACAAAGUCAUCAAUUAUUUUCAUCAAAUGCAGAAUGACAUGUCAACCAUUGUGCUUUCACCCCACAAAUUUGCUAAUUUGAAGCACAAUGACAUCUUUUAAAUACACUCUAGCUAUGUUCAACUAUAUGUCUGUUAUGUAUAAGCUUUUCAUAAUUUCUUGUCAUUUAAAAACUUUUGUUGGUAUUGAACUCAAGACACCAAUGAAAACAUUUUGAGGCAGUUUGCAUACGUACAACAGAGCAAACUAUCACAAUUGAAGAAUACCUUUUACCCAAGAUGUGUGACAUAGAUACACUGCUGGCAUACAAGACUUUUCACAUUUUAGACAGCCAAAGUUUAAGUGCAAAAGUAGUAAACUGACCAUGAGUACCUAGUCUUUUAGAUUACAAAAACAGAGUUCUUUUUCUCCAAACAGAAAUAUCUUAAAACAAAGGAAAGAAAAUGGAGUAACAAUUUCACAACAAUCUUUUAAAGAAACAAUGACUUUGACAAUGAUUAUGGUUCCAAAAUAAUACCAAGCAUUAAAUUAACACAUAAAUGUUGAGAAAAAUACGAAGAGCAGAGAGAGAGAGAGAGAGAGAGAUCGUAAAUAAUACUUCAGCCAAGAAUAAUCUCAACUCUUACUCAAAUCACAAGCAGAUAAAGAAAAAUGAUAUCAACAUAUAUUCCUAUUAGAUUACAGUAACAUAUCAAUAAAACACCCAAAAAAAUCAAUAUAACAGCAAUACCAUAGCAAUACAAAAGCAAUACCACUACAAUACAAUUGCAAUAAAAGCACAAUACGAUUGCAAUAGAAAAUCAACAAUCCUUCCUCACUAUGAUAUAAUUAUAAGUUCAUUGAAAAUCCCAAUACCAAAUGCAAGAAUCAAUCGACAAAGAACAAACACAUUUGUUGUUUCAGACAAACAAAAUCAAUCCCAAUACUUCAUUUUCUACACAAAAUACAGACGAAAUCAAUCACAAUUCCAAUUUCAGUAAUCAAAUUCAAUUUAACAUGAAAACUUACAUAUUCUCAGCAAUUCAAUUUCUGGAGAAGCUGUUCUUGAAGAGGGCAGGUAAACCCAGACUUCAAAAUCCCCCAAAAUUAGACCAAAAUGCUCAAACAAUGGCCACCUAAUGCCAAGACAUGUUGUCAUAUUCAGAAAAGAUGAUUUUGUUUGGGUUUGUUUAGGUUGCAGAAGGGAUUCAAAGAGAGACGAAGUUGGGGUUUGGAUUUUGGUAGAGAAGAAAAUAGAGAGGAAGGGGAAGAAUUGGGUUUUGAGGGCAAAGCUGUGGGUUUUGUAGGUUAUUCUUGAUCUUCUUCUUUGUGAGAAGAGGCGUAGUUAGCUAGAUGGAGGGAGAGAGAGAGAGAGAGAGAGAGAGAACUAAAUUUCAGAAAAAGUGAUAUGUGUGCAAUAAGUGGACAAUAAAUAUAUAUUUAUAGGUAAUAGUUGCAAAGAAAUUGGGGAAGGGUGGUAUUUUCAGUUAAAAUUAUAAAAAGGGUGGCAUUUUGAGCUAUUUUCCAUAAAACUACCAUAAAAAGAAAGACUUCGUUAUAGUUAGCAAUAAAAUUAGUUGAAUGGAAAAUGGGUAGAAAUGGUCAGUUCAUUUUUCUUUCUUUCACAAUUUCCUCUAUUUUGUUGGUACAUUUCAGCUAGGGUUUUUUUAGGUUAAAGGGGGGAAGGGGGAGGGAGAUUUACUAAUCAGCCAAUAAGAAGAUGACACGUGGAAAAAGAAAUAUUCCUUAGGUCAAACUAAUUACCCUAAUUAAAUUUAAUUAGGAAAAUUAUCUUUGAUUUAAGAUAGGAAUAUCUCCCUAAAUCAAGGAACCAAUCUCUACCAAAUCUCUUGGAGUAAUUCCUAUUAUCUUUUUGGGGAAAAAUAAUCCUAACCAAAUAAGGAUUAUUCUCCCAAAACCCUAGCACACAAGGAGACUAUAAAUACAUAGCCACACAACACAUUUGAGGUAACGCUUUCUCACCCGAAAAAACCCUCUCUCUCUCUCUCCUUGCAGUCGGCCUCUCUCAUCUCUCUCUCCUAACACGGCCACAUGCCACCACACAUGGCUAAGGCCACCUUCGGCUCACCUUGUGAGAGAAAACUCCAUCCAUUUUAGCUAUUGCCGUAUUUUUUCUCAAAGAUCCAAUUGAACUAACUUAGGCAUCGGAGGGCCUUCACCCAACACCCCUUGGGUGUGAUAUAUUUACUCCUAUUUAUUUCGUAGGAAUCGAGGAAGAGAGAGAAUGAAGGUCGAGGAAUCAACCUGUGAAUAUUCUCCGUGAGGAAUUUUGCUCGAACACAUUGGUGCCUAGAGGUUUCAAACCUGACACCACUGAACUUAGGCCAAACAUACUUUUCCACUAUGGUAUGACCCUAGCACUACUACAAAAAGUGAAAAAGACGACCAGAAAACAACGACGGUCUAAGUGAAAACCGUCGUGGUUUAUAAAAAGACGACGGUUCUAAAAACACCGUCGUGUAAUACAACCUUAGACAACUAAAAAAUGGAGUUUCAAAUGGCUGUUCAAAAACAACGACGUACAUAAUUAAACAACCGACGUCUAUUUGAAACAGAUUUCCGCAGUGUAAAAUCAAUGCCAACAAAGAACGGCAGAAGUUAUGAAUCGACCGACGUAGAAAGUAAAGACGACGAUUUCAAUAAAAACUGCCGUUUUUACUCAUAAAAUAAGACGACGAGGUUUUCGUAUAAGACGCCGUAUAAUUACAAACAAAUCCACGGCUUUAAAAUACAAAAUAUCGCCGUAUUAAAUUAAUUUACAACGACGGAAAAUAUAAAUAUAUCGACGUCAUUCUCGUAUAGUUCUACUACGUUAUCUUUAAAUCGUACAAUAAAAUUUAUCGUCGUAUUUAUUCAUUUUAUACGUCGUACCUUUAAUUUUAACGGUCGUCUUAAUAAGAAUUUUUGUUAACAAUUUUUUUCUUUGAUUUUCUUAUCCUACGUCGGUAGAUCUACUUAAUGACAAGAAUUGAAAUAACCACGACGGUUUAUAUAGAACACCGCCGACAUAAUCAGUUUUGUCUGAGAUCCCAAGGGUUACGAAAUCUUACCAGAUGGAACUCUGUUCCACAUCAUAAUCUUAACAGAUGACACAGAUUUGCAAAUAUUGCGUCGUGUUAGUUUACAAAUUCUAGAACAUUAAUUUCCCUCAUUUUAAAUUUCCUCGGGAAAGAAAAAUCUAUUUAUCACGCUUUGGAAUUGAAAACUAAAACUGAAAGAAUACGGGAAAAAAAACUCCAUUUAUAAUUUAAAAUUAAAAUCCACGUCGGUUCUAGUACACUUAACGACGUUUAACAAAAUAAUCUACGUCGGUAAUUAUAAAUCUACCGCCAUCGUAACUUAAUAUAGACGACGAGAAAAGACGACGGUAGAACAGAAAACCGCCGUUGUUUCAGUUUCUUUAACAUAUCUUUCUGCAGGACUUGUGUAGUUCAAAGCAUUGACAAUGUCUUCAUCAUAUCUCCCAGAAACUACUGAUUCAAUUGCUCAUGCUUUAGAGGCCAUCUGAAGCCAUUUCUAUUCUUUAUCGCAUUCUUGAAACCCAUCUUCUUCUUCUGAAGCUCUACGGAUAAAGGAAGAGGCUAUCACAAUAAAUCCGACGGAUCUUCUUAGGCAAGAAAAUCAAGCAGAGGAUCAGGCACAUCUGAUCUUCAGAUUUCCCUGAGAAGCGAACUUUCCUUCGACAGCGAGUGGAGGCCAGGCUUGCAUCUCUUUUGAUGGAAAGCAAGGAGUAUUCAGAAGCACUAAGUGUCCUAUCAGGCUUGAUCAAGGAAGUGAGAAGGCUAGUUGACAAGCUUCUUCUUGUGGACAUAUAUUUGAUGCGAGUAAGCUCAAUUUCUCUUUGAGAAAACAUCCAAAUUAUUAUCUUUGAGACAUGAGAGACUGAGAGAGGAAGAACUUGGAACCUUAAAUGUAAACCGAAAAUGAAUGAAAGCGACAAAUUUAUAGAAUAAAUUUUUAAAACCAACGGCGGUCCUUACAAAAACACCGCCGUUUAAAUUGUAAAAUCAACGUCGGUAUGAUCGACGUAUAUUACAGAAAUCCACGUCGGUAAAUUAAUAAAAACGACGUGUUAAAUAAUAUACCAUGACGCGAGUUAUUACUUAUGUACUUUAAUUUUUGAGUUUACUACGACGGUACCUACAAACUACUGUCGUAUUUAUUUACCACGUCCGAAGUUAAAUGUACCGUCGUAUUUUGUAAUUUAUACGUCGUAGUUAUAUGUAACCGCCAUAUUAUUUUUUUGAAAUGGUUUUAUAUGUAAGCAACUUUUCGUCUACUUGACUUACACAUUUGUUGUUUUUAUAUUCUUAUUUUAUUUAAAUCUGUCAUCCAAAAAGAACUUUACAUAUUGCAGAUAUUAAUUUCCUUCGUUUAAAUUUCCUCCGGAAAAAAAACUCUAUUUAUAACGCACUGUAAUUGAAAAAUAAACUGAAAGGUCACGGGAAAAAAAAUUCUAUUCAUAAUUUAAAAAUUAAAAUCCACGUCGGUUAUAUUAAACCUAACGACGUUAAAUGAAAUGAUUCCACGUCGAAUGAAAAAUAUUGCGUCGUUUUAGUUAAAAACGACGUAGUUAAAUGUAACCGCCGUAUUAUUUUUUUGAAAUGGUUUUAUAUGUAAGCAACUUUUCGACUUACACAUGCACUGUUUCCAAACCCGAUUAAAAAUUUCAAUCUCCCAGAGAAACCUUUUCGUCUUUUUUCCUUGUCAGAGCAUUGUCAGAGUUUCUCAUCGUCUUCCUCUCGUCUUCUUCGUCGUCUCUGAACUUAAACAUCGAUCAUCUUCCUCUUGCUUUCAUUGCACGCAAAAGGUAAGCUUUCAUUUUCACUAUUUUGGUUACUGUUUUGCAUGCUCAUACGUUUUUUGUUUGAAAAAUCUUUUUACCUUUUUUCUGGCCAAAAUCAUUUUACUUCUUUCCAAGUUUGAUAAAAUAUACAGACAAAGAGAGAAAGUUUCCAACUUUGAAGACAACUACAUCAACUAAAUAAGACGACGGUAGACCACGACGGUUCGUCAGUUGUUCUAGCGUCGUCUGAAAAUUGACAAAGUUGUUUUUAAAAUAAUAGUCUUUUUUUAUAUGCUUGUUUAAUUGCAGGUUUGAUUUCGCUGAACAAUGGUUUUUGUUUUUCCCUUAUUUGAUAAAAUAUAAAGAAAAAGAAACUAGGGUUGGUAUCUAAUAUAGACGACAAAAUAUCUUAUUGUUUUACGUCGUGUGAAUGUUAAUACCACGACGGUGUAUUACUAUUGACGUCGUAUGAACAUAAAUACCACGACGUUAUAUAAAUAAUAGUUUACCACGACGGUGUAUUACUAUUGACGUCGUGUGAACAUAUAUACCACGACGUUAUAUAAAUAAUGGUUUUAAACAUUUAUUACGUCUGAGAUUAUUUCAUUGCGUCGUCUAAAAUCAUAUCAUACGUCGUAUUUUUUUAAUACCGUCGUUUGUGUUCUUAAUGUUUUCCUGAAAUAUUUUCACUUGCAGUUUUGUCUGUUAAAAUGGUUUCUCAACAACAAACUAAGGAUUCUGGCUCCAAGAAGCUUGGAAUGGUAGCUCCUCAAGAUAAGUCUUCGAAGGAGAUGAAGUCUUCGAAGAAGAUGAAGUUUGCUUCAUCAUCUGCUGAGACAGAACAAACCAGCCAGACAACAAUCUCAGAUGAUUCAAAGACUGGUCGAGGUAUGAGCACAAUGCCUCGUGUUGUGAAGAGAAAGCUUCAGAAACUGAGGCCAAUUGUUGAGUACAAUAAAAGGGGGAAAGGUGUUGGCCAAGCACAUAUUGAGAUGCAGUCGUAUAUUGGUGUGUUGGCACGCUCCAGGAUCCCACUUGUGGACAAGAAAUGGUCCCAAAUCCCCAAGGAUAUAAAGGAGCAGAUUUGGGAAGCAGUUGACAUGGCUUUUGUCGUAGGCCAAGGGGGCAAGACCUCUGUUUUAGCUUCUGCUUCCAAGAAAUGGAAGGAUUUCAAGUCUACACUAACGAGGCAUUAUAUCCUUCCAUACACCAAUGACAGGGAGAAAUUAAGCCAACCCCCUGAAACAUAUAAAUUCAUAGAGAAAGCACAAUGGGAUGCCUUUGUAGCUUCAAGGCUAUCCAAAGAUUUUGAGUCUGUGCAUUCUCAACAUGCACAGAUUAGGGAGAAACUCGAGUACAAUCAUCGAUUGUCUCGAAAAGGAUAUGCUGGAUUGGAGGAUCAAUUGGAGGAAACCAUGCCUGGGGUAGAAAUUGAUCGAUCUACCUUAUGGAAGAGAGCUAGACAGGACAAACAUGGUAACAUCCCUGAUCCAAAGGUGGCAGAGAAAGCAAAAUUAAUUGUAAGCCUACUAUCACUCUGUUUUAAAUUUUUAUUAAACUGUGAAUUAUUCUUAUUACGUCGUAUGUUAUAUUUUUCGUCGUGUGAAUGAUAUUACCACGUCGAAAAGUUUUUAAAAACGUCGUUAAAGGUCUAAAUAGGAAUCACUACUAUGUUUUCUGUAAUUACAGCAUAAGACGUCAGUGGUUCAUUUUCGCGUCGUGUGAAUGAUAUUACCACGUCGAAAAUUUUUUUAAAACGUCGUUAACGGUCUAAAUAGGAAUCACUACUCUGUUAUCUUUAAUUAUAGCAUAAGACGUCGGUUGUUUAAUAACCGUCGUGUGUUUUUUUGUUUAUCUUUUUUUAGGAUGAAUUGCAGAAACAAGUCUCGGAAGGCAAAGUCAGAGUAGAUGGCAGCAAUGAUGUGCUGACCAUGGCUUUGGGCCCCGAGCAUCCAGGCAGACUGAGGGGAGUUGGUGCUGGUGUUUCCCCAAGGCAAUAUUUCAAUUUGCCCAAACCACAGAGGGUGAGCUUUGACGACCGUUUGAAGGACAGUUUAAGAGUUCUCCUUCAAGAAGAGACUAAAAAGAUGGAGGCUAAGGCAAGGGAAGAGGCCUUAAGGAUGGAGGCUAGGACAAAACAAUUGGUAGAGGCUGAGAGGGAGCAUUUCCUGAGUCAGCUUUCCCAAUUAAUUCCCAAUUUUGAUCCAAGCAUGCUUAAACCAAGAAUUAGCCAAAGCCCCAAAAAUCCAAUGUCUGACAAAGCUAGCUGCUCUGGAGGUGAUGUGAGAUCCCUACAUUUGGAGGAUGAUACUGCCAAAAUGGGGAAACAUCAGCCAGAUGAAGAGAAGGAAGAAGAAAAAAGAGAUGAAGAGAAGGAAGAAGAAAAGGAGAAAGAAGAUGAAGAAAAGCAUGACGACAAGGUAUGUUCACAUAACUUUGCCUUUUUUAUUUGUUUUUCAAAAUUUCAGACGUCGAUAUUUUUAUUUAAUCCGUCGUUUGUUUAAAACUUAGACGGCGGAAUUUUUUUAAGACGUAAUAAAAUAUUUAAACGACGGUUUUUGCACCGUCGUUUAAAUGGUUUCAGACGACGCUUUAUUCAUAAAACCGUCGUCUUUAUUGAAUUACCACGACAGUUUUUUCACCGUCGUUUAAAUACUUUUAAGACGACGUUUUAUUACUUAAACCGUCGUCUUUAUUGAAUUACCACGUCAUUUUUUUUAUUUCUUUAAACAGGUUAUUGAAGUUGGUGCUUAUUCAAAAAUGGAGGCGCCAUCUUCUUUAAAAACCCUUUGUCGUUUUGUGGAAACGACACUCCUGCCUGAGGAUAAGACAGUCCAAUUUACAAUUGAUAAGGAGGUGUUUGGUGGUGAGCGCGAUACCUUCCUCCUGCCUGAAGAUAUUACACAAUUUGCAGGCAUGGAAGAAAUUGGAGCUACUGUAUUGGCUGUAUAUAUGAGGUUUGUACUUCUAAAAUAAUAACUCGUUGGUUUAUAUAUUGCGUCGUCUUAACUAACUAACCACGUCGUCUUAACUAACAACCGUCGUGAUAAAUAUAUUAUAACGUCCUCAUCUAUUUCAGUACGUCGUGUGAAAUAUUAUAAUACGUCGUUUUUUUAUACAUAACCGUCGUGUUUUGUGUGCUGACUUGUUUAUAUUAUUUUAUUUGUUUAGGUACUUACACGAUGUUUUGAAAAAAGCCAAUAUGUGCAGUAUGGUUGGCUUUAUCGACCCUGCUACAGUUAGUGCCAACUCUGGCACAAUAACUGAAAGAUCACGACUCGUAGCAGCUCGACUUCAGAAGACAGACGGUGAACAGAUUUUCAUGAUGCCUUACAAUCCAGGGUUAGUCUCCUUAGGAUUUUGUUUUUAUGAUUUUCAAUAAAUGACAGCUUAUAAACUAACCACGUCGGUGUUUUAUUUUAUUUAGUCGUUUGAAACUACUAACCACGUCGGUAUUUAUUUAUCGUCGUGAUAAAUAUAUAAUGUCGUCGUUAGCUACUUUACUUCGUCGUGUGAAAUACUAUAAUACGUCGUUUUUGUAAAUAACCGUCGUUUUUAUAUUAAUUUUGUGCAGCCGUCAUUGGAUUUUGCUGAUUGUAAGAGCAAAGAGAGAAACCGUCUAUUUUCUGGAUCCUCUGCCAGGAAAUCGUGUGGUCGAUGAAGAGGCCAAAAACAUCGUGAACAGUGCUUUAAAAAUAUAUAAUACCCACAUAGCCCGAGCAGGACGUAAAAAUGUAAUUUGGAAAACUCUCUCAGGCACACCAAAGCAACCCAGCAAUGUCGAAUGCGGGUAUUAUGUAAUGCGCUUCAUGAGGGACAUCAUCAUGGAUCCUUCCUUGGGGUUUGAGAAUAAGGUAAGAAGAAAUUACCUUCAUACAUUUCACGUCGUUUUUUGUAUUAUCAACGACGGUCGUGUAAAAUUAACGUCGUUGAAUGGAUAUACUACGUCGGUUAUGAAAAAUAUCGUCGUCUGUGAUUGAAUUUCUUUUUAUUUAUAAACCCUAAUAGUCAUUGUUUAUGCAGUAUGCCAAGGGAAACCAGGAAGCUUCAUACCCCCAAGAAGCCAUUGAUGAAGUCCGGAAUGAAUGGGCAGAGUUUGUUUUCCAAAUUAUUAAACAGGGCAAUUAUUGAACACUUGAUAUUUAUGUAUAAUGUACCAAUUUUCUCUAUAAUAUGUAAUGUAAAAAUUUGUUGAGGUUUUCUUAAAUUAAAAAAAAAACAAACAUACAAAUUGCUUAACCGACGUGUAAUACUUUUCCAACGACCUAAUAAAGUCAAUAACCGUCGUAUUUUGUUUUUGCGUGUUUUAAACAAAUACGACGUAAAAAAAUAGUUAGACGACGUUCUUUGAACAAUUGAGUCGUUAAUGGUUUACAAUAUCUUCAAUUUCUUAAGGGUUCAGGGUAUAAUCGACGACGUUUAUGUAACGACUGCGGUUAAGUCGUAAAAUAUAUAUUUUACGUCGUAUAGUUAAAUAGCCGCCAUGGUUUCUCAUUUUAACGACGUCAUUUUAACGACUUAGUAGUCUAUUACAAUUUACAACGUCUACAAUUUAUUUAACACCGACGUGGUUUGUUGUAUGGUAAGAAUAUUUUAUUAUUUUUAUAUCAAAAUAUUCAAAAUAAAUAUAAAAUAAAUCAGAAAAUUGAAAAGUCAACUCCUAUGAAGUCAUUGAUAUAUUUUCUUCCACAUAAACCUUGAAAAAAUUCAUUUUGAAUAACAAAAAUUUAAAAUGACCAUCCAAAACAAAAUUGUUUUGAUGAGUCAUAAAAUCACUUCUAGUUUUAUGGUUUAGGGUUUAGAGUCUAGGGUUUAGAGAUUAGGGUUGUUAUUUAUUGGGGUUUAUUUUUAAAGUAUAAUUUUUGGGUAGUCUAGGGUAUAUGUUAGGCUUUAAAACCAUAAAACCUUUUAUAAACUUAAUUUUUUAAAUUGUAUAAUUUAAUUUUAUGGGUUUAGUGUAUUAAUUUUUAACGACGGUGGUUGGGUCGUGGAAUACAUAUUUUACGUCGUACAGUAAAACAUACGACAUGGUUUACGCUUUAAACGACGUCAUUUUAAUAUGUAAGUCGGUUUAUAUAAUUUACAACGUUUUUAAUUUCUUAACACCGACGUGGUUUCUCAUUUUAACGACUUAGUAGUCUAUUACAAUUUACAACGUCUACAAUUUAUUUAACACCGACGUGGUUUGUUGUAUGGUAAGAAUAUUUUAUUAUUUUUAUAUCAAAAUAUUCAAAAUAAAUAUAAAAUAAAUCAGAAAAUUGAAAAGUCAACUCCUAUGAAGUCAUUGAUAUAUUUUCUUCCACAUAAACCUUGAAAAAAUUCAUUUUGAAUAACAAAAAUUUAAAAUGACCAUCCAAAACAAAAUUGUUUUGAUGAGUCAUAAAAUCACUUCUAGUUUUAUGGUUUAGGGUUUAGAGUCUAGGGUUUAGAGAUUAGGGUUGUUAUUUAUUGGGGUUUAUUUUUAAAGUAUAAUUUUUGGGUAGUCUAUGUUAUAUGUUAGGCUUUAAAACCAUAAAACCUUUUAUAAACUUAAUUUUUUAAAUUGUAUAAUUUAAUUUUAUGGGUUUAGUGUAUUAAUUUUUAACGACGGUGGUUGGGUCGUGGAAUACAUAUUUUACGUCGUACAGUAAAACAUACGACAUGGUUUACGCUUUAAACGACGUUAUUUUAAUAUGUAAGUCGGUUUAUAUAAUUUACAACGUCUUUAAUUUCUUAACACCGACGUGGUUUUUCAGUCGUCGUUAUAUAAAAAAUUCAAAAUAAAUUUAAAAUUAAUCCGAAAAAUGAACGGCCUUACGUUCUUAAUCCGAAAAAUGAAGUUUCCGUCGUGGAAUAUUAAAUUUACGUCGGUACUUGUAGAACUUUCGCCUUGGUUUUUCUUUCGACGUUUUAUAACGCGCGCGCUCUAAAAAUUUUCGCGCGACCUAAAUUUUUUUAGAUUUGGCUCUUAUUCUUAUACUUUGAUCCCUGAAACCUAAAAUUUCAGAUUUCACGCGACAUAACAUUUCGCUCUCUCACUUCUGCUCUAAUUAAAAGUUGCACUCUCCAGGCUCGUCGAAUCUGUGAGCUCGUCCAACCUGUAAGUACAAACCCUAUCUUCCCCUUGUAAAUUCAUUGAAUGAUAUUAGGUUGUUUUGUUAAAGGGUUUUAGGUAUAUGCUUUGCGAUCUGUUAAUAAUGUGCUUAUAGGUAUGGGUUCAUGGAUUUUCUGUUUAAUGGGUUCAUGACAAGAUCAAAUAAAGGUGUACUUUUGCUGGAAAUCAACACAAAAAGACACAUCACCAACUUCCAAAUGAUUUCCAGCAAAAGGACACCUUUAUUUGAUCUUGUCAUUUUCCGCUCUGGAGAAGGUGCAAAGUGCACCAAUGCUUAUAGGUAUGGGUUCAUGGAUUUUCUGUUUAAUGGGUUUAUGGAUUACAUUAUCUGUUAUGUUGAAUUGGGAAUGGAUUUAAUUUUGUCGUAUCUUUUAAUCACCCUAUGUUAUGUUGAAUUGGGAAUGGAUUUAUUGUUUUCAUGCUUGGUUUCAUGUAUAUGUUGGUUUCUUGCUUGGUUUCAUAUAUAUGUUGUGUUCUUAAUGGGUUUUGUGUUCUUGAAAAUAAACUGAGACACGACGAAUUUUAAGGCGUACGACGACGAUUACACGACGGUGUUUUUAAACUACCGUCGUUGUAUUACUUAUACACGACGGUUUUUUCAUAAACCGUCGUUUGUAUUACGUAUAAUAGACGACGUCUGUUGAAAAUCCGUCGUCUAUAUAUGCCAAAUACGUCUGUUUUUGAUUAAAACCCGUCGUCUCUGUUGUUUAUUACUUGCGAUUAGAUCAUUGUAUAAUCUGCUAUAGUGAUGGUCAUUGCCUGUAUUUUCACUUUAUUAUAGAUAAUAGGUUAUAGUGUCGGAGAUGGAUAAGUCAUGGAUGCACUCGGAUAGAAGAUCGAAGGCAUAUGAGUUUGGGGUGGAAGCAUUUUUGAACUUUGCUGUAGAAAAUCUUCUAACUACAACACAUAUCCGUUGUCCAUGUGUUAAAUGUGUUAAUUUGAAGUUGUUUGGGGUUGGAAUUAUAAGGGAUCACUUAUACUUUAAUGGAAUUGACCAAAGCUAUAAGAAUUGGACAUUUCACGGAGAACCUUGGGAAGCAACUACUAAUGCUAGCAGAAAUGUUGAAGAAGAUGAUGGCCAUAGUAGGUACAGUUUUGUGUCUGAAGAAAUUGAUAUGGAUGAUAAUGAUUUUGGUGAUUUUGGUUCGGAUCCGUAUGAGUUUGCCAAUGUGAUUGGGGAUGGAGAUCAACCAGUGUACCCUGGUUGUAGAAAGUACACGAAGUUAUCGGCAUUAGUGAAGUUGUAUAAUUUGAAGGCAAAACAUGGGAUGAGUGAUGUCUGUUUUACAGAAUUAUUGAUACUUCAAGGCGAUUUGCUUCCAGAAGGAAAUACAAUACCAACCUCCAUGUAUGAGGCUAAAAAGACUUUGUGUGCAUUGGGGCUGAGUUAUGAGAAAAUGCACGCAUGCCCCAAUGAUUGCAUCUUGUAUAGGAAGGAGUAUGAGGAUUCAACUAAUUGUCCUACUUGUGGUAUCUCAAGGUGGAAGGAAGGCAAAGAUUCAAUCUUGAAAGAGGGUGUGCCAGCGAAGGUGGUGUGGUAUUUUCCCCCAAUUCCAAGGUUUAAAAGGAUGUUUCAAUCACAUGAGACAGCUAAGAGUUUGACUUGGUGGCAUGCUGCUAGAAAAUCAAUUGACGGUCAGAUGUCUCAUCCGGCGGAUUCCCCGUCUUGGAAACUUCUUGAUGAUAAAUGGCCUGAGUUUGGUAAUGAGCCGAGAAACUUGAGAUUGGCUCUUUCAUCUGAUGGAUUCAAUCCCCACAGUUCUCUAAGUAGCAGAUAUAGUUGUUGGCCGGUUAUCUUAGUUACAUAUAAUCUCCCUCCAUGGCUGUGCAUGAAACGAAAGUUCAUGAUGUUAACCUUAUUGAUUUCCGGUCCUAAACAACCCGGAAAUGAUAUAGACGUCUACUUGGAGCCUUUGAUUGAUGAUUUAAAAUCCUUGUGGGUUGGGAUUAGAGGAGUGUAUGAUGCACAUAAUGGAGAAUACUUUACACUCAGAGCUGCAUUAAUGUGGACAAUUAAUGAUUUCCCCGCCUAUGGAAACUUAUCUGGUUGUGUUGUUAAAGGAUAUAAAGCUUGUCCAAUAUGCGGCGAUGAUACACCUAGUCACAGGUUGAAAAAUGGCCACAAAAUUUGUUACAUUGGGCAUAGAAAAUGGUUACCAAUCAAUCAUCCAUAUAGGAGGCAACGUGCAGCUUUUAAUGGGAAACCUGAAUAUGGCAUACCUCCAGAGCCAUUAACCGGAGAAUAAGUGCUGCAUAUGGUUGAAAAUGGUGACAGAGUUUGUUGGAAGAAGAAAUCAAUAUUCUUUGAUCUCGAGUAUUGGAAAUACCUUCCUGUGAGGCAUGCCCUAGAUGUUAUGCACAUUGAGAAGAAUGUUUGCGAUAGUAUCAUUGGUACAUUGCUGGAGAUCCCUGGAAAAAAUAAAGAUGGGAUUGCUGCUCGAUUAGAUUUAUUGAACAUGGGGGUCAAAACUGAUUUGCAACCCGAGUAUGGAGAAAGACGUACUCGUUUGCCUCCUGGGCCUUGGAAUUUGUCAAGAGCAGAGAAGAGAGAGGUUUGCAAUUCUUUCUAUGGUAUGAAGGUCCCUGAAGGUUAUUCUUCAAAUAUUAAAAAUCUUGUAUCUGUACAAGAUUCAAGACUUCUUGGCCUUAAAUCACAUGAUUGUCAUACCUUAAUGCAACAAUUGCUCCCUGUGGCAAUUCGUUCUGUUUUGGAGAAGCCUGCAAGGUAUGCAAUAACUCGUUUGUGCUUCUUCUUCAAUGCUAUAUGUGCAAAGACUGUUGAUGUUUCCAAGCUAGAUAAGUUGGAAGAAGAUGUAGUAGUUACUCUGUGUUUGCUUGAGAAGUACUUUCCCCCUUCAUUCUUUGAUAUCAUGGUUCAUCUAGUAGUACAUCUUGUCAGAGAAGUUCGUCUAUGUGGGCCAGUAUAUUUUAGGUGGAUGUAUCCGUUUGAAAGAUAUAUGAAAGUGCUGAAGGGGUAUGUUCAGAAUCGUACUCGUCCCGAAGGUUGCAUUGCUGAGCGGUAUAUAGCUGAAGAAGCGGUAGAGUUUUGUACUCAGCAUUUAUCUGAUGUUAGUACAGUUGGAGUGCCUUCAAGCCAAAAGAUGGGAGUUUCAAAGCCAUUAUCAGGUUGCACAGUGAGCGUAGUUGAUCAGGACCUGUUGAAUCAAGCACAUCUAUAUGUCUUGGAGAAUACGGAGGAAGUCCUACCUUAUAUCGAGUACGUAUGAGUUUUAUUCUUUAAGUUUCCAUUUAAAAUUAUUUCUUAUGUUUAUCUUAUAUAUUUGGGACCGUAAUGCUUGAAUUUUUCGUGUCAUGUAGGCAACAUAUGAUCCACAUCAAGACUGCUUAUCCAAAAUUUAGAAAGAGAACAAAGUGGCUGCAGGAUAAGCACAAUAGCACUUUCAUUCAAUGGCUACGCUUCAAGGUAUAUGUUGUUGAAUAACGUAUUUCUCUUUUAAUUUUCUUCUUAUUUAUAUGUUAGGAUGAAUUAAGAUAUGAUUAAUUUGCAGGUUCAAAGUGAAGUUGAGGAAGACAAUCAUGGCGUAUCAGAAAAUUUAAGGUGGCUAGCAGCUGGUCCAAACAUGUCAGUGCCAUUAUAUAGGAGCUAUCUUAUUAAAGGUAUUAAAUUCAAUAUCAAGGCACAAGAUGAUGUGCGGACAACUCAAAAUAGUGGAGUUUAUUUACUUGCACAUACCAUGCAAGUUGCUAGUGCCAAGGAUAAAAACCCAAUUCUCUCAAAUAUGGGUUUCUAUGGUGUCAUUCAAGAAAUUUGGGACCUUGACUACCAAAAGUUUACAAUCCCAGUCUUUAGGUGUGAUUGGAUAGAUAGUUCUGGUCUUGUAGUCGACGAACUUGGAUUUACCCUUGUAGAUUUGAGUAAAAUUGGACAUAGGAAUGACCAAUUUGUUUUGGCUUCUCAAGUCAAACAAAUAUUUUUUGUUGACGACCCGAUGCAUCGUGGUUGGUCGGUAGUGUUAUCAAUGCCUAGUAGAGAAUAUAAUGAUGUUAUUGGUGAUGAAGUAUUAGGUGAUGUGAUAAUUGAGUGUGAGCCAUUUACUAGAGGGAUGCCAAAUGUUGACACAUUUGAUGAACUGGUAGGUGAGUUAGGCGGUCAAAAUAUUCGAGAUGGGUGUGAAGAUAUAUGGAUUGAAUGAUGCUUAUGUAAUUGGCAGUGUAUGACAUUAAUUUUGUAAUAUAUUGUAAUGUGAUUUCUUCACUUUCUACGUUCAAAUAAAACACGACGUUAUUGUGAAUCAGUUAUUCAGCAUAUUUACCGACGUCUUAAAGCAACGUAACAAUGAAGAACCACGACGCUAUUGUGAAGCAAUUAUUCAGGAUAUCACGUCGGUGAAGGAUAAAGAACCGCCAUGUAAUUCAAAAUAACACGACUCCAAUCCCAUAAUACCGACGUCUAAAAAACGAGAUAUAUAAUCUGAACGUUAAAAAAUACGACGUCAUCAUACAUUUUCCACGUCGCAAGUUCUUUUAUAAACGAAGAGGAACGAAAUUAAUUCCGACGGAAAUUCAUUAUAACCGCCGUCUAAUAACAAUUAAACGACGUUAUUUGUAAUACGGCUCCCAUCAUAAUCUACGCCGUCUAUAUGUUCUGUAAUACGGCUCUCAUUUAUUUGGAACCGACGUUGUUUAGACGUUCAACGUCGUCUAUAUUAUUAAGUGCGUCGUGAGUAAUGAAUACAUAUAAAUACAACGUCGACUAUAUAAAUGUAUACGUCGUAAAUAAUGACACUGACAACUAUUUCCACGUCAUCUUUUUUAGAAAAAUCGAAGUGGAAAAUUUAUUUCACGACGGUUUUUUGUAAAUAAGAGACGUUGUAGAACUUUAGCAGACUAAACACGUCUGUUUUUAUUGUUUUCCGACGUUGUUGUAUUUAACAACGUCUAAUAUUUAUGGUCGUUGUUUGUUUCUGAAAAUAGGACGUAUAAAUUUUUUAAUACGACUCUCAUAUAUUUGUAACUGACGUUGUUUAGUUUUUCAACGUCUACUAUAGAAACACAUACGUCGUAAAUAAUGACACUGACAACUAUUUCCACGUCAUCUUUUAUCGAAAAAUCGAAGUGGAAAAUUAAUUGUACGACGGUUGUGUUUAUAUGUGCGACGUAGUAGGUAUCAAUAACGUCGUCUUCUAAUGUAUUUAAAGACGUCAUAUUUUUUAUUGUCGUGAAAAUUAUAUUUAACGUCGGCGUAUUUUUAUUGUCGUCGUUGUAUGUCUAUCUUGCGGCUUUGUUCUCUUAAUAUGUGUCAUAUUUUCCCUUUUUAACGACGGUGUUUUUAGAGAAUUGGUCGUCUAUUAUCAUCCUCGAUUGCUUUUUUUAGAUCUUUUUGCAGUACAAAGACGUCGUUUUGUAUUUUUUGAUGACGUUGUAUUGUUUAACAACGACGGUUAUUUAGCGUCGUGGUUUAUGAGGGAAAAGAUGACGGUGGAUUCCACGACCAUUGAAAAACCAAAUACACGACGGUGAUUUACCGUCGUCUUUUUGCUUUUUUGUAGUAGUGAAAUAUUUUAGCAUAUUAUCACAAAAACAUAAGUGAUAUGAUAUUAAAAGUAACUACUAUUAAAAUGAAAGUAUAUGAAUACAUGAUGAGGUAAAUUACUUGAUUGUACUUCGUAUUGCCAAGAUAGAGAUUACCCUAUAUGCUUAGCAGAACAAAAGUUAUGAAAGAAUUUUCAGUCACAAAGGAGUCUAAAUGGUGAAGGAAUCGAAUUUAAAUUUUUUUUUUUUUGGGGUCAAAGAGGGAAGGGCUUGGACUCUAAUCCUUGGAUGAGAGAGUACUGCUGGCAACCAACCACGAAAGCUACAAGCCCCUACGAAUUAAGGUAUUGUUUAGCAGUUCUUAAAACAUGCUUUCACAUUCCUAUGUUUGAUAAUUACAUAUUAGUUUGAGUUUUAGGUACUAUCCACAAAAUGAGUUUUCGAAACCCUAGGGAAGAAAUAGUUUCCCUAUGUAUGGUGUCCAAAAAGUAGAACUCUAUCCAUUUCUUGGUAAAAAUACGUUCCCAUAUAUCUAUCUCAAAUAGGAAUUGUUAGGUGUGUUUGACGUUUUUCCAUGUGAUGAUUUUAUUGUUUUUUUGGAGGACUUGUUGAUUUUAUAAUAGCUCUUAAGUCAACAAACUAAUUUGACAAAGACAUGCUUGGAAGCAUGAACAUAAUUUGGGUAGGAUCCGGUAAACUAUCAAUCAAUAGGAAUAUUUAUCGUUUCACUUAGUUAAUAUCUUAAUUCACAGUAUGAUAAUAUAACAUGUCUAACUAUCUGACAAGAUGAAAAGAUUAAAGAAGAAAGAGAACGGAAAAAAGAAAAAAGAAAGAGAAAACAGAGAGAGAUAUAGAGAAACUUUGGGCUAAAAUUUGAUUUAUCUAAAUUUGGCUUACAAAUUAAGCCUACUCUCAAAAAUAGGAUUGGACUGGAGCCCACUCCAGCCUUAACGUAGGUCCGCCCUUGAUUAUACCAAUUUCCUUCAUCAAUUCCUUCAUCAAUUCCCUGAGCCAAAACAACUCACAAAUACCUUUAGUCGUCCCUCUCUAUUAUGCUUUUGCACUCGCCAAGCAACCAAGUUCCCUCCAACAAAUGUAAAGUACUCAUAAGUUAAUAGUAUGCUAGUUAUACUUCAUGCCCAAUCUGCAUCUGUAUAGCCAUCAAUUUCCGGAUGAUUAUGCUUUGAAAACACUAAAUCUUUACCAGUAUGUGCGUUUAAACCAACCUAAAAAUGUGUUUACCUCUUGGAAACUCAAACCAUUAGGUCCGAUACAAGUCCCGAGCAAACAAGCUUCUAUCAUAAAUUUCAGACUGAUCAGAUAAUUCUAUUAAUACAGAUUUGAAGAAAUCAAAUCAAAUACACAAAACUUGUAGUGAGGACAUAAUAUUUUGCCAUUCCAAUGCCUAUGUCACGAAAAUUACAGCAAUGCAGAUUAGGCAUGACUCUUUUUAAGGGAUUUUCAAUUUAUGAUUCAACUAAUUAAGGUAGCGUUUGGGAUUGCGGUGCUUAAAGAAUAAGCGGCUUUAAAAAUAAUUUUUCCAACUGAAAGUGUUUGGUAAAAGAAAUCAAGGCAGCUUAUUUUAAAAUCUCGGGUCAUCCAAGCAAUUUUUCAAAGCAGGUUGGACCUAGCUUCUCAAAGUUGCUUUGAAAAAAAAAUAGCCGGUUCCUUUUAAUGUUUUUUUCAUUUUUCCCAUAACGCCCUUACUACUUUUCCAAAAUGACAGCCCUUUUUCCCUUCAUUCCAAAAUCUGUUUCAUCUCAUCUCUGCACGUAUCACACUCUUCUUCUUCCUUCUUCUUACUGCAAGUUGGGUCAGUUGUUGCGAGCCAUAAUAGCUGCUGCAAUUUCAUCAGCAAUCAGUCUGAAUUAAGUUGAAUUUUAUGUGUUGAUUCGUAAAUUUUAUUAAAUUGAAUAAAAAUAGAGUAAAAAACCCUAAGAUUUGUAUUUGGGCGGCGUGGGGGGCUUAGGUGGAGAGAGAGAGAGAGAGAGAGAGAGAGAGGUGGUUGUUGGGUGAGGUUUGUUCUGUGGGGUUGGCGUGGGGGAAAGGGUUGGGUGUGGUGAUAUGGUAUUGGAAUUGGGUGGGGUUAGGGGAGGGGCCUGGCCAGUGUUUACGGCAGGAGAAGGAGAGGAGGGAAGGGGUGAGAGUUAGUAGUGGUAAUGGGGAAGCAGCUGCGAAGAGAAGAUGGGGAGGGGUUGCUGUGUUGCUGAGAGUUUUUUUUAGAGACUUUUAGUUGUUUUUAGACUAUUUUAAAUUUUUUAAUAUUAUUUCUCAUUUUCAAUUAAUUAUUAAGUUUUUUAUUAUUAACAUUUCAUGGCUCAUUUUCAAUUAAUUUUUCAACUAAUAUUUUAUAUCUCAAAGCUUUUUUGGUCAUUAUACAUACUCAAAGUGCUUAUGUAUAAAAGUUUACCAAACACGUUGAUUACUCACAAUACUUGUUUAAAUACAGUUUACCAAACGCCUAGCUGCUUUAUUUCACAGCUGAUUAUUCUUGUAGCAUAGCAGAAGCAGUUUUUUUUUUUUAAAAAGCACAAUAAUGCAAAACUAGCCCUAACACUAAGUAAAAACAAAAACAAAACAAGACACAACUGAGAACUAAAAAAGGUGCAGUGAUUUGGAAACAAACAAGCAAUUAAAGAAAACAAAACGAAACGAAACGAAACAAGCAAGUCAAGAUAAAGUAGUGUAUCAAGUUAAUCAAAUGCUGGCAAGUAUAUGAAUCAAAAGAUAGUAUAUCUAAGUAAGCAAGGAUAUCGUCCCACUAGGAUUGAUUUAAUUCUUAAUAUUCCUACCAAUUAAACUUAAACUAAUUUUAAAUUGAGAAACUUUGAUGGAUAAAAUUUAAUUGAAUUUGCAAUUGAGAAACUAAAAUUAAAUAAAGCAAUUAAAACUAAAGACAGAGUUGCAAGGCACAAGAGAUUUAGGAAAACCAAGAGAGAAAGAAACUAAAGCAUCCGAUUUCAUCGUAACCAAUCCCACCCAAUCCCUUAGCAUAACAAUUCCAAGUAAUUCCCCUUAUUGAUGGUCAAUUUCCCUAAACUAUUCAAUUGGAAUGGCAUCUGGUUACAUCAAAAGUAUCUUUGCAUGCAAUCCUCUAUGACAUCUAGAUGAAUUUGACAAAUAAAGACCAAUUAAGCUCUAUGAAAAUUAUGUAGUGAUCACACAAACCCUAAUUGCAUGGCAUCUACAAUUAGUCAUUCAUGGUAUCAAUUGCAAGAAGCAAAACUCAAGUUAAGUAUGGCACCUACUCAAGUUAGAUGGUGAUGAGACAUCCAAACCAAAUUAAACAUUAAAUACAACAAAAGAUACUCAAUAAAAAGGAAAAAUUUUGAGAUUAAUAUUAACUAAGAAAAUUGAGUAUUCAUGAUUGGGCUGCAUCGUAGCCCUAGCUAAGAAAAUUAGUUCCUCAUAAUCAUAAUAAAAAUAAUAUAAGUUUAGAAAAACCCGUAAUUUCUCUUCCUUCUCUUUCCGUCAGCUUCUAUUUGCUCUUGAACUCGUUAAUAACGUGGCACCUCACCUUCCACAAUAAGGAAUGAUAUUUUUUAAUAAUUUGUGUUUACCGAAUUGUCCCUCCACAACUAAAAGAAUUUAAAAAAAAUUUGACAUAAAUUGAGGAUUAUCCUUGAAUUGCUUCAAAUUGAAACCACAUGGACAAAAUUAACCAAAUUGAAACGAUAGGGACCAAAGUGGUAAAAGUGACAAACUACAGAGAACAAAAAUGAUUUUGUAUUAAACAACCAACUAAUUGAAAGGUUGUUGGUAAAAACACCGGUUCCCCUUCGUCACAACAAAUAAACCCGAUAGAAGAAAACAAAUAAUAAUACAAGAAGCCAAAGAUGACAAUGAGUAAAACACAAAAGAGAACACACCAAGAUUUAACGAAGUUGAACAAAAUCCUGAUUACGUCCCUGGACAGUUUGUCAGUUCUUCACUACGAGAAUAGUAACCGUGCAAAAUACAUAUUGAGUUAAAUCAAUGUAACCCAACAUAACGCUCAAGAGUUUUAUACCCAAACCCGAGCCCCUUAUACACCCACUCACAGUAUUUCCGAACUCACUCUCUCCCCAAGAGAUAUACCCUCUCUUGAACACCAUGCUUUCUCACCACAACUCCCUUGUAUGUAAACAACACACACACCACCGGAGUUGUUGCUCCCCACUUGAUACCCAAUUGAACCCAAGAGAAACCACUCUUGAUUUUCCUGGAGUUCGUGGGACUGCUUGCUUGCAUCUCACAAGCAGCCCACUCCCACUUACAUUGCCGUAAGCCUCAACUCUCACUUUGGUUUGACCCACAAGCACACACCGUUUGCAUGCUCCACACACUAAAUGAAUCAGCUGCUGCAUAUUAAUGGGCCAUUGCUCAAUGUGAAAAGCAAAGCUUUUCCAAUACUCCUCCUAUGUCGGCAGCAGCAAUGAAGACCAGCAUGGCUUCCUCCGAAAGCCAAACCAAAGUCAGAACUUGUUGCCCCAUUUACUACUUGGGUCCCAAUGAGAUUUUUACCAACAACAAUCUCCACCUUGAUAAAAAUACCAUGCACAACUUGCACCAUCACCAAUACUCAAGUAGAUUGCAGUUCUGUCCAGUAAGGGUUGUUUCUAUCCGAUAAGGCUUCUCCUGGCUUUAUAUGACUUUCAACGGCUUUCAUUUAAGUUUAUUUAGGUCCAUUUGAACUUGUAUUUACUUUCUUAACUUUUGCAUUCAAGGCUUCUAUUGUACUUUAUGUCCGAUAAUAGUCUAAAAUCAUCAUUCCUCUUGAGUUUAUUUCAUAACAAGUGAAAUAUUGAAGUCCUCUUAGUUGAGGCAUAGAAAGAACCUAUUUAAAGCAAGAUCCCCCUCUUUAGAGCACAAUAGCUUUGUUUAGAAGUUAAGAUGAUCACAUGAACCCAAUAUAUUCACAAAACUAUCACCACAUUAUCACCUCUUUCUACUGGAAGAGUAAAACACUAGUAGUGGCACGCCUGUCGCAACCAAAAAAGAGCAGAUUUUAAGCCAAUUCUUGGGCUUUGAUCUCUCUCCUCUUCACUUUCUUCACCAGGAAGAGACCAUAACAGCUAAAGUAUAGCAUGCUAGAAACCAUGGGUAUCACAGUGUUCAAAACACGACAAACACAGUGAAAUUGUGGAAAAUGAACUAACCCUAAAUGCAGAAGCUCGAGAUACAUACACAGUAAUUUAUGUCUUAUACAACACAUAGAUACAUAUUAUACAUAGGAUAAUAGUAAAGUACAAGCUAGCUCUUGUUUGCAUACUUGCAGUACUAGUGCCCAUGGAAUGCACAUUAAUUACUUUUGUGCCAUUAAUGUAAGUUGAUAUAUGUCUUCAGUUACAGCCUUUGAAUCUUUGAAAAUCCCUAGCAGCCCCUUCCCUGAUAAUCCAACACAAUAAGCACCUUUCUCAUUCUUCCAGUGGUUUGGGUACUUCCCUUUAGGCUUUCCAUCAUCUGUAAGAAGGAACUUAUAGUCCUGCAUCCACAAUUAAAUAAUUAAUUAGUAUAUAUAUAUAUAUAUAUAUAUAUCAGUCUCGAUCUCUUGGACUACAGGAGUCCAUGAGAUUGUGGUCACCCACCGUUGGAUAUUAAUCCAAUGGUUCAAAAAAGUUUCUUAAAAGAAGUGCAAGAGUGAGUGAACCGUUGAAUUUACAUCCAACGGUGAGUGACCACAAAUCUCUUGGACCCCUGUAGUCUAAGAGAUCAGACCUAAUAUAUAUAUAUAUAUAUAUACACAUAUCAUACCAAAUUAGAUAACAAUUACUCAAUAUAUAAAAUCUUUGCUCUCAGUUUAAUAUUCAAUAAGAAAUAUAAAAUUACCUAAAACUUCUUGUGCACCCCCACGCACGGGACCUCAUAGUGACCUCGGAUUCUCUAGUAGUCCUUACAUAAAUUAAGUCAUGUUCAAAUGGUAUAUUGAUAUCUAUACAUGACUUAAUCAUACCUACAUGUCAUUUAUACACACUUACAUACACAAAUCAAACAAACUUAGGUAGCAACCACAUUACUUGCAAACAUACAAACCUUGAAAUCAAAUGAUAUAAUCACAUAUACAAUUACUUAUUUACAUACGUAUAGGCACACAUUUAUAUGUAUUUAUCAUGAUUCCAAAGCAAGUCUAGGAUAAUUACCUUGCAGAUAGCACCCCACAAAACCACUUGAGAUAGAAGCCUUAAACAUGUGUUAACCUAUAAACAAACUCAACUAAUAAGGCCCUAUACAAAGGCAAAGUAGUUUGCCAACACUGGUAGUGUGUACUCAAAUAAUUUUCAUAAAUUCUACCCAACACAAAACUAAUAUUCUUAAAUUAGACAUACAGGGGGUCUUAGGGUAAAAAUUUGAAAACAAAACUCCACUGUUUAGGCCCCGAAAAGAAUACCAAAAAUGAAACUCUAAAUUAUAAUUUUAGUUGUCAAACGGCAGUGCUCAGCCCCCACAUGAAUUUUACAGAAAUACUAGAUGUCCAAAAAUCAUGAAAUUUCAUAGCUAUGAAUCAGAGAUCGUAAUCUACUUAUUUUAAAAAUAUUGAGUUGUUUUAUUAUUGAAUAUCAGCCCAUAAAAGACUCCUAAUCUAAUCUUGAAGACAAUCUAUUAAGCCAUCAGAUCCUCACCCAGUCCAAUUCAUAAAAUUGUUAUAAAAUAGGGAGCUUUGGUCUAAAAUCAAUAGGGAGUUCCAUAUUGUGAUAGAUAGGAAAAUAAUUUCACCUAAUUUACUUGAGGUCAAUGACUAAUAAAUCAACCUCAAAUUACAAAACUACAACUAACAAAUCCUAUAAAUUACAAUGAUUGCCAUUACAGCUUUUUUUAAUAAUUUCGUUAAUUCAUUCGAGUUCAACCUCCAGUUGUCCACCAAUCUGUGAGCCAAGCCCAACUCCUACAGCAAAAACACAAGAGACAUUAGCUUCCACCUUCAAACGACAUCAACUCCUACAGCCCAAGCCCAAAACAACAACAAAAACUGCUACAACAUCAAAAUCGGAACUCACGCUAUGACUUCAAACACACUCAACCCAUCUUCCCACUCCUCAUUUCUUCUCCAUCACUUCACUUUGAAAAUAUUGCAAAAACACUCACCAUUUCGCCCUCAAAUUUCUCUCUAAAAUACAAAAGAAAUCAGAAACUCCGAAUCUACGAAAAGACACUGCAACGCAUUCGGAAACUAUGUAAGAAACUCUCUCUCACUCCGUCACUAAAUCAGAAACUACAUCGUAGUGUCUAAUGGGUCUAACACAUUUGACUUUGUUUCUAAAAUCUUCUUCGCCUUUUUCGCGAACUACAUAGUAGUUUUAGGGAUUUUAGGGAUUAGAGAUUUUAGGAAUUUAGGUAUUGUGGAUUAUGGAUUUAAAAAAAUGCAUGACUUUUUGGAUUAACAACUACUUUUGGUUUGGGCAUUUUAACAAGCACAUGGAAGGCGUACCACAAUCAUUUUUGGGUUUAUGCUUGCAUGCAACGUAGUUUAUGUUUUGUGUUUUGGCCUCACUAGUCCUAAUGUUUUUCAUUUUUCAUACUCCAUUAUGAUUGGUUUAAUUCGUGUUGCUUUUAGGAUAGUGCAUUGAAGUUUCUGCCUUCAUUUUUUGAUUUGAUUGAUUGUUUAAUUGCUUCAAAUUGUGUGUCAAUAUCAAACAUUGCAUAGUAGUUCAAUUGUGGUUUCAUAUGCAUUGUUUGUUUGCACUGUUUUGUAUAUUUUAUUGGUUUUCAAUUGCUCAUUUGAUUGUCUUCCUUUAUAAUUUUGGUUUCGAAUAUCUUUUUUUACUUGUUUUGUAUUUUGGGUUUAUGCUUGCAUGCAAUGUCCUUUUUAUUUUGAGUUUUGGUGUUUGGUUUAUGCAAUGUAGUUUGUGUUUUGGGUUUUGGGGUUUAUAAGCAUGCAAUGUUUUGGGUUUUGAAUUGCUUUUGUUACUUGUUCUAGCUAGCAUGAUGCUUACUAGGUGCUACAUUAUAGUUUCUGUUCUACACAGACUGCAAUGCAGAGAAAACCAAACUGCAAUGCAGAGAACACCAAAUUGCAUUGCAAUUUGUUUUCUGCAUUCUAGUUUAUGUUUUCUGCAUUGCAUUUUAUACUUUUGCACUGUAGUUUAUGUUUACUUGUCCUAAUAGUGUUUUCAUUCUUGUUUCAAAUCACAAAUGGCACUAGAACAGUCACCACAAAAGAAGGAAGCUCAAAAUCAACCAAAGCCAAUAAAUAAAUUAAUAGCUCGAAAGACAAAAUCAAAGCCAAGUUAUGAUAGAAAAGCGAAGCACCCAGACUAAGUCCAGUUUCGGUGCAACGUCAAUGCAUUGAACAACAUCAUUAUAGACGUUAAAUACAAGCUAAAUGGCAGAAAAAAGGAACUCCUCCAGAAAUCACCUUUCUAGAAAUUGAUUGAGCUGUUUUAGAACGGAAGAGCUGACAUGAAGCACAUGAUUAAGUCGGACCUCGACUUAGAAAACUGCUCAAGCAGUUUGAUCCUACUACAAAGUCUUUCAAAUUUGGCACCAAAUCAUUCGAGAUCACAGCAGAUGCAGUGACUGAAAUUUUAGGAUUGCCAAAUGAAGGAAAAUCUGUCAAACUUGACAAUGAAAGAUACAAAUCAACCUUCAGAAUAAUGUACUUUGGAAAGGCAAAACCAUUAAAAGGACUCGUAGAAGAAGAAAUACACAAAGCAAUUGCCCUGACAAAGAAACCGCUGAACAAAAGCCUAAGACAAAAACAAAGAAGACCGCCAAGAAAAGGAAAGGAAAAAAACAAACUGGAAAAGAAGAAAAUGAGGAAGAGGAAGAGGAGGUUGUUGAUUACGACAAGAAUGUGGUCAGCCUAAUCUUGAUUCAGCUUUGUAUAACAUUGCUCUUCGCCAACUCUUCCUACACUUUGCACUGGACAAUUGUUGAGCACUGUGAGAAGUUAGACACACUAUCAAGCUACUCGUGGGCAAGAGCUGUAUCAAGCUACAUUAAUACCUCAUUGGUCACAAAACAAAAAGCAAAGAAGAAAUGAGAAGACUCUAUAGGGGCUGUUUGAGGUUUCACUCUCCUAAUAUUAGUAAGUCAAACAAAUUUUUUUGGUCGUUAUGUCUUGCUAAUAAAUUCACAAUCUACAUUGCAGUUUCUAACAUAGUAUCUAUAUCUUGUUUUUGAACUGUGCAGUUUCUGCUGUGUGAGAGGACCAAUAUAAUACAACCAAUCAUUGGCAAGGAGAAGGAAACUCCUGCAAUUGUUAAACGGAGUCUUGUUGAACUCCACACAAGAUUCAAUCAAAUCAAGGACUUAAAUGACAUAGAGGUAUGCAAUUUAUCGCAUGUUCUAUUUUAAUGUAUCUUGAAUGUGAAUCUAUUCUAAAUCAUUCUCAUUUUACAGGGUAUUUUCAAAACCUGUAAAAAAAAACAUAAACUAUCAGAGAAGAGGAAGAGGAACAAAUAUUUCUUCAUGAAGACCCUGUUGACAACAAGGUAAUUAGAAUCUGUAAACAGUGGCUUAUGCAUUGCAAUUUCUGUUUUCUGCAAUGUAGUUUCCGUUUCUUGCAAUGCAGUUUCUAUUUUUUCCAAUGUAGUUUCUAAUUAGUUUUGUUCAAUUUGCAGAAAAAAUAAAAUGAAAAUGAUGAAGACAAAGAAGAAGGAGAAGAAGUAGCAGGACAAGUACAACAUAAUAUGAUGAUGAUGAAAGUCCAGAAUUAAAAGAGAUGCGAAAAAAGAAAAGGUUUGAGAUUGCGGAAGGAAAAGAACCUGUUGGAAUUUAUGACUGCUUGGUUAAGUCUAUGACAACCCAAAUCAACCACCGCCAACGACAAGAUCCUAGCUGGGUUUGCCCAAAAAGCAUACAACUGUGGAAGGAUGAAAUUAAUCAAGAUAGUGAGAAGAAAAUGAUGGAAUUUUGGGAUAUAUCUAUCCAAGUAGAAAAGGGAUUAACCCAGCUAGCACAAGAACUUGAAGAGCAAAAAGAAGCAUUAAGAGAUGAAGAAGAUGUCAAUGUUACUUUGACAGUGGAAAGGAAAGACUUGCUCAACAAGAACAAAAAAUGAAAAAAAAGAUAGCACAGUUGGAAGGGAAAGAACCUGAACUUGAGGCACCAACUCAAAAUGCAUAACUUUCUGCAAGAAUCUUGGCAGAAUUGGAAAGCUUGAGAGCAGAACCCACUAUAUUUGAAAUUGAGCCUGACGUGCCUAAACCACAACCAGUUGAUGAUCAGAAUGUGGACCAAACCACUCAUUCAUGUCAACCUCCAUCUACAAUGCAGUUUGUGAAUAUUAUUAGUUCUCAACAGCAACAAGCACCACAAGAAGAGAAGAGAAGAAGAAACAAGAAGAAGAGAAAGAAGAAGAGAAGAAGAAGCAAGAACAAGAGAAAGAAAAAGAGCAUAAACAAGAAAAGAAGCAAGAUGCUCAAACUCUUGAUGUUCCCACAAGAAUAAAACAUGUGAAGAACAGAGAAAGAAAGAGGCAUCAAGCAUCAUGCUAUCAGUAUGAAAAAGAUAAGCAACCAAAGAAGAAGGCAAAAACGGGUGAUGAAGAAUUACAACAGUUCAAGCUUAUCUAUUCCAGGGAGCCGUCAACACAAGAGGAACCUCAAAAUCGGAUGAAGGUAUGAAUUACUGCAGUUCAAGCUUAUCUUUUCUGUUUUUUGCAAUGCAGGUUCUGUUUUCUGCAAUGCAGUUUCUAAUUAGUAUUGUUCAAUCUGCAGUCAACACAAGAGGAACCUCAGCCUGAUGCCACAUAUCCAAUUCCUCAUUCCCCACAAGGAACAAGCAUUAAUGAUAAAAUAAUUCUAGGUCAAGAAAAAUAAGAUGAUGAGGCUAAACCACCCAAAAAGAAACCAAAAAAAAAAAAAAAAAUUUAAAAACAUUAGGAUGGGGAAAGAGAAAGGUGUGGCAAAAAAUAACCAAAGAGGACCGGGAAAGAAUUGAAGUAUACUAUUGAAGUACUGAAACAAGGUAAUAUCCCUAACCCAAAAGAACAAUUAUUUCAUCUUUUAAUUACAAUUAAAGUGACACUAAUAAUGUGAAUUUCAUGUAUUCAAAUCCACAUUGAUAACUUGUAGGAAGGACACCAUGAUGAAAAAAUUUCCAACCGUGAUAUCAAAGAUAUUAUAUGGGACUUUGAACUAUCACAACGUAAGUCUAAACUACUAAUUCUAAAACACACACUGCACUACUUCUUAUUUGUGCCUACUAUAUUACACAUUAACAAUUCCAUUUUUCUCAAAUUAAUGUGAAACAGGUAUUUAAGUUUAUAUACAAAUAGAGGAGGGGAAAAUAGAUCCCAUGUAGAUAGACAUUCCAUAGUACAUGUCUACAUGGACUUGGGUAAGAAUAAUUUUCAAAAUUCAAAAUUGAUUAAACAAACACUGCACUGCAGUUUUCGAAAAAAUAAUACUAACCAAUUGCCAUUCAAUGCUUGCAGUCAUACAUGUAAAACUUCAUGGAGCCAUCUUGGCAUAGAGCCAUGUAUGAACCUUUGUUGGAAAGCUUGGAAAAUGAAAUGUGCUAUUUUUCCCAAUCAUUUCAAGCACCGAGUUCCACUACACCCUCCUGGCGUUUCACAAAUUAGAACAAAAGUGGAGACACUACAAUCCAUUAAGGUCACUAGGAGCAAGAAAAGAAGAAAGAUGUGUUGACAUUGCUCAUGAUAUUCUAAGUGGAAUGAACCUAUCCUAAUUUCACAGCACAAACACAACCUGCAAUGCAGUCAGUUAUUAUACCUACUGUCUAAUUUUAGACCAAAACUAUAAAAUGCAAUGCAUUGAUUACCCUUUUUUUCUUCUUCUUCUCUAAACAGGUUAAUGUUGUUGAAGGGUGGCUGCAAUACAUGAGACCUAGAGCACAAGCUUUCUUACAAAGUGGGACAAUACUAACACUUGCGAAGCAAAAGGACGAGCCCCCUACACCUAUACCAGAAUCCACAAAUGAAGAACGGACUCUCAAUUGGAUUCUGUAACGUCCAUGUCAGUUUACAUUUGAGGAGGACACAGACUGUGCUCAACAAAGUUCAUCUUCAUAAGAAUUGUUUCUACUUAACUAUUCAAUAGAAUUUGAAAUCAUUCCAAACCAAAAACUAAUCGCAUACUCGUUUGUAGGUUGGAUUGUGACAUGUUUGUCAUGUUCUACAUGGAUCAAAUAACACAGGGACAACCCAUUCCAAAAAACUGUUGACAAGAAUUUCAUGAACGAAUAUAGGGCAAAAUACAUCACAAAACUCCUACAUCAUAAAAACUGUCUGAUUAAUCGUAUCUUGUUAUUUGAUUUUAGUAACUCAAGACAAUAUCUAUCUUAAUUUUUCUAGAUGUUUGUAAAUAUUUUGAAAUGAAAUUAUCUUGUUAUUGGAUCUUAGAAAAGAUUUGUUAUAUAUCUCUACUGUCAUGUAAUCUUAGAACAGGAUGUAAUACUGUAGAAACUGUAUAUUCGAUUAUAAUACUUGAGAUAUUACAACCAAUAUUUAUACACAAACUAUAAGAUAUCUUCCUAGUGGUUACAAUGAAAAGGGAAACCCAUUAAAUUCUAAUAAAGGCUAAUAACAACAUAACAGCUAAAACACUAAUGUAUUGUCAUUAAAGACCCUUAACUAUAGUAACUCCCGUAACCCCUAACACUCCCCCGCAAACUUGACGCCAGAGAGGUGACAAGUUUGGAAAUAAGACGUGAAAAUAAGGAAUAUAAUAAAGAUGACAAAUGGAAACAAAAGAAAAUUCAUCACAUGAAAAGCAGAAAGGGAUGUGUAUAGAGAGAAAAUAAGGAAUAUUUGAAGGGAAUAAAGGGGUUAAGAAAGGGUGCAGCACAACAGUAGAGGAUAGGAGGUGAAACCAACUUGGGACACAGAGAAAAGAAAACGAGAGCAUGGGCAAGUUCGAAUUUCAAAGCACCAUAAAAACAAUAAGGUAUGGGGAAGAAAACCACCGUGGAACAGAGAAGUAAUUAAGAAAAGAUUAUCACAAGAGGAUAGAGGCCCAUAUAGAUUAAAAUAAAGAGGGAUGGUUGACCCAAAAAACAAUAAUAAGGAAUAAAGGAGGAAACCAAGUGAGACAGAGAAAGGAAAAUAGAGUGUGGGCAAAACACAAAGUUAAAAUCUUUUCAAAAUAAAGAUGGAAAAAUGAGAGAAAGAAAGAGAGGAGAACAUAGGUUGAGCAUAGAUAGAGCGUGAGAGGCCGAUACUAAGGCAGCAACACAGUGAUAGGGCUUGACUGGCCGAUACCAAGUCCGCAACAUAGAGGAAGAAACAGGGGUUGUGCAAAGGGAACACCCGCAGUGUAGCAUGGCAGAGAAGGCUCAGCAAGCGUUGAUGAGGCUCAUGGAGGAAAGAGAGACGGCUCGGUGAGCAAUGACAGGCAACAUCAACAAAGAAGGGGAAAGUAUGGAUACCACAAUAGAGAAACCAUCAGAAAUACAUGAGAAAGAGAAACCACAAUUACAGACUAGGAAAAGUGAAAGGAAAUGAAGUUUUUAUUUUUUAUUUUUUAUUAUUUAAUAACUAAAAAUUUAUGGAUAUGAGCACGAGUGUUUGGGCAAGAGAGAGAGGAAGCUUAAGGGAAUGAAGGGGAAGCAUGCGUGUAGAGAAGAGAGAGAUAUUGGAAAAAUGGAGGGCUCAUGACACCAAAGAGAAAGAGAUGGAGCCUUGAUAUAACCAGAGAAAAAGAAAGAGUUCAAGAAGGAGUUUUGAUAGAGAAAAAAAAAAGGAAUGAGAUCCUGGAGAGAGAGAAAGGAUAGAGCACAUGAGGGAUAGACAAUGGUUGUGUAAAGGGACUAACGACAGUGAAGCACAGCAGGACAGAGACAAAGGCCGGCUAGGAUAAGGCUUGGUGAGCGAUGACAACUGACAAGGGGGAGAAGGUGCAAUCUUCAAUAGAGAGCAUAAGAAGGAGAAAUGGCUCAAUCUUCAACAGAGAGCAUUACAUGGAGAAAUGCAUGGCUCAAUCCUCAACAGAGAGCUAGACAUGAAGAGAGUGAAAGAUAAAGGCUCAUCAAUGAGCAGAGAGCUUGACAGGGAGCAUUGAAAAAUAAAAGGAAAUGGUAGCAACAGAGAGAAAGACAAAAAAAAUUACUGAUUAUAGAAGGGAGGAGAAGAUGGAGAACUAUACAAAAGCAAACACCCUUUCGAGUGAGGAGAGCCAACGACCCUCAAAGUUGGCAAAUGAAGGAUCGCUAAUUGGCAUUAGCCAUUAGCUCUGAUACCAUGUAGAAACUAUAUAUUCGAUUAUAAUACUUGAGAUAUUACAACCAAUAUUUAUACACAAACUAUAAGACAUCUUCCUAGUGGUUACAAUGAAAUGGAAAACCCAUUAAAUUCUAAUAAAGGCUAAUAACAACAUAACAACUAAAACACUAAUGUAUUGUCAUUGAAGACCCUUAACUAUGGUAACUCCCGUGACCCCUAACAAAUACCUACUGUUAUAUUUAAAAAAAAAAAAAUUCUAAAAAAUAAACAGUUGCUGACCAAAAACUGGAACAAAUGGAAACUGCAAAAUAGUUUAUGACCAAAAAUCAAACAAAUUUGAAAAGAAACCAAAAGACAAACCAAUGAUCGAAGUACUAAACUAAGUUCAAAUGCAACUUAAACAGAAACUACACUACAAUUUUUGAUAAAGAUGUGGCAACAAUUAUCAGCAUGAAACCUUGAAAAAACACAUCUAUCAUAACAGAUGCUCAAAUCCAAAUAAAGUUCAAAAUGCAGAGAGAAUUUUAUAAAUUUCAAUACACAAUAUACAAAAAAUCUUGCACAAAUUCAAUCACAUGCUUCAUAAAAAUUCUACUGAACAGACCAGAAACUGCACGACAGUUUCUAAUAAACAACAACCAUUAAGACAAGUAAACAAAAGCUCCCAACAGCAAAGCACUCAUUAACACAAGUAAAAAAAAAAAAAAACUAAGAAACACAACCAUUUACAAAAAAUUCCAUAAUCUCCAUUAAUUUCAAAACACUUGUACCAAUAUCCAAUGAUGACAUAUAUUUACCUAUUUCUCAUUAGUAGAAACUACAAUGCAUAUAUUUGUUAAAAAUGCCCUAAACUAUCAUCUAAAAACAUAAAAUAAAAAAAAUGUUCAUAUCACGGCGUUGCAAGUCUUUUUAUUGUGGCCUUCAACACUACAUCGACUACAUUUCAACGGCCUUAUAGCUUCAGCAAAAGACUUGAUUCUCUUUGUUGGUGGUCUUCCAGCUAGCCUCUUAGUGAUUGGAGGAAGGACAACUGAACUAACUAAACUUUUGCUGCCCAAGCCCUUCCCAAUGUUCAGUAUAGGAAAAACAAGACUUUUAUAGGCUUUCCGAAAAAAUUCAAAUUUGAAGUAACACUUGACUUCUUUCGAAGUCCUACCUACGUCUACCUUAUUAUUCAAAUCUCUCUCCAUCAUAGGACAAAGAAUUGUAGUCCACUUCUCUGAUUCGAUACUACGGUUAUAAUUCAUCACCAUUAACUUCUUUCGAAGUCCAUCAAUCUACGGUUAUAAUUCAUCACCAUUAACUUCUUUCGAAGUCCAUCAAUCAAUGGUAACACCGGCAGUUGAUGCAGUUCCCCAAUCCAGUUAUUAAAGGAUUUUUCCAAGCUAUUCGCCAUCUCACCAUAGCGCUUUCCAUCAAAAUAUGCAUUGGCAUAGUGCUCCUUAGAAAGAUUAGCAAUAAAAGACUUCACCUUAGCACUACCAACUACCAUCCAUUGCAUCUUGAAACUCAAACUCCGUAACUACAAAUGCACAUCUAGCAAAAACUUUCAACACCCUUUCUUGAAGUACUUUCCCAAAACCUGACUUUGCAUAUUUUGAAAUUAAAUUCUACUUCAAAUGGAAGUAGAAAUGGGAGUGAGGCCAAGCAGGAAACACAAUAGCGAUUGACUUUAACAGACCUUGGUUAUGAUCCGAAAAAAAAUUCACCACUCGGGCCAUUGGUAAUAAAAUGCCUGACAAAUGAUUGAGAAACCACGUCCAAUUAUCCUCCGUCUCUUAAUCGACAACUACAAAUGCUAAUGGAUAAAACCCAGAAAAACAAAACAAAACAAAACAAAAAGAAUUGGUAUUAGGAUGACAAUACAAAUCAGAAACUGUAAUGCAUGUUCUGAUUUAAUUUUUUAAUUUCAAUUUUGCAUUUGCACAUAGAAUCAUGUUAAUCGCUUAUGGCUCAGGGUUUAGCUAUCCGGUUAACCCUUGAUAAUCAAAACAAAAAACACAAAACAAAACAAAAAUAAAAAAUAAAAAAAUAAAAAAUCAACAUAAACUGCAAUGCAGUUUCUAAUCAAAUUGCAAGACAACAACUAAAUCACAAAAUCAACUCAAAACAAAACCUAAUAUUAUGAAAAACACCAAAAAUACUAUGAAAAUUAAAGAUAAACAAAAACAUUCGAAGAACACAUACCUAAAUAGCAGCCAGCACCUCACUAUAGAACCACGACAAGAGAACAACGCCUAACACUGAAAAAUCAAACACAAAUAAAAAUUUAAGAUCUGAUCACAGAAAGAGCAAUGGAACAUAAAAGAAAUGGAACACCCCGAACCAAAUAUAGAAACAAAAUCAAUGAGCAAAAUCGCUCAAAUAUAAAAACAAAUUGAACAAAAAUCAAAACCUAAAGUUCAUACCUCAAAUCACACCAAAAUGCACAAAGAAUAGCAAUCACGAAACUGUUGAAAAUAAACAUGCUUUAUUAAUUAGAUUCAUGAGUUAUGUAUUUAGUUAAUGUAUAAGCAUUUGGAAAGACUCUAGAAGUUGAUUGGGUGCAUGUAUUCAAGACUAGGAAGUAGUGGGGGGCUUUAUUACCUUCAGUGGUUGUAAUUGCUAUAUAUGCCAAAGUCAUGUAAUCGGUUGGCUGCACCCAAGAAAUAUGAAAUAAAGUAUCUUCUCCCAAAUAUUGAUUAUUGUGAGUUUUAUGAGUGAGGGUCCAACACCUUCCAACAAAUUGGCAUCAGAGCCAUAAGAAGUUUAGAAGAUGGCGAACAAUUCGAUGGCUCCAUUUCAAGUUCCUCUACUGACCAAAGAUAAUUAUCACAAUUGGAGUGUUAGAAUGAAGACUUUGAUUGGCUGCUAUGAUGCUUGUGAGGUCGUAGAGAGAGGAAUUGGCGAACACGGAAAUGAAGCAAAUUUGACUAAUGCCCAGAGAGAAGCAUUGAAGGAAACAAGGAAGAAAGACAAGAAGGCACUCACCCUCAUCCAUCAAGCCUUGGAUGACAGCACAUUUGAGAAGGUUGCAAAUGCGACAACGACAAAAAAUGCAUGGGAGAUUUUGCAUAAUUUUUAUAGAGGAGUUGAUAAAGUAAAGAAGGUGCGACUCCAAACCCUUAGAGGGGAGUUUGAAAGCCUACAUCAAAAAGAAUCCGAAUCAAUUUCAGACUAUAUGUCAAAAGUUCAAGCCAAUGUCAACCAAUUGAGAAGAGAUGGAGAAGAAAUUAGUGACACCCGUGUAGUUGAGAAAAUUCUUCGUUCAUUAGAUUCAAAAUUUGAGCAUAUUGUUGUUGCUAUUGAAGAGUCCAAGGACCUGGACACUAUGACGGUUGAUCAACUUUCUGGAUCAUUGAAAACUCAUGAGGAAAGAAGGAAGAAGAAAAUUCAAGAACCAGUUGUGGAGAAAGUCUUACAAACAAAGCUCACUUAAAAUGAUGAAGAAAGCUCAAGAAGUGGAACAAGUCAUGGUCGUGGAAGAGGAAGAGAUGGCAGAGGAAUAAGAGGUGGAAGAGGAGGAAGAAGUGGCAGAGACGAUUUCAAGUCAAGUCACAAUAAAGGAAAAGAACAAAAUUCGUAUUCGUCAAGAGGACGUGGAAGAUGGAGCAAUACAAAUCAGCAACGAAAUUUUAGGUACGAAAAAUCACAAAUCCAAUGUUAUUCCUGUGGACACUAUGGGCAUAAAGCUUUUGAUUGCAGAGGUGGUGAUGGAAACGGCUGAGGGAAGUCCAAUUAUGCAGAAGCAGACAAAGAAGCCACUUUGCUGUUGGCCUACAAAUGUGAAGGAAAAACUAGACAGAAUGGAGAGUUAUGGUAUUUGGACACUGGAGCAAGCAACCAUAUGUGCGGAAAUAAAGAUUUACUUGUUGACCUUGAUGAAAAGUUAGGUGGCAAGAUCACUUUUGGAGAUGAUUCGAAGAUUUCAGUUCAAGGCAAAGGUAAAAUAUUAAUUCGUUUGAAGGAUGGCAGCCAUGAAUUUAUUUCAAAUGUUUAUUAUGUGCCUAUUAUGAAGAGUAAUAUUUUGAGUUUGGGCUAAUUGCUAGAGAAAGGAUACAAUAUGCAGUUGAUUGAUUGUAGUCUCUCAAUUAGAGAUGAAAAAAACAGGUUAAUUGCUAAUAUUCCAAUGACAAAGAAUAGGAUGUUUUUGUUGAAUAUUCAAAGUAAAGCUGCAAAGUGUAUGAAGGCUUGUUUCAAAGAUCCUUCUUGGCGCUGGCACUUGAGAUUUGGGCAUGUGAAUUUUAGUGAUUUGAUUUUGCUGUGCAAGAAAGAAAUGGUGAAGGGCUUGCCAUCAAUCAAUUCUCCAGAUCAAUUAUGUGAAGGGCGUCUACGUGGGAAGCAAUCUAGAAGAAGCUUUCCUAGAGAAACAAGUAUAAGAGCAAGAGAGCCAUUGGAGCUCAUUCAUGCAGAUGUGUGUGGCCCUAUAAAACCAAGUUCAUUUGGUAAGAAUAAUUAUUUUCUUCUUUUUAUUAAUGAUUAUAGUAGAAAAACAUGGGUGUAUUUUUUAAAAGAAAAAUCUGAGGUGUUUGGUUCAUUCAAAAAGUUGAAAGUUUAUGUUGAAAAUGUUAGUGGCUACAAGAUCAAGGUGUUCACCCGUUUUCGUGUUUAACUCCCGAUAUGGAAGGGCGAAGUUCCCCACUAGCUUGGAGACCACUUGUUGGUCAACAAGUCAGCUUUCUUUGGUGUGCGAGCGUGCCACUGCUAGCAAUGUAAAUUCUAGCAGACUCAUUUUUAGAGUGGAUAACCUGCGCCUCAAGUUACUGACUUCUAAAACAAACGAUUGUGAAUUUGGGUGAGGAAUAUCUCCCAAGUAAGUUCUUUUCUUGCCUCAGACUGGUGAGGACUUUCACAAUUUAUCUCAGUAUCAAGAUGGUUGUUCUGGCCAGAAUAGAUAAUAAUAAAGUACUGUUUCAGGCAGAACUGCCUUUUACAAAAUUAAGAAUGGAGAAAUCAACUCUAGAAAGGCAAAAAGAUGGCUGGAAUCUCAUUUCUGCCUGGGUAGAAACUUCUGAUCCGGGCUGGACUGGGUAUGUCUAUGCUGGACUGUACUGUCAACAACUUUAGCUGCUUGGCUUCAGCUGUAAAUCGAUACCAAAGUUCGAUUUUGGCGGAGCUUCAAUCUACUUCAAGCCUUGGGAGGCUCUUGAGCGGGCAGAACUGUGACUUCUUCAGUCUGAAGGGACAGAAGUGGCUAUUCUCGAGGAUUUAGCAAGCUGGAACCAUGCUGUAAAAUUUGUUGAGGUUUUCAUAGUUGUGAAAACUCAGACUAUGUUUGUCUUGGCUUUUGCUGAACCAAAUUUGUAACGAGGGAUCUCGUUCUAGGAAAUUUGUUUUCUAAGUCUGAACCUUGGAAUUCUGAUUUAAGGUUGGUUUCUCUUGGAAUUUAAGUGAGCUCUUGGCUGUUUUUCUUGCUGUUGUUUUUUUUGGUUGAUGAGUUGAGUGUCCUUUCUUUCUUGCCUGCUUCUGUUUUUAUAAGAGACCCUCCUUUUGAAGGUGGUUUUAUAUUUUAAUAAUGGGCGGCAAAAGAUUUCUCAAAACGUAAAGCAGGAAAGAUUUUUAUCAAUUAUGGCAGAUAGACUCCCAGUGGUCACUUCCUAUAGCGAUCCCUUCCCUGGUUUCCUGGCUGACGGUUUUUCUAUUUUAAUGCCACCGUCUGUGUGAGCUGAUCCUAUGGCGGUUUUGAUUUUUCUUUUGUAUUUUCUGAACAACUCCCUGUUUCCUGCUUUUGAAAACGUGAUUUGCGAAAUCUUUUUAGAAGAUGUGUGUGCUUGAGCAAAAAAGUCUCUGAUCAUAGACGCCCUUGAUUUUUUCUUUCUCGGCUGUUUUNNNNNNNNNNNNNNNNNNNNNNNNNNNNNNNNNNNNNNNNNNNNNNNNNNNNNNNNNNNNNNNNNNNNNNNNNNNNNNNNNNNNNNNNNNNNNNNNNNNNNNNNNNNNNNNNNNNNNNNNNNNNNNNNNNNNNNNNNNNNNNNNNNNNNNNNNNNNNNNNNNNNNNNNNNNNNNNNNNNNNNNNNNNNNNNNNNNNNNNNNNNNNNNNNNNNNNNNNNNNNNNNNNNNNNNNNNNNNNNNNNNNNNNNNNNNNNNNNNNNNNNNNNNNNNNNNNNNNNNNNNNNNNNNNNNNNNNNNNNNNNNNNNNNNNNNNNNNNNNNNNNNNNNNNNNNNNNNNNNNNNNNNNNNNNNNNNNNNNNNNNNNNNNNNNNNNNNNNNNNNNNNNNNNNNNNNNNNNNNNNNNNNNNNNNNNNNNNNNNNNNNNNNNNNNNNNNNNNNNNNNNNNNNNNNNNNNNNNNNNNNNNNNNNNNNNNNNNNNNNNNNNNNNNNNNNNNNNNNNNNNNNNNNNNNNNNNNNNNNNNNNNNNNNNNNNNNNNNNNNNNNNNNNNNNNNNNNNNNNNNNNNNNNNNNNNNNNNNNGAAUCAGAAAUGUCUCCCCAAAAUCCGCGCUCAGUCUUCUUCAGCUUCAAAUCCUCCUGAUUACAUCACUGGGAGCGGGGUUGAUGCCCACGCGAUAGAGGUUAGGAGCAAGCUUCACCCCUUUGCCCAGAAGAAUCUGGACGAGAAUGUUCUCCAUUUGUUUGAGAACACUCUGGUGUUAGGGCCUCACUGGUUUGGUCCUGUUCCGGCUGAGGUGGCGGAAUUGCUGAAAAAGGAUGCUGAGGCACCUUUGUGUUUUGAAAGCACUUCUGCCCUAGCUUCUUAUUCUUGGGUUAGCAAGAAUUUGAGUCGAUCUUUUCCGUCCAGCGAGGUGAGGAACAGUCCCGUCAAAUGGGCAGACUGGAUUGACAGACUUCUCCCGAGAUAUGGGGGUCACUGGAGGAGAGCUGGGCUCUAUGACGCCAUUCUUCUGUCCAAGCAGUCGAUUAACAGAGAUGAGAACCUGCUUGCUGCUGCCCUGUGUUUUUGGAAUUCUGCCAGCAACACAUUUGAUUUCCGUGUGGGUCCCAUGGCUCCAACUCUACUGGAUAUGGCUCAGAUUUUUGGGUUUAGGCCCCAUGGCAGACCUGUUGAUGCUGUUGGAGAUUAUCACAGGCGAAAGAACCAAGAGAAAGUGGCCACUCCCUUCACUAUCUCUCCAGCCACGAUCAAUCAGAACUGCUCCUUCUCCAACUUUCUGAAGAGAUUCAGCGCUGAGAAGGACAAGGAUCAGCAACAUAUGUUGUUCCUUCUGUAUUGGCUGAACCGAUUUGUCUUCCCCAAUCGGUCUUCGGCAGUUCUGCUUGAAUACAGACAUCUGGCAGAAGCACUUCACAAUCACACUGAUGUGGGGCUUGGACCAACAGUUCUGGCCCACCUUUUCAAGAAUCUGCAUACUGCCACUCUGGAAAAUCCAUUGAACCUGUCUGCUCCUGGCGCAUUCUGGAUGAUCCAGAUCUGGCUGCAGGUAUAUUUCCCCGAGUUAAGGUUUCCAGACAUAGUUCUGCCUGAAGACCAAGUUCUGGCCCUUCCCCUGAUAUCGGCAGAAGUGCCCAAGCGCUCUCUUGAGGAGUAUUUGAUGCUCUUCAGGCAUUGUACCAAGAGGUCGGCUGCUCAGUGGCAAGUGGUGAUCAGAAGGACCUAUCCUUGGUUCCAGACUGGAUCUCGGCUUUUCGAGAAAGAACCAGAAGACGAGGCUGCCAGAACAGAUUUCAGAAAGAAGUUCUUGAGCAUUACUCUGCCUAGAGAUCUGCCUCAUGGUGGGGGCAAACCUCCAAACUAUCAUCUGGGGGCAGAAGUCUAUCAUCCUAACUUCUGUGCAAGGCAGCUUGGCUGUCCUCAGCUUAUUCCGCUGAAAUCAUACCGGAGUUGCAAUCGGGCCUCUUCUUGGAGGGAUGUAGAUGAUCUGGAGGUGCACAAGGAUGCCCGGUGUGCAGUGAACAAGAUAAAUAAUAGCACGGAUGCCCUCUAUCCCUCAUGGGAGCCAAAUUCCUGCAGUUCUGCUGAUUUUGACGCCUGGUGGCAAACCAGAUUCCAAAAUCUACCAGCUUCUGUUACUGCCCUCAAAACGCUUUUUGACGGUUGGGAGAACUGGCAUCUUUUUGCGGAGGGGGAGGCCAAAGCGCAUAUGAUCCAGACCAUCAAGGACAUUAAUGCGCAAAUCAUAGAAGGUAGAUACUUGAUUCUGUCUGGGACUUGUUCUGUCUUGAUAAUCUGUUUUUAACCUAUGUUCUGCCUGUUAUUAGAUCCUUCCCUGACAAAGAACGUGGGUGGACAGUCUGUCCAGGCUGGAGAAGUGAUUGGUAAGCCUUUCCUUUUUAAUUUUCUUCUGUCUUUUCCUGUUGGAUUGGCUUCUAACCUCUAACUGCUUGGUGCAGUCUCUUCUGUUAUUGCCGCCGGGGAUCUGGAGCUUCCUUCUGCUGAUGAAGAGGAUGAUGUUGAGGCAGAACAAACCCCUGCCGAGGCUGUUCCUUCUGGUAGAAGAAAAAGAAAAGGGCUUGCUCCCCCUCUGGAUAGUACCGCGCGGCCUGGCAUUCCUGGUAAGUUUAGAGCAUUCCAACUGUUCUCUCUGGAUUUAUUCUGUUUUCUCUUUUCUAAUCUUUUCCUUCUGUUCUGUCCAGCUGGGAGUCCUUCUCCUCCUCCUACUAAGUUAAAAAAGCUUAAGAAGAGGGGUGAAGUGGAAUACUUUGCCGCAGAAGAAGCCGCAGCAAUCCCAGCCGCUACUUCUGGGACGGACGAUGAGCUGCGAGAAGCCUUUGAGGAGGUGGAGCAGGAAAAAGAGCUGCGAGAGCUGGAGGAGGUGCCCCAAGAGAAGGUGGCAGCGGUGGAAGACGAGGUGAGUUUUAGUCUGUGACUCGCACUAGUUCCUCUUUUGCUUCAUUCCUUCUGUUCUGACCCCCUUUUUGUAGGAUGAAAUUCUUGCUGAGGUGAUAGCGGAGAGCAUUGCCUUGGCGCAGAAGCAACAAAAGGGUCCGAGUGCUGAGCUGACCAGCUCAGAACUGGCUCUUUUUGAGGAUGCUGAGGCAGAACACUCUAUUGCCGCUCCAGAGGCCGAGGAUCAGGUGGAGCCAUCUGCAUCAGACCCCGUGGAUCAGGCAGAAUUAACCGUUGUGGUCCCGGAGGUUGAAGUGGAAACGACUGCAGCUGCUCCUGUGGUUGUGGUAAUUUUCCUCCUUGACUAUUCAUGUUUUCCUGCUGUUCUGUCUGUUCUAACAGUUGUAGUCUUUCCAGGUGGAAGUGCCUAAGGCUACUGGUGUUCUGGCUACGGUAUCCAGCCCCCUAAAGCCUCCCAUUGUCGCUGUAAGUUUUUAAUAACUUUUGAGCCUCCUUUAUCUUCCACUUUCUGCCUGGUAUUAACUUAUGUUCUCUUCUGCAGAUGCCUAUUCAUUCCUUCCCAGGAUCAUCUGCCACGGCUUCUUUUGCUGAUCCAGAACUUGAAGAGUUUGAGGCCAUGGAUCUGGAUGCCCAAUUGGACAGACUGGAGAAACUCAGCUCUCCUCCAGGCAAAGCAAAAUCUAGGGCGGUGGAGGAAGCCAUGGAGAGGUUGAAAAUCUGGCAGUCCACCGAGCUGGAAUUUGAUGAAGAUACAGGGGCUCUUGAUCAGCUGAUGAAGGACCUGGACCUGCUGCAUAGACAGAACAUGGCUCCGAGGCCUAUUCUUGAGAUGGGCCUAAGCCUGGCCCGAGAUGUGCUUAACCUGCAUGAUCGCUAUGAAGAUCUUAGGCCUACGUUCAAAACUUCUGAGUUCUGCAAGGCCACACAUGAAGCCAAUCUGGCUGACUUUGCUAGGCAGAAAACAGAACUGGAUCAGAUGGUGGCUGGAUAUAAGGAGGCCAAGGCUACCGCGGAUAAGCUGGAGAAGCAGAUUGAGGAACUCCAAAAACAGUUGGCAGAAUGCAGGGAGGUGCAGAGCAGGCUUGGGGCUGGACUGAGUUCUAAAACUAAGGCCACUUUUCUUGUGCAAAGUAUGGUUGCAGCCUCCAGGCCAGCUUUGGAGAUUGCAGAGGCUUCAAUUCACCAGGGGGUGCUGCUCCAGAAAGAGCUUUCUGUCAAGAAAGCGAACCUGCAAGAGACUCUUAGAAAGCUAGGAUUUUAGCUUCUUCUUUCUUUUGUUCGAAUAAUUUGCCGCAAAGGUGGCUAUUUUAUAUAAGCUUUCAAAGCAUUUUUACUGCUUUUUAUUCUUGAUGAAAUAACCGGACAUGGUUUUGAAGGUACAGUAAAAACAGAACAACUUUAAAGUAAAAACAAACCUAAACAAAACUCCAAACAGAACAACCUUAAAGUAAAAACAAAUCUAAACAAGAUUCCUUUUCAAGAAACAAAAAGGUCAAUCUUGUUCCUCUCCUAUCCCGGGAUCUGUUUGUACAGCCUGCGAAUCCCACAUGGUUGGAUAGAACUUCUUUAACCAUUUGCCAUUGAUUGGGGCGAAGUGAACAACCCCAUCUCGGUCCUGCAACCUAUAUGCCCCCAUUCCGAGGAUUUGGUUAAUUAUAAAAGGGCCUUCCCAUGUAGGUGACCACUUUCCAUAUCCAGCUAUGUGUGUUCCAAGGGGCAGAAUUGCUUUCCAGACUAUCUCUCCCUCUUCAAAACUCUUGUUUUUGACUCUUUUGUUGUAGGCUCUCGACACAGCCUGUUUUCCUGCUAAGAGUUUGUUGAGGGUGUCAAUUCUGCUUGCAUCCAAUCCUUCCAAUUCCAGCAACAUGGCUUGAGAGUAAUCCUCCCCAGUGAGAUCGUGCUGGUGAGCAAUUCUAAGGGACUGGACUGCUAUCUCCAUGGGCAGAAUUGCAUCAUGACCGUAGGUCAGAGCAUAGGGAGUCAUGCCAGUUGCUUCUCUUUUUGACGUUCUGUAUGCCCACAAAGUUUCUGACAACUUCUCAUGCCACUGCUUCGGAUUUUCUCUAGCAUUUUUCUGAUGAUAUUGAUAAUCACCUUGUUACUUGAUUCUGCCUGUCCAUUAGCUUGAGCAUAAUAGGGGGUAGAUUGAAGCAGUUUGAACUUGAAUGUUUCUGCCACAUCUAGCAUAUCCCUAGAUAUGAAAGAAGAACCCCUAUCAGUUGUGAUUGAUUCCGGAAUGCCAAAUCUCUGUAUGAUCUGUUCUUCUAUAAAGAUGAUGAUCUCUUGAGAUGUUGUGGUUUUUACUGGCUUGGCUUCUACCCACUUGGUGAAAUAAUCUGUGGCAACGAUGAUGAAACAGUGCUGCUGGUUGCUGGCUGGAUAGAUUUUGCCAAUGAGAUCCAUUGCCCAUCCCCUGAAAGGCCAUGGCUUUACUACUGGAUUCAUGGGAACCGAAGGAACCUGCUGGAUUGGGCCGUGCCUUUGACAGGCUUCACAUCCUUUGGAAUAGUCGAUGCAAUCCUUCAUCAUGGUUGGCCAGAAGUAGCCAUACCUUCUGAUUAACCAGCACAUCUUUCUUCCUCCUUGGUGAGCUCCACAGAUCCCCUCAUGGGUUUCUCCCAUGACUUUCAUGUAUUCUGUCUUUCCGAGACACCUUAACAGUAUCUCAUCCUUACUUUUCCGGACCAAAUCUUCAUUCCACAUGAGAUAGUUUGUAGCCAUGAUCCUGACUCUUUUCUUAGAGGGCAGAGUGGGGUAUCGUAAGUAAGUCAUGAUAGGCUCCCUCCAAUCAUCUUCAGUGAUCGAGGCAGAAUUGACUUCUAUCUCCAUUCCUCUAGUCAGAACUGACGGUAGACUUUUCCUUCCUAUCUUGAUGAUCCUCUGGACGCAGUCUUCGGGCAUUUGUAUGCCUGAUGCUACCUGAGCCAGUUCAUUGGCUGCGAAGUUUUCCUCCCUUGGGAUGUGUUCCCAAGUAGCUUCUCUGAAUUCUGUCAAUAGAUUUCUAGCUGCCACUAGAUAUACAGCCAGAGAGGGAUUCAGACACUUAUAUUCUCCAGCAAUCUGUUUUAGGACAAGCAUGGAAUCUCCCAAGAUUUCCACGGACUGGACUCCUAAUUCUACCAACAUCUCGAGCCCUAUAAUCAAAGCCUCAUAUUCGGCCCUGUUGUUGGUGCAUUGGAAAUCUAGCUGGAAAGAAUAGCAAUGCCUGACCCCUAAUGGUUCUUCCAGAACAAUUCCUGCUCCUGAAGCCUUGUCUGUCUUCGAUCCAUCAAAAUAUAAUUUCCAAGGUGUGAGAUGAAUCGAGUAGAUUGGAUUGUUAAGGCAAACAUGAGCUCUAGUUAACAGAUCUGCAUUUGCUAUGUCCAAAGAAUCCAUGUCUUCAAUUUCCUCUCCCGGGUGAUCUGCCAAAAAGUCUGCCACAGCUUGCCCUUUGACAGCUUUCUGGGGGACAUAUCUGAGAGUGAAUUCUGUCAAAGCCAAAGUCCAUUUCCCAAUUCUGCCCCUUAACAUUGGUCUUGUCAGCAUGUAUUUGAUUAGGUCUGUUUUGGCAAUGAUAUAAAUAGUAUGUGGCAGCAUGUAGUGCCUGAGCUUUACAGCAGUGAAAUAUAAGGCCAGGCAAAGCCUUUCUAUCGCGGAAUACCUUCUUUCCACCUCUGUCAAUGUUCUGCUUAAAUAGUAGACUGCCUGUUCUUUUCCUUCUUUGUUAUCUUGAACUAGCAGACUUCCAAUGGAUACUUCUGAUGCAGAUACAUAAAGUUUGAGGGGUCUGCCCCUUUUUGGUGGGGACAGAACUGGUGGAUUUGAGAGGUAAUGCUUUAUUUCCUGGAAAGCCUGUUGGUGCUGUUCUUCCCAUUUGAAUGUCUGUUCCUGUUUCAGUCUCAACAGGGAGGAAAAAGGUUGGAUUUUUCCUGCAGAAUUGGAUAUGAAUCUCCUUAGGAAAUUGAUUUUUCCUAAGAGACUCUGAAGUUCCUUCUUGUUCCGAGGUGGUAGAGCUUCUAUGAUGGAUUUUGCUUUAUUUUUGUCAACCUCUAUACCUCUCUGGUGGACCAAGAAUCCUAAGAAAUUCCCUGCCUGGAUUCCAAAAACGACAUUUUUUGGGGUUCAUUUUUAGCUUGUGCUGCCUCNNNNNNNNNNNNNNNNNNNNNNNNNNNNNNNNNNNNNNNNNNNNNNNNNNNNNNNNNNNNNNNNNNNNNNNNNNNNNNNNNNNNNNNNNNNNNNNNNNNNUUAAUCACCACGUCAUCUAUGUAUACUUCCAAAGAAUGUCCUAUCAUAUCAUGAAAAAUAGAAUUCAUUGCCCUUUGGUAGGUAGCUCCCGCAUUUCUCAAACCGAAAGGCAUUACAGUAUACUCGAAAGCACCUAUAUGUCCAGGACACAUAAAGGCUGUCUUGUGGAUGUCCUGUUCUGCCAUCAUAAUCUGGUUAUAACCUGCAUUGCCGUCCAUGAAAGAUAGCAUCUGGUUAUGAGCGGCUCCAUCCACUAGCAUGUCUGCCAUUGGCAUAGGGUAUUCAUCUUUAGGAGAUGCCUCAUUCAGAUUCCUGUAAUCUACGCAGAUUCUAACUGCCCCUGUUUUUCUUUUGAGAACAGGUACAAUAUUUGCUAACCAAUCGGCAUAGACGGCUGGCCUGAUGAAUCCUGCCUUGAGCAACCUUUCUAUCUCUUCUUUGACCUUCAGUUCUGUGUCCAUAGACAUUCUUCUUCUGGCCUGUUUGACUGGAAGGUAGCCAUCUUUAAUUGGCAGCUUGUGCUCCACUAACUGCCUGUCCAAUCCCGGCAUCUCGUGGUAAUGCCAGGCAAAACAAUCUCUGAAUUCCUGCAAAAGUGCCGUGAUUUCAACCUUGAGUGGUUCUUUUAACAGCGCGCUGAUGAAAGUAGGCCUUGGAUCUUCUUCUGUCCCCAAGUCUAUCUCCUGUAGAGGAUCCUCUACUUCUGGCAGGGAGUCAUCUAGUGCUGCCGGUGCAAAUUCCAACACUUCCUCCUGUAAAACUUCCUCCUCUUGUUCUUUUGUGCUUUCAUGGGUGAAUUCUGCCAUAUUGAUGGCUGGAUUCUGUAUGAAAAGCCUCCUUUCUCCCCAGUAUAUCAACAAUCUUUUUGUGAUGGAUCGGAUUGUUGCAGCUCGAUCCUUGUCCAGUUGACUGGGACUAAACAUCAGAAUUCUGGAAGUUCAGCACAAGAAAGUCUAUUCCAGUCCUCUAGAGAACUGGCUAGACCUUCUUCAAUGAGUCUUUGGGCCGUGACGCCAUGGGGGCGGCCGUUCUGAUUGACUCCAAGGAAAGUGUAGGGACCGAGGUCAUCAUGAUAAUACCUUGCUUCAAAGCACAUGGCAGAGGGUAGGAAUGGCCGUGGAUCGGCCUCUAUAAUCUCCAUGCAGCCUUCUUCAUCCCAUAUUGCUAACUGCUGGUGGAGGGUGGAAGGGAUACAAAGGCUCUGGUGAAUCCAAUCCCUGCCGAAUAGUGCAUUGUAGGUGGUGGAGGUAGUGUCUAUAACAAAGAAUGCUAUUUUCAACUCUUUGCUUCCGACUACGACAUCUACAUCUAAGAUGCCGUGUAUUUUGGUGAUGCCCCCAGCGAAGUUGGUGACGGUUAAUCGUGUUGGAAUUAGAUCCCUCUCUGUUCUGCCCAACUUGGUCAGCAUUCUGUGGGGCAAUAGAUUAAUGGCUGCACCUCCAUCUACCAUGAUCUUGGAGAUAGGAAUACCUCCAAGAUUUGCCGUUAUAAACAGCGGUCUGAGGUGAUUUGCCAUUUCUCUGGUUGGCUUGGCGAAGCAAGGCUGCCCUGUAGCUGGUUUAUUGGCUGUUCUGCCUGUCCUAGGGUCGUCUGCUUGCGGUUCUGGCGGCUCCUCUGCUUCUGCCAACCUACAUUCAAAGCUCUCCUGGGAAAAAACGUCCCCUUCCAGAGUGCUUUCUUGUCCUUCGGUAGCCCUGAAUUCACCUGGUAGGAUGAAUACCAUGUUGAUUCCCAGAUCACCCUGUAGGAGGUUUUCUAAUUCUGCGCCAAAAGCUUCUGUUUCUGGGUCCAAUUCUUCACCAAAUUCCAUUAAUUCUUCCCCAUAUUCUUCCGUCCAGUCAUCCUGUUCUGUUAGUUCGAGAGGCUCUUUCUGAUCAUCCGCAGAAGGUUCAUAGUCUAAUUGCUCUUCUUCAUAUUCCUCAGCGUAGUCGUCUUCUUUUUGUAAUGGGGCAGACCCGGAUUUCUCUGGUGUCUGCGUGGUGUCAGGAUGGCUGCCGGACGACGAGGCUAUAUGGAUAGGAGACCUGGCUGGUGGCUCUGUUUUCAGCAAUUCCCUUGACUGGCAAGCUUCCUGUUCUGUCUGGGGAAGUGUUUCAGGAUUCUUUCCUUUCCCGGCAGAACUGGGUUGUGAACGUACCUGCGUAUUAUCUUGGCUUUUAAGAUAUGUGCAGUAUUGCCUCUGGAUUCUUCUUUUCUGGGUUCUGGUCAGCUCCAGAGUCGGUCUACCGCUUCUUCCUACGGAAUACCACCUCCCUUCUAUGAUCGUUGCCAAGGGUCUUUCGUUUCCGGGCGUCUUGACUGGUAUUUCCUUCCUGGGUUGCUCCAUCCUCCUCUCGCCGUAGUGUGCAGGCCUAAGACAGCUUUUCUGCCUUGUCUUGUCUCGGGAUAUAGUUCCAAUUCUGUCAAAGACACUAGGUGUGGGCUGAUUUUUCUUGUCUAGGACCACCUCUAGCUCUGUUUCACACUUGCACCUACUGCAGAGCACUACCCCAGCCGAGAUGGUCGCUCUUGGUAUCUGACUGGUCUCCCUUAUGAUUCUUCUGCCUCUGCUGCAACCAGCAUCUGUGAUAGGGUCGGUUUUCCUCUGUUCUGGCCAAUUUAAGUUGACCAUAUUGACUUGCGGUUGAGGAAAAGGAUCCGUUGUGACGGAUGGUGGUUUUUCUGCCAGCUUCAACCUUCCUGCCGUUAUUCCUUCUUGUACUACGUCCCUGAAAACGACACAGCUAUUGGUAGAAUGGUUCCAAGAGUUGUGCCACCUGCAGUACUGUCUGCCUUUGAGUUCUUCCGGCUUGGGUAUUCUGUGAGGCGUCUCUAUUGCCUUCUGCAGUAGCAUUUCGUCGAACAAGGCAUCGACCUUGGUUAAGUCAAAAGAGUAAACCUUGUUCUGUGUUGGUUUGUUUGGAACGAAUCCUCCUGUGAAUGGUGGCGGUUUUUGGUCUUUGGGUGGCUUUGUGAGGGCUUUGCAACUGAUGGGAUGUUUCAGUUUUGCCAUUUCUGCCACUGAAACCUCUUUCUCCUCUGAUUCCUCUGUAUCUUCUUGUGACUCCACCUCGAUCAGGUGGAUUGAAGAAGAAGGGGUUUUGUAGUAUGUACCUUUGGAGGAGUUCCUCCUUUGCUGCUCUUCCCUGAGUAGCUCUUCAUACUUGGAUGCCUUAUCAGCCAGUUCUGCCAGAUCUCCGAACACUAUCCCGUCGAACCUUUUCCUGAGAGAAAUUUUAAGGGCGGCUUGGGCCAUCUGGAUGAAGUGUCUUUCUUCCAUUGGGAUUCGGCACUUCAUCUUGAGCUUUCUGAAUCUGGUUAUGAAAUCUUGCGCCGGUUCAUCUUCACUUUGCUUGAGGGCAGCUAGAUCACUGAUGGUGACUUCUGGCUGAAUCCUGUAAUAGUAGUCAUGGAAGACAUUUUCCAUCUGUUCCCAGGUUUGAACAGAGUUAGCUGGCAGGCUGGUGUACCAGGUAAAAGCUUGCCCAGAGAGAGAGUUGCCAAAAAGCCUUAAUUUCAGUAGAGGGUUGUUUUCUAUAGCUAUGCAUUGGACGGAGAACCUGCCUAUGUGUUCGACUGAGGAAGCAUGGGGAUCUUCCCCGUUAAACAAAGUGAAGUUUGGCACUUUGAAACCUGGAGACAACGGUAUUUGAUCGAUGUAGGCUGGGUAUGGCUUUCUGUAAGUAGGCCUUUCCCCUCUUCUAGCCUCGGGUUCCAUGAUCUCUCUGAUCAUUCUUCGCAAUGCCCCUACGUCAUUUAAAGCAUUGACUGGGGGAGCAAUUUGUCCCUGUUCUGGCUGAACGUAAUCAAACCUGGGCUCUGUCCUGAGUGGUCUGGGUGGAACUUCCUCCCUGUGUUCUUCCUGCUCUUCGACUUCUGGAUGAUUCCUCCAGUUUGCCCCCGGUCUAUUCCUGUCAUGAUUAGCAAAAAGGUUGUUUCCCCCUCGGCCUCUCCUCCCUCUUGCAGGUGGAGGGAAUGGAUUAGGGUCCAUCCUUCUGGGUCUAUAUGGCAAUACUGCCGGUGCUUCAGGCAGAAGCGCCAAAGGUUGAUCAUGCGGGGCUGCAUGAUGUGAAUUGAGCUGAGGUCCUGGCUGGUUCUGAGCCAGCGCCAGGUUAUCUGGUUGGGUCGGGGCCUGAUGUUCUUGAUUAGGAAGGGCCCUCUCCCUCGGACCAGCCUGAAUUUCUGUGUGGCUUGGCACUCCAGCUAUCUGUGCCACUAGAGGAUUUUCCUGGUAUGGCCAUAUUAGUCCUGGCGGAGGGCCAUAAGGAAGAUCCAACUGCUGGAUUACAGGAUCUGGGUUCGGAUUUCUGGCCAUGGCGGAUUCUCGGUCCUUCCGGAACUGUCUGUUUACCUGCCAUUGCAUCAUGGCUGUCAUGUUAUCGAGAGUGUCCUGGUUCCUUUGUACUGUGACCUCUUGUCGGAGUACCGACUCCUGUAUUUGACUCACCCUUUUGGAGCCAGUCCUGGAACGUCUGCUUCCUGUACUGCCGUGGGCAGACUGCCUAGCGUCGCUUUCUUCUGAUUCGAGGCCUUCUCUGAGAACCAUCUUGUUUUUCUCCAUGUCUGGUGUGGGUUCUGACUAGAUCUUCCGGCUUUUGUAAAUCUGUGAAUGAUUCUGUCCGAGUUUGUAUACUGAGAAGUCCCACUGGGCGUGCCAAAUUGUUCACCCGUUUUCGUGUUUAACUCCCGAUAUGGAAGGGCGAAGUUCCCCACUAGCUUGGAGACCACUUGUUGGUCAACAAGUCAGCUUUCUUUGGUGUGCGAGCGUGCCACUGCUAGCAAUGUAAAUUCUAGCAGACUCAUUUUUAGAGUGGAUAACCUGCGCCUCAAGUUACUGACUUCUAAAACAAACGAUUGUGAAUUUGGGUGAGGAAUAUCUCCCAAGUAAGUUCUUUUCUUGCCUCAGACUGGUGAGGACUUUCACAAUUUAUCUCAGUAUCAAGAUGGUUGUUCUGGCCAGAAUAGAUAAUAAUAAAGUACUGUUUCAGGCAGAACUGCCUUUUACAAAAUUAAGAAUGGAGAAAUCAACUCUAGAAAGGCAAAAAGAUGGCUGGAAUCUCAUUUCUGCCUGGGUAGAAACUUCUGAUCCGGGCUGGACUGGGUAUGUCUAUGCUGGACUGUACUGUCAACAACUUUAGCUGCUUGGCUUCAGUUGUAAAUCGAUACCAAAGUUCAAUUUUGGCAGAGCUUUAAUCUACUUCAAGCCUUGGGAGACUUUUCGAGCGGGCAGAACUGCGACUUCUUCAGUUUGAAAGGACAGAAGUGGCUAUUCUCGAGGAUUUAACAAGCUGGAACUAUGCUAUAAAAUUUGUUGAGGUUUUCAUAUUUGUGAAAACUCAAGCUGUGUUUGUUUUGGCUUUUGCUGAACCAAAUUUGUAACGAGAGGGAUCUCGCUUUCAGAGGACUUAUUUUCUAAGUCUGAACUUUGGAAUUCUGAUCUAGAGCUGUUUUCCUGUUUGUAUUUUUUGAUUGAUUGAUGAAAAGAAUGUCCCUUUUCUUUCUUGCCUGUUUCUGUUUUUAUAAGAGACCCUCCUUUUGAAGGUGGUUUUAAAUUUUAAUAAUGGGCGGCAAAAGAUUUCUCAAAAAACGUAAAGCAGGAAAGAUUUUUAUCAAUUAUGGCAGAUAGACUCCCAGUGGUCAUUUCCUAUAGCGAUCCCUUCCCUGGUUUCCUGGCUGACGGUUUUUUUUUAUUUUAAUGCCACCGUCUGUGUGAGCUGAUCCUAUGGCGGUUUUGAUUUUUCUUUUGUAUUUUCUGAACAACUCCCUGUCUCUUGCUCUUGAAAACGUGAUUUGCGAAAUCUUUUUAGAAGACGGUGUGUUGCUUUGGAGCAAAAAGUCUCUGAUCAUAGACGCCCCUUUGAUUUUUCUUUCUCGGCAGUGUUUUCAGAAACGUCCCUUCUCACAUAAAAACUCUAGUUGGAUUUGCUGACUUUCCAGAGAGGUGAGGUAGCCACGUGAAUGUGUCUUUAGUCUCUUGGGCUUGAGUUUAAACAAUAUUUUGUGGGCUGAUUUUCAAAGGCCCAAUAUGACAGCUUUGGGUCUUUUUGGGACUGGAUAAGUAUUUCACCACGGGCCUGUUUCUGGAUCUCUUUGGUGUGUCGAAUUUAGGCCCAAACACAAGGCUUUGAGAUUUGAUAGAGGAGGUGAAUUUACAUCAAAAGAAUUCCAAAAAUUUUGUGAAUACCAUGGGAUUCGUUGUCACUUGACAGUCUCUUACUCCUCGCAGCAAAAUGGAGUGGUGGAGAGAAAAAAUAGAUCAAUUCUCAGUAUGGCUCGAAGCAUGAUGAAGAGCAAAAAUAUGCCAAAAGAAUUUUGGGCUGAAGCUAUUAAGUGUGUUGUUUAUUUGUCCAAUCGGUGUCCAACUAGAAGCCUUUGGAACAAAACACCCAAGAAGCAUGGAGUGGAAGAAAGCCCGGCGUGUUUCAUUUAAGAGUUUUUGGGAGCAUUGCCUACACACAUGUGCCAGAUAAGAAUCGUUCCAAGCUUGAUGACAAAAGUGAGAAAUUCAUUUUUGUUGGCUAUGAUGCUUCCUCCAAAGGGUAUGUUAGUAUGAAAUUUGUAUUUUCAUUUCCUAUACUUUAGCAUAGAUGAAAAAUUAGUGUGUGAAGAAUUGUUACUGGACGUUUUGGCACAACUCAUUCAACCUCAUACUUCCGAGGCAUGACUUAACCGAUAUGAGAAACUGAUUUCAAGUAAAUCAUGACAUAAUUAUUCAUUCAUUAUAGGAUUCCUAGUUGGAGUUAUUUUUACUCAAGCACUUUUAUAUUAGCCCUAUUUUUAAUAGGAUUAGAUUUUAUCUCUUAAGAUUGCUUUCCUAAUUGGACUCUAUUUUGAUUCAAGUUAAAAUCUUAUCUUCGUUUGGUCUAAUUAAUUUGUUUUAGGAGAUAUUGUUUCUCCCUAAAAAGAGUGGCUAUUUGGCAUCAAUCACUUAGAGUCCAUAUUGGAUCAAAUAUGAUAUUCAUGAUUGAAUAGAAUUUGUGGUCUCCUGUUUGGCGUGAUUACUUAGAACCAUAUAGGAAGUUUGGCAUUUGUCAUUCAAAAUGCAUCUAAAUCUUAUAUUGAUGAUAGGAAGUUUGCAUGGACUGACGAAUUGAGGUAGGAUUCUAUGUGAAUCAAAUAUGAUUAAUGGCAAGAGAUUGAACACGUGGCUUUGUGCUCUUCUCUUGCAAAAAGGAGAUUGUGGUUUGUAUAAGGAUACGACGUGCUUUUUUGUUUUGGUGAGCUUUCCCAUAUUUAGUUUGAGCAUCUAAAAUUUUUAAGAAAGCUAUUGUGCAUAUAUUUGAGAUAAAUCAUCAAGUAUUCGACGUUUAUUUGGUGAUUUAUCAAACACUUUAAUCAUUUAUAUUGCAUUCAUAUGCAUGUCGAUGACUCAUACGGUUGAGGGCACCAAGAUCGUAGUGGCAGUUUUCCUCCGGCGAGCUUAAAGCAAUCGUGGCUGCGUUCAACAUAAGGAGUGUCAAAGAUCAUCCUGUGACAGAAGUUGAGUUACAAAGAAGUCGGUAAACAUUAUCUAGAACGUGUCUAGGAUAAGUGUGUGAAUACUUCUUGUAAUCAUCGAUCUAUAGUGGAUUUGUGUUGGACUGAGGAGUCCCGUGGAUUUUCCCCAGAGGUGGGGUUUUACCACGUAAAAUAAUUCUCUGCGUGUUCUUUUAUUUUAUGCUCAACACGUUUUAGGAUUGAUAAGCCAUAUCAAUCCUGCUACCGAAGUUUAUUUUUAUUUAUUCGAUUAUAAUCUUAAAUUGGCCUAUUCACCAUCCUCCAGGCAUUUUUAGUCAUCCUACAGGUAUUUUCAGGGUACAAGCUUUAUAAUCCAGAAAAGGAGAAAAUUAGCAGGGAUGUUCAUUUUGAUGAAGAAGGCAUAUGGAAUUGGGAGGCUCUAGAGAAAGAUUAUAACUUUUUUCCUCUCUUGGAAGAAGAAGACAAUGUUGAGCAAACAUUUGAAGAGCAUCAACAAACUCCACCUCCAUCACCACCAUCAGUUCAUAGAGAUUUCUCAUCCCCAUCAUCCUCAUCAAGUGAAAGCUCAAAUGAAAAAACGCCACACUUUAGAGACCUAAGUGAAAUUUAUGAUGUCACAAGUAAUCAAAAUGAUUUGACCUUGUUUUGCUUAUUUGCUGAUUGUGAACCAAUAGGCUUUGAAGAUGCAGUGCAUGACUCGAGAUGGAGAAAAGCAAUGGAUGAAGAGAUAGGUGCAAUUAAGAAGAACAACACAUGGGAGCUUGCUGUCUUGCCUAAAAGCCAAAAAAUAAUUUGAGUGAAAUGGGUUUAUAAGGCUAAGAAGAAUGCUAAAGGAGAAGUUGAAAGGUAUAAGGCAAGAUCGUUUGCCAAGGGAUACAACCAAAGGGCUAGAAUUGACUAUAGAGAGGUGUUUGCGCUAGUUGCGAGAUUGGAGACCGUAAGAUUGAUGAUUUCUUUGCCAGCCCAAAACAGAUGGAAGCUUUAUCAAUUGGACGUGAAGUAUGUGUUCUUGAAGAAGAGGUCUACAUUGAUCAACCUAUGGGGUAUGUUGUGAAAGGUCAUGAGGAUAAAGUUCUGAGACUCAAGAAAGCUUUGUAUGGGCUUAAACAGGUACUGAGGGCGUGGAAUAAUAGAAUUGGCAAGUAUUUUCAAGAAAAUGGUUUCAAGAAAUGCCCCUAUGAGCAUGCUCUCUAUCUAAAGGUGAAUGAAUAUGGUGAUAUGUUAAUGGUUUGCUUGUAUGUCGACGAUUUGAUUUUUACAAGUAAUAAUCCAUAAAUGUUUGAGGAGUUCAAGAUUGCAAUGACAAGAGAAUUUGAGAUGACUGACAUUGGGCUCAUGGCAUAUUAUCUUGGCAUUGAGGUGAAGCAAAUGGAAGAAGGAAUUUUUAUCUCACAAGAAAGCUACGCAAGAGAAGUCCUUAAGAAGUUCAAGAUGGGUGAUUGAAUCCAGUGAGUAGUCCAAUUGAAUGUGGAGUGAAGUUGUCCAAAUUUGAAGAUGGAGCUAAAAAGGAGAAUCCAACUAUUUUCAAGAGUUUGGUAGGAAGUUUGAGAUAUUUAACUUGCACAAGGCCAGAUAUACUUUUUGGAGUUGGCCUAGUUAGUCAUUACAUGGAGGAGCCAACAAUCACUCAUAUGAAGUCAGCUAGAAGGAUUCUCCGGUACAUCAAAGGUACACUUAAUUUUGGUUUGUUUUAUCCAGCAUCUAAUGAAUUGAAGCUUGUGGGUUAUAGUGAUUGUGAUUGGACUGGAGAUAAAGAUGACAGAAAGAGCACUACAAGAUUUGUUUUUUACUUGGGAGAUGCUGCUUUCACAUGGUCCUCAAAGAAGCAACCCAUUGUGACUCUUUCAACUUGUGAAGCUGAAUAUGUUGCUGCAACAUCUUGUGUUUGUCAUGCCAUAUGGCUUAGAAACUUGUUGAGUGAAUUGAAUCUACCACAAAAGAAAGCUACUGAAAUUUAUGUUGAUAACAAGUCUGCAUUGGCCUUAGCCAAAAGUCCAGUUUUUCAUGACAGAAGCAAGCAUAUAGAUACAAGAUAUUACUACAUAAGAGAGCGCUUAAGCAAGAAGGAGAUAGAGCUGAAGCAUGUGAAGUCUGAAGACCAAAUUGCAGAUAUUUUCACCAAGCCUUUGAAGUUGGAGACAUUCAGAAGAUUGCGAGGAUCACUUGGAGUUUGUUUCAAACCAGAAAAUCAUGUUUAAGGGGGAAUGUUGAAAAUAAACAUGCUUUAUUAAUUAGAUUCAUGUGUUAUGUAUUUUAGUUAAUGUAUAAGCAUUUGGAAAGACUCUAGAAAGCAUGUAUUCACGACUAGGAUGUAGUGGGGCUUUAUUACCUUCAGUGGUUGUAAUUGCUAUAUAUGCCAAAGUCAUGCAAUCGGUUGGCUGCACCCAAGAAAUAUGAAAUAAAGUAUCUUCUCCCAAAUAUUGAUUAUUGUGAGUUUUAUGAGUGAGGGUCUAUCUCCUUCCAACAAGCAUGAAGGAUCUAACUUGCCAUAACAAAAAUCAAACAAUGAAGAACAAGACUAGAGCGAAAUCGCAGAGAAUGCUCGAACAUAAACAAACACGAGCGACCAAUUGAGACGUUGAAAAAAGACAAAUACAAGCUAAAUAGUAAAAAGGGCAAAACGUCAUUCUAAGAAUAAAUUAAACAAGCCCUAAUGCUUUAGUUUAGGCCCAUUGACCUUUAACAAAACAAAUUUUAAAAAUCAUUGACCAAGCCCAAAACAGAACUACUUCAUUGACUAUAUCCUUAUUAUUUUCCAUUUUAUUGAUUGUUAUCAAAUUAGUCUUAUAACUCUUUCCAUCAUAUCAAAAGUUUAGGUCAAAGGGAGUUCAAAUUCCAUGUUGUCUAUUAAUUAUGAAACUGAAUCAACUUUGAAAAAAUCCAAUAAUAUGCAUACGAGUCCAAAUGUGAAGAUCUUUAUAUGUACAGAAAGCUUGGGAUGUUUAGUUUCUUAAUAUCAAAUUUAGAAGGAGAAAAGAUUGUUACCUUCUCGAACCCUCCUCUCUAAACUUCAGUCGUCAAUUUGCCUCCAUAAUUUCUUUUUCCCUUUUCUGAACUCUCUCUCCUAUUUUUGGACCUUUUUUCCUUUGUAGCUAGCUGAGCUAAACCCUAGCGGGCCUCUUAAAACGUAUCGGAGGAUUAGCCCGCUCACACUAACCUGCUUGGGCUUUCGUAAAUUAAAGUAUAUUGGACCUAAAACUUAGAAUAAGCUUAGAUAAAUCAUUAUGCUCGACCCUAUUCACAAACAUACCAUAAUAUAACGGAAAUUAUAAGCAAAAAUCUUAAUUAAACAUUUCGGGGCUUACAAGUGUGCUAGAAACCAUGGGCAUCAUAGUGUUCAAAACACGACGAACAAAAUGACAUGCGGGAAAAUGCACCAACUAUAAACGCAAAGACUCGGAAUCCACACACAGUGAUUUGUCUUAUUCAACACACAAAUACACAUUAUAGGUAGGAUAAUAGUAUGGUACAAGCUAGCCCGUGUCUGCAUACGUGCAAUACUAGUGCCCAUGGAAUGCACAUCAAUUACUUUUGUGCCAUUAAUGUAAGUCGAUAGAUGUCUUCAGUUACAGCCUUUGAAUCUUUGAAAAUCCCUGGCAGUCCCUUCCCUGUUAAUCCAACACAAUAGACACCUUUCUCGCCCUUCCAAUGGUUUGGGUACUUCCCUUUAGGCUUUCCAUCAUCUGUAAGAAGGAACUUGUAGUCCUGCAUCCACAGUUAAAUACCAAAUUCGUUAACAAUUACAGAAUAUAUAAAAUCUUUGCUCUCGGUUUAAUAUUCAAUAAUAAAUAUAAAAUUACCUUCAACCAUUUAUGUGCUACGCUUCUGUAACCAGUUGCCAACACAAUAGCAUCAAAACACCGUCGUUUACCAUCUUUGAAUUCCACAGUGUUCUGGUUUAUACUCACCACAUCUGGAAAAACCUGUCAAAACAAAUAUUAGGAAGAAAUUCUGUUAAGUAUAUAUCCUUUAAUUAAAGAUAUAAUAUAUGUACAAUAUUUACCUGAAUCUUUUUGGAGCGAAUUUUCUUGAUGGUUCCACGAUCAAUUACUGGAGUCUUUCCGGUAAGGGCUUUAAAGAGAAAUGGCCCUUCAACUGGGCGAUGAAUGCCAUAGCUGGACAAAUCACUGUAGCUCAACUUGGCAAGCAGUGACACAAACUUGUCCACUAUUUUCAGUGGGAGGUAAUUCGACAGAAGCAUGCCAAUGCCAACCAUUUCUUUGCUCAGCACAUGAAUCUGUUCAAUAAUAAAAUCGACAUGCGUGCAAAUGUUAUUUAAAAAUAAAUAACUUAUAUAUGUAAUACUUUUGAGAAUUACAUUUAUAAGGGCCUUAAUUAACUAGUUUUUAUUAUUUUAUUUUUUCCUUUUGUACAAAUGUUAUUCAGAACAAUAACCAAUUAUUAUAUGAGGAACUUUAACCGAACAUAGUCUAGUCCAAUGGAAAAGAGCCCUGAUUUGCAGAUCAGUGGUCACAAGUUUGAACUCCCAUAAUACCUUAGUAAUGUAUGUGUGUGUGAGAAACCUCCAUCUCUUUAUAGUUUAGACUAUCGCUUGCAUUAAAAAAAAUUAAGAAACCUUAAAAAUGAUAAAAUAAAUUUGCUUGGACUAAUCCUAACAAAUUUAUAUGCUAGAGAAGGAACCGGACAUACCACCCUUCCUUUUGGUUUUAAUUUUGGUAAAUCAAGGAGAUAAGUGCUAGUGGAAAGAAAACGAGACAUACAAUUUUUUUAUGGAAAAUAAAAGUGAAUAAUUAAUAUGGAAUAAAGAUCAAAAACAAAAAUAUUUCUUAUCUUCUCAAAAAAAAAAAAAAAUAAUAAUAAUAAUAAUUAAAGAAUAAAUAUUAUCAAACAUAUUGUUUAUCAUUCUUUCUUCCGGCCUCUCUGGACCUUUUUAGUUAUUUCACCACAGAUUCUCUCCAGAUCUUUAAUUAUUUAAAAGAAAAAAACCACAAAAAGUUAACCUAAUAAAGAAAUUUAACAUCAAAGAGGUGAAACGCUUAAACUUGACAGUUGUCGUGCCAAGUACCUCAUGCAAGCAUUCAAAACGAGAGAGAGAGAGAGAGAGAGAGAGAGAGAGAGAGAGAGAGAGAGAAAGACGUUUCAGCUUAUAUACCAGAUAGAAAAGAAGAAGAAGACAAACACAUGCAAGAUAGACAAACACAUGAAAUAUUAGUUUACCUCAACGCCCGCUGCAUGCAAGAUAGAAAAGAAGAAGACAAACACAUGAUAUGCACCCUAUAGCUUAAUUAGCCAACUUAUUUUCUAUAUGUGCGGAAAGAAGUGAGAAAUUAAUUGCUACACUGAAAUGGUAAGUAGAUAGAAGAGAGGUGAUGUGUACUCUUACUUGGCUUCUAACAACAAUGGGACGUGUGUGCUCCAUUAUCUGCAAGAUCGUUGCUGAUUUCCAUCCCAGAAUUGCCACAGCCAAUUACCAAAACCUUUUCAUCUUUAAAAACGGCCCCGUUUUUAUAGUCACUGGAAUGAACCACCUUUCCUGUGAAGGUCUCCAUCCCAGGCAAGUCGCUGGGGAGAAAAGGCUGGCUAUUUUCUCCAGUUGCAACCACCAAGAAAUCCGAUGCGAUCUCAUACACCGUCCCGGAAGCGGUGUCUUUCACUGUCACCCUCCACUUGCCUUCCUCUUCAUCGUAAACAGCCUCCUCCACGUCAUUGCAGUAGCGAGGGUUCACGUUGAACCUGGCCACGUACUCGUCCAGGUAACGAAUGAAGUCGUCUUUCGACAUGAAAAUGGAGGUUCGGAAGGGAUGGGACAUCAUCGGCAAACUGCAGAAGCUCUUUGCCAAGUGAAGAUUCAGACGGUCGUAGGACCGCUUCUUCCAGAGGGACCCACAACAGUCUUCCUUCUCAAGCACAAGAUUUGAAACUGACAGAGAAUUGAGCAAGGCGGAGGUAGCAAUGCCAGAAGGACCAGCUCCUACUAUCACCACCGACACACUAAUAUUAUUAUUACUAUUACUAUUAUUGUUAUUAUUCUCAUCCUCCAUGAUCAGAAUCACCUCCUCCGCCAUUUGAUUAUCUCUUAGUUCUCCUCCUCACUACACUGAGACUCACUCAAUUGAAUAUGAACCAGCUGAGCUGAUAUAUUUAUACAGAAUAUAAAUAUAAAUAAUUAAUUGAGAGCAGUAGACUGGUUUCUGGAGAUGAACGCAUGUACCUGAUGAGAGCAAGUUAAAUUAUUAAUAUAUUAACAAAACCCACCGUUACUUGUUCUGCAACCAUCCGACUGUUGAUGUCAGGUGUGGUUUUUAACGCUUGCCAUGACGAAAUCUUCAUUGGCGCUUUCACUGUAAAACGAGGGUUUGCUGACAACUCAGUCUGGAUAUUAAUUUACAAGGGUUAAUUCACUGCAUACGCCCACCCAUACAUGCAUCUUGACAGAUAAUCCUUCCUUCCAUGGAGAUGUGGAGUUUCUUUCUGGAUUUCUUUCCUCAUUUCUGUUUUCAUUCAAACUAUAUGAACACUUCUGGAGACAUCGAAUUAUGAUGCUUCGCUCAAUCGACAUCUUAAUUUCAAUCUUCUCCUCGAUCGACAUCUUAAUUUCAAGUUUCUUGUAUUAAUUUUGUACUAGCUUGCUCUAAAUGUACUUGCGAACAACCAUAUUUUGAACUAGCUAGCAAACUCUAAAGCUUUUCCCUUUGUUAAAGUUUUUUCCUAAUAUUUAAAUAUUACAUUUUACAUUUAAGUUAAUUAUUUUUAACCAUAUUAGAUAUUAAAGAUUUUUCCCUAAGUUCUUAAAAGUCAUUUUAUAAAUGGGUAAAUUUAUCUUUAAAAUUUUGAAGAUAAAGUGGAUAGGGAAAUAGAACAGGGUAGCAGCACUCCUUUUUAAUUAGGUAUGAAUCAUUAGGUAAAUCAUUCUAGCUACAUAAAAUCAUCUAGGUAUAUAGAAAAAUAGGUAUAUUAAGCAUGUGGUAAUUAAACAAAAGGUAGGUUAACCAUUCGGUAAAAUGAGGAGGGCUUUUAUUUUGUUUUAUUUUUUUUCAGUCAAGAAACAAACAUUACAAAGAAGAUCAUCGAGAGAUCUUAACACCAUAUAUAAAUUACAAUAACAUAUGUAACAGGCUUUGUCCUUUAAAUAAAUUAUGUUUUGGCUUUGAUUAUAAAAAAUAAAACAAUCAUUAACUACGGGAAUUUUAUUUUAUUUGUUCAAAAAACUACCAAAAAAUUAGAUCCUUGAUUGAUACCAAUAAAAUUAAUAGAAAAGUAUUUAUUUGUACAAAUCCCUAAAAAAAUCGUAAGCAAGUCAUCAAAUAAAAUAAUUAAUUAACUGCUCAAUUGACUAAUAUAGCCGCAAAAUUACCUGCAACAUACGACAAGACAUGAUUUUCAAUACUUGUUUUAAAUUGUAAUGAAGGUUCUCGAAUGUCUGGUGACGACAACAUACAUGUUUUUCAAUGUUUUAUUUUUUAUUUUUCUGCGGAAAGGUCACCUGGAUGUCUGGUGACGACAACAAUAGUAUUCCGAGCCUUUACACAUUUACAAUGUCUGGUCACAACAACAUGCUUUUUUUAAUUUUAACAAUUUUUUUCUCAUGGAAGGAAACCGGAAUGUAUGGUCACGACUCACAACAACAUACAUGGUUUUCGAUUUCUUUUCUCUCUUUUUAGCCACGAAGGUUACUCAUGAAUGUCUGCUCACGUAUACUUAAUUCUUGUUUUGUACAUAUGUCAAAGAAGGAAAUUACAAAAAAAAUUUACGUCAAGUAAAAUGUAUUUAGCCACUUAAAUUCAAAUAGCACACAAUGAUCUAAAUUGACUCUAAUAUCCACACACAUAAAGGGAUAAGCCCCGUUAGUUACUGAUAAGUCAUAAAUUUACACAUUUAUGUACUCUUUAUACUUAGAUUUUGUAGAAGAAUUGGAUUUAAAAAGGAUUUAUUACUUUAUUUUCUCAAUUUUCAACUUUCCCGAGCAAGUAAAUGAUUUUCUACGGAAAUACGAAUUUUUGGUGGAGUUUUUGUACAAGACUAGUUGGAGAUGAAAGCUAAGAUCUUGAAGAUGAUUGUAGAAUUUUUCUAGAAUUUUCAAAGAAACCAAUGAGAGCAGUCUUUGAAGUUAAGUUAGCAUCAUGCGCAAUCUCGUCAAAACUGUGCUACCGUGGAAGAAUGAUUAUUUGAAGACUUUUCUGAUUUUUCCUCAAGAUGUAUCAUAUGUGGCUGGAAAGAUAAGACAAGGACCUACAAUUUCCAUACUUUUCCCGAAUUUGCGGAGGAGGAAAGACCUCAAACGUGUGUGCAAAGUAACUGACGUGUUAUCCUAGUCAAAGUAGGAAGAGAAGUCAAUUACUUACCCAUUUUGGAAUUAUUUUUUGAUUAGGUUUUUCUUUAUUUUUGGGCGGCUUUAGGAGUUACGCAAAGACUUGGAGAGAUUGGAGACGCCAGAAGAAUACCGCAAUUGGCUAAGUUUUAUUUUUUCUUCCUUAUGUUUUUGCUUAUGCCGAAUUCUAUGAUUAUGUAUAACUAAUUUUUUGUUACUAGGGCAUGAUGUAGCCCUAGUAUGAUAAUCUAGUUUACUUAUUUUACAUAUCUAUUGAUUGCCGUUUGAUGUUGGAUUCUUAAUCACCGUGCUUAAUAACUUGGUUGAUUAUCUUGAUGCUUGAUCAACAUCUAGACUUUUAAUUGAGUUAAUCAGAUGCAAAUUAGAGUAAAUACGUACUUAGUUUGAGGCUUGCUUCUUGUGAUUAUGAUUUGUAAUUCGUCUAGGGUAAAUACCAUACUUCUAGGGUUUACAUGCUUGUUGGAGGUUUUCACUAAUCUUAAUGAGUUUAGAUGUGUUCAUAUUCGACCUAAAUACCAUAGGCGAAUUGCAUGUAGGAAUAUACGAGUUAGCCUAAAUACCAUAGGUAAUUCAUGAAAAAGGAAAACUAAGCUGAGACAUCCAAUGGUUAGUUAAUAGGUAGGUGAAUAAUUGGUUAGAUCGGAUUAAUUACUAGUGGUGAAUUCAUUGUCGUAGUGCUUUUGUCAAUUUGAAUUUCUCAUCUUUGUGUUUCGUGACUUUCUACUUGUUUCGUUUUUUAAUUUCAUUGUUAAUUAAAUCAUCAUUUCAAAAACCCCUUUUGUGUUUACGUGAGUAUGCUACGUGUUUAAUUUCUUGUUUAUAUAAUUAGAGUAGUUGAAGUAUUUUGUGAAGUAAAUUAGGUUAGACUAAUUGGAAGUUGAACUCAAUCCUCGUGGGAAUGACCUCGUAUUUGCCAUACUAAAUUACAAUUGACCUUAUACACUUGCGAGUAUAAUUUGUGUUUAGACAAAUCUUUAUAAUCUCCAUUUUAUAGGUUGUCUAAAAUUCACAAAAAUUUUUUGGCGUCAUUGUCGGGAAUUGUUGUCGCCAAACUACUAUUUAGUUCAAUCUUAAUUUAGCUUUUUAGUUUUCUUUUUGUUUUUAUUUUAUUUUUUUAUUUCGUUUUUUAUAAUUAAUUUCUGUUUUCUUAGUUUUAUUUUAUUUAUUUCGUUUUUUUUUUAAUUUACUGGAAAAUUUCAGAGCAUUGGAAUUGAUUUGUGUUUCUUGUUUGUCUUGUUUAUUAGGUUCAGCUCAGUGUAUGACUAGUAAAAGCUCUCAAGGUCAAUACCUCAUACCAUUUGAUCCUGAGAUUGAGAGAACAGUUAGGAAAUGAAAAGACAAGUUCACUCACUCACUGGAACAUCAAGAAGACAGAGGUUCCGUUGAAAAUAUAAACGAGAAGAGUGACAAGAACGUUAGGGAACAACUAUUAGGGCAAGAGGAAGCAAUGGAACGAGCACAGCCUGCUCGAGCUCUGAAGGAGUACUCCAUCCCAACUUUUUCCAACACUCCAUCAUGUAUUGUAGUACCAAAAGUCGAAGCAAAUUCAUUUGAACUCAAGUAAAAAAAUGAUUCACUUGUUACCAUCGUUCUAUGGCAAGUCGAACGAAGAUCCUAACAUGCAUAUUCGGGAGUUUUUUGAUAUUUGUGGCACCAUCAAGAUCCAAAAUGUCUCUAAUGAAGUGGUUAGGCUGAAAUUGUUCCUGUUUUCAUUAAAGGAUAAAGCCAAAGCUUGGCUUCACUCACUGUCUGCUGAAUCCAUUAAUUCAUGGGAGGGAUUAGCACAAAAAUUUCUCCAUAAAUUCUUCCCUGCGUAGAAAACGAAUUAACUUAGAAGAGAUAUCAUGUAUUUUACUCAAGGAGAGCAAGAGCCAUUCUAUGAAGCUUGGGAGAGAUUUAGAGAGUUGCUGCAAAAAUGACCUCAUCGUGGCAUUAUUGAUUGGAUGCAGAUGCACUUCUUUUAUGAAGGACUUACUACUGCAAACAAACGAAUGGUUGACUCUGCAUGUGGAGGGGCAUUGAUGGAGAGGACACCUCAAGAAGCGUUUGAUCAAUUUGAUUUGCUUGCCAAUAAUAAUCAACAAUGGGGCAGUGAGUGGACAAAGAAGGUAGGAGUUCAUGAAGUCGACACCAAUACUGCAAUUGCUGCUCAAAUUUCAAGCCUUGAGAAAAAACUCGAAACUCUUAUGUGUGCUAUUAUUCCACAUUCCCCACUGCAAGUUUGCACCAUUUGUUCUGACCCUACUCAUCCAAUGGAACUUUGUCCAUCCACUACUCAAGGUUCUGAGCAAGUUCUCCAAGUUAAUUUGUUUCAGUGACCUCAGAAUGAUCCAUAUUCGAACACCUAUAAGCAGGGGUGGCGUAACCACCCAAAUUUUUGAUGGAGCAACCAGCAACAACAAGCUAGUUCUAGCCAUCCCUUCUAGCAGCAAAUGCAGCCUUCGAGUGAGCCUAAGAAACCAGCGUUGGAGGAUUUAAUUGCUCAGUUUGUAUAGACUUCUCAACAAAAUCAGAAUACUAUGCAAGCGUCUAUCACUAAGUUAGAAACUCAAGUAGGCCACUUCACAACUAUUGUGCAUAAGAGGGCGCAAGGCACAUUCCUAAGCCAACUCAAAAUUAAUCCUCAAAAUGUUGAACAAGUCAAGUCCAUUAGAACUCUAAGAAGUGGCAAGUCAUAUGAUAUACAAGAAGAACCCAUGACAAGUGCUGGAAAAGAAGGGAAGAAACUAAAGGACAACUUCCAACACCUACCCAAGGCAAACUAGGUGAUUCCGAAAAAACUGAUAAUGAUGAUCGAAUCGCCCCUAUGAAAGAAUGGAUUUAUGUUCCCCCACUUCCAUUUCCAGCAACCUAACCAGUCCAUAAACAAAAGAAAGAUCAAAUGGAUAUUUUGGAGAUGUUCAAAAAGAUUCAUAUCAAUAUUCCAUUAUUGGACGCCGUCAACCAAUUUCCUUCUUAUGCAAAAUUUUUGAAGGAUGCAUGUAUAAACAAGAGGAAAUGCGCAGCGCAUGGAAAAGUGUUGUUAACUGAAGAGUGUAGCGCGGUGUUGCUCAAUAAAUUUCCUCCAAAAUUAAAGGACCCAAGGAGUUUUACAAUUCCUUGUAUUGUUGGGGAUGUGCAAUUUGAUAAAGCAUUUUUAGAUUUAGGUUCAAGCAUUAACCUUAUGCUUUUGUCUAUUUUUUAGCGAUUAGGUAUUGGAGAGAGUGAAGCAACUUGUAUUGCCGGCUGAUUUCUUUGUCCUUGACAUGGAGAAAGAUCGCGACAUCCCACUCUUGCUAGGCCGACCCUUCCUUGUUACUGCCAGUACAUUAAUUGAUGUACAACAAGGAACUUUAACUUUGAGAGUUCAAGGCGAAUCCAUUGAGUUUAAGGGGUAUGAGGCUAUUAAAAAACCGAGGGACUUGGAAGAGUGCAGCCGCAUAGAUCUCCUUCACCCAAUUGUACAUGUCAACUACUUGGAAAACAGCUCUAUGGAUGUGUUGAAAGCCAAAUGGCCACCCCCUCCAUACGUGAAACACAUGCACUAUUCCCAUGGACAUACCAGAUUUUUUCAUUGUUUUAUCAGACACUUUUCCAAGAUGAGCCUUCCCUGUGGCAUCUCCUUGCCAAGGAUCACACCAAGACUUGGAUGACAAGGCUAUUGUUCGCAAGGAGUUUGGACAACAGCCCAAGCACUACAUGGAAGAAGUAGCAUUCUUUGCUACUUCUGCACCACCGCAGACAUUUGAAGUCUAGCUCAUGAAUAUAAAGAAGCGCUUCUUAGGAGGCACCCAAGCAUUCUUAACUUUUGUUUUUGCUUUUGUUUUUAUUUUAUGUGUGAUUUCUUGUACAUUUUUCAUGUUUUUGUUUUUGUUGUUUUUGUUAAGUUUUGCGUCAUCAAACAAAGGAUUUUGUGUUCCAUAGAAAAAAUUUGCAUUUUUCUAGCCCUAAGAUGUUUGCAGCAUGUUUCAUAUGUGUUACAAAAGUUUUUUCGGUCAUUGGUUGAGUUUUUUUUUUGGGACGAAUUGGUUAAGUUUAAAUGCUAGAAAAUAGCCACAUAGCUUAGUAGGUUCUGAUUUCGGUCAAAAUCAAAAUUUAUGCCUAAUGUCUUUUUUGUUGUUUUUCAGGUCAAUUUGUACCAACCAACGUUUUUAGAAUGGUUAUUAUGAUGAUUUGGACCGGGUUUGGGGGUCUUAGGUGGCCUACAUUAUGUUUUAGGACGAUUUGAAGCUCACAAUAGGACCUGAAACCCAAAAACCCAACUUUCGUUUUGCUUAGAAAUUUGAAGAUUUUUUCGUCACCAAAGGUUUUUAGCAAUGGCUGUUCAUCAAGAUUUUUCGUGGCUAAAAGGUUUCUGCGAUGGUGUUAUUCAGAGUUUUCGUCACUAAAAGUCAAAAUUUCAGAUCAAAUUCAAACCAAAUAUCAUCACGAUCAGAGACAUCUAGGUGUUAUUCCGGGUCCGUUGGCUUUCCAAGAAACAAGUUGUGGGUGUUUGAGUUUGUUGCGUUGUCUAUUCUCUCUCACUUCAACAUAUUCUACGCUUCGCUCAUCCAUACACCUACACAAACCCGAGAAGUUCUCACACCCUCUCUCUUUUUAAUUGAUUUUGCAUGCCUUAGUUUUCUUUGUUUUAAACAUUGAGGACAAUGUUUGUUUUAAGUUGUGGUGAUUGCAUUCUUUCUUUUUUUUCGUUCUGAAUCCAACCAUAUAAAGAACGAGAUCUUUGGCCAAGUAUUUUGUGAGAUAAAUGUAAUUCUUUGCGCCUGGGUUAGAAGUGCAGUUUUGUUUAUUGGUUUUUAGUUCCUUUCAACUUUUGAUUUUUAUUUAAUCAGUUUUUAUUUUGUUGUUUUGUUUUUGUUUUUGUUUCUUUUAAAAAAAUAAAAUAAAAUCAGAAAAAUGUCAUAAAAUCCAAAAAUAUUUUCUUUUACUUUGAGUAUUGUUUUUAUUUGUUUGUGGUAGUUACUUCCCAACUCUAUGGUGAGAUUGAAUUUUAUUGACAAUUAACUUUCAAGAAGUUUCGAGCAUGACACUAAUUCUUUACAUUGUCUUUGUGUUAGCCUUAUUUUUGUGAUUAGACUUGGGAAAUCCUUAUGCACAUAGCCAUAUUAAGAUGAGUUUCGAUUGGGGAUUUCACAUGAUUUAAAUGGGUAAAUAAGAGUUAGUGUAGACUUAUAUAACCCUCAUUAUGUGAAUUUUUGAACCUAUGCCUUCCUUUCUUGAGUGUUAUAUGAUAUUCUAUAAUUUUCUUGUCUACGUCGUUAUGAUCUCAUUAUUCUUUGUUUUGGUCAAGUACUUGAAGAUGUUUAAAUUGUUUACUAGAACUACUUUCAUUAUCUAUUUGAGGCAUACAUCGUGAACCACAUGGAUUCUAGGAAGUAAAAUAGGCCUUAUUUCUUUCGUUUGAGCCUUUCUAGCCAACAUGUAUUUACUUUUAACCCUAGUUAACCCCUGGUGCCUUUGAUAUAAGCCUUUGUCGUUAUUUACCCAAUUCUCCUCACCUUCAUCUUUCAUAUGUUUAUCCUACACCCUUCUAAGGAGUUUUGAAGAGUAUUUUCAUUGUUAAGGGAGAAUUGCACAAAUUGUUCAAUCAUGUGGAAAGUAAAGGAUACUAUUUCAGAAAAAGAAAAAGAAAAAAAAAAAGAAGAAACUAACUUCAAAGUCUUUUCAACUCGAGUUAUUAAGCCCAAGGAGUGUUUUACAUUUAAUGCCUUUAAGCUAUCUAGCUUGGGAGUCAUUGGCCUAACACUCACUACAUGGGUUGAUUAGAAAGCUAAUGGAGUUAGAAGAAGAAAAAAAGAAAGAAAAGGGCUAACGUCAAAAGACCCCUUGAAGGUUUGGGGUCAUUCUCAAUAUGGGUCCAUGAGUUUUAAUUUCAUCAAUUUACACCUGAUGGUUUUCAAAUCUGACCAAUUUAAGCCUUUCGUUAAGUUUACCGUUUGGUCAGACGUUAAUUAAUGACGUGUCCACUGUGGGAUCCACCAAUUCCUUAAAAAAAAUUAAAAAAAAAAAUUAUAUAAUAUAAUAAAAUAACAUUUGAAAAAAAGCUUAUAAAAAAAAAACCCUCUGUUUCUUCAUCCCUCUCUCUCCGCCCCUUUCUCCUCCCAUCUCUCCCAGCCGCCUCACACCUCCUACAUGUCCAGCCAGCCACCCGCACAUCCUCUGACUUGAGGUUGGAGAAAGCGGCAAGGGCAAUGAGGCAGCCCAGAUUGCCCUAUCGGUGUAAAUGAGUGAGGCUGGGAAGAAAGAAAGUGGCCAUUAUCAUCAGUACAGGACAGUAAGAGUAGAGAGAGUAGCCAUGAGGCCUCAGAUCAGUCGAAUCAGAGAGUUGUUAAUUAAUUAAUUAGUUUUGUUGAUUUAAUUAAUUACUCUUUUUGGGUGCUUAGUUCAUGUUUGUGGCUUUUUGAUAAUGUGUGAGUUUUUUUUUUCAAUUUUUUUUUUCUUCAAGGGAGCUGUAUAUUAAUUUGAGAUGAAAUGGAAGAAUUCCCUCUUCUCCUUAUAACAUUGCCUUUUUCUUUUUAUUCUCAACUGCUAUGCACUUUAAAUUCAGUAUUUUUAUUGGUUUUGAAGCACCCACAAAUUUCUAAAACAAUGCAAGACCACAAAUUAAAAUUGGGAAUAACAUUAGCUUUUGGGGUUAAUGAACUAAAUGGUCCCCCAACUAUUGCUACAGUAUCAUUUUGGUCCAUCAACUAAAAUUUUCAUUUCAAACAUCCUUAAACUUUUUGUUUUGUACCAAAAUGGUCCAUCCGUGAUAGAUUCCGUCACUUCUGAUCACGCGAUGACCACGUGACUAAGUUUUGAAAGGUAUAUGCGACUUUUUGAGAAGCUUUAUUGAAGGGUAUGAUUGAAAUGGUCCCUCAACUAUUGCUCCAGUAUCAUUUUGGUCCACCAACUAAAAUUUUCAUUUGAACCAUCCUUCCACUUCUUUUUUUUUGGUAUCAAGAUGGUCCUACCGUCAAAGUCCGUCAAUUUUAUUGUUAUUUAUUUUUGUAUUUAUCUUAUUUUAAAAUUUUUAAUUAAUUUAACAAUUGAGAAAAAAAAUAUUACUUUUUAAGUCCAUGUCAUUAAAAAAAAAAGCCAUGCUGGUGGUGAGAUUCAAUUUUUUCAAUUUUAAAAAUACGUACAAGUUCCUAUAAUAGUUUUCUUUAAUUUUUAAUUAUUGUUUACUCUUUAAAAAAAAUUUUAUUUUAUUUUUAUAUUUAUGUGAUUUUAAUUAAUUUAAACAAUAGAGAAUUUUUUAUUAUUAAUUGUUAGGUCAGUCUCAUGAAAAAAAAAGCCACGUGGCUAGUGAGAUUCAAUUUUUUAAAAUUUUCUAAGUUUUAUAAUAGUUUCCUUUAAUUUUUAAUUAUAUAUUACUAUUUUAAUUCAUAGAGACAUUUUUACUCCUCAAUUUAACAAUAAAAUUGACAGACUUUAACAGUAGGACCAUCUUGAUACAAAAAGAAAAAAGAAAAAAAAAAGAGUUGAACGACGGUUCAAAUGAAAAUUUUAGUUGGUGGACCAAAAUGAUACUGGAGCAAUAUUUGGAGGACCAUUGGGAUUAAAACCCUUUUAGAGGAGGAUACUCACCUAAAAAUACGGUUUUGUCCACUGAUUUCACGGAAUAAUACACAGACUUUGACGUAUGGACAAUUUUGGUACAAAAUAAAAAGUUUGAGGACGUUUGAAAUGAAAAUUUUAGUUGGUGGACCAAAAUGAUACUGGAGCAAUAGUUGGAGGACCAUUUAGGUCAUUAACCCUUAUUUUUGUUUUUGGUGUUGGUUAAUUGUGUUGAGGCUGGUUUUUGACAAACCCAUAAACCAAUUUUGAGAAUUAAAAGACUAAAAAAAAACAUAAAAAUAUGAAGAUGUAUGUGUGUGGAAUUUGGUAUUAGGUGCAAAUGAGUAGUAGAUGGCGAAGCUCUUUGGAGAGGAGGUGCGGGUGACUAGAUUCGUUGGAGGGGGAGGGGGAUGGGGUGGGGGAGCUGGGAGGAGAAGGGGACGAAGAGAGAGAGAGAGAGAGGGACGAAGAAAUGGAGGUUUUUUUAUAAGCUUUUUUUAAAUGUUAUUUUAUUAUAUUAUAUAAUUGGUUUAUUAAUUUUUUAAGAAAUUGGUGGGUUCCACAGUGCACACAUCAUCAAUUAACGUCUGCCCAAAUGGUUAACUUAACGGAAGGCUUAAAUUGGUCAGAUUAAAAAUCAUCGAGUGUAAAUUGAUGAAAUUGAAACUCGAGGGCCCAUAUUAAGAAUGACACCAAAUCUUUAGUGUGUCUUUGACGUUAGCCCAAAAAAAAAAUUGUGUAAAAAAAGAAAAGAAAAAGAAAAAUCAAGACAAUAUCAAGAUGAAGUUAUGUGCUAAAGCACAAGACGUUAUAAUUGUAUGGAAAGCUCUACUUAGUCCUUAGACUUUGUUUGUUCAUCCAUAUCUUUUUCUAGUUUCACCCAUCACCCUAAGCCCAUUAGAACCUUAAUGAAAGUCCUACUUGAUCCAAGGAGAAGUGUGGUUCCUCAUGUGGAGAAUAGGUGAGGAAGGACUAUGGUCGGAUGGUUUAAAUGUUUUCAAGUAUGCGAUAUCUUUCUAUGAGAUCUUUUAUUCAUGUCUUGUUCUUUUAUUUCAAUUAUGUGAGUACAUCCUAUUGCUUUGAUUCCUCUCACAUAUUUAUGAGUGACAAUAACUAGUCAAAUUUCAAGUGCUUUUAUUGGAGUGAACAUCCUUGAUGAGAUUUGAAGUUGAAGCUUGUUCUUAUUUCGUUAUUUAACUUGUGUGAAGCUUAAGUCGUGGGUUUUAUUAAUGUUGGCUAUUUAACACACUACACUCCAAGUUGUUCAAUUAAAGUUUGGUUAACCCUUCGAUAAUGUCUUGAAUUAUCGUUGCUUAUUUCUUGGAAGUUAGCUAAUGGGCGGUGAUUAUCUCUGAGAUCAAUAUUGGGAAGUUAGUCGAUCGCUUGUUUGUGUUGAGUCUUUGUUCUUUUGUUUUUAUUUUCGUUUUGUUUUGUUCAAGGACUAGCAAAAUCUAAGUUGUGGGUAUUUGAUAAGUCCAUAAAUUUACACAUUUAUGUACUCUUUAUACUUAGUUUUUGUAGGAGAAUUAGAUUUUAAAAGGACUUAUUACUUUAUUUUCUCAAUUUUUAGUUUUCCAGAGCAAGUAAUUGGUUUUCAACGGAAAUACAAAUUUUGGGUGGAGUUUUUGUACAAGACUAGUUGAAAAUGAAAGGUAAGAUCUUGAAGAUGAUUGUGGAAUUUUUCUAGAAUUUUCGGAGCAGCUAAUGAGGGCAGUCUUUGAAGUUAAGUCAACAUAAGGUUCAAUCUAUUCAAAACUAUGCUUCUGUGGAAGAAUGAUUAUUUGAAGACUUUUCUGAUUUUUUUUCUCAGGGAGUGCGAUAUAUUGAUAGAAAUGUAAGACAAAGACCUACAAUUUACAUAUUUUUCCUGAAUUUUCUUGGAGGAGAAUGACCUCAAACGUGCAUGCAAAGUAACUGACGUGUUAUCCCAGUCAAAGUAGGAAGAUGAGUCAAUUACUUACCCAUUUUGGAUUUAUGUUUUAAUUAGGUUUUUCUUUAUUUUUGGGCUACUUUAAAAGCCUAGAUAGGGUAGGAAUAGACGUGUGGUGUUUUAUUAAAGGAUGAGAAACAACUCCUUUGGAGUUACGCAAAGACUUGGAGAGAUUGGAGACGCGGGAAGAGUACCACAAUUGACUAAGUUUUAUUUUUUCUUCCUUAUGUUUUUGCUUAUGCCGAAUUCUAUGAUUAUGUAUAACUGAUUUUCUGUUGCUAGGGCAUGAUGUAGCCCUAGUAUGAUAAUCUAGUUUUCUUAUUUUACGUAUCUAUUGAUUGUGGUUUGAUGUUGGAUUCUUAAUCACUGUGCUUAAUAACUUGGUUGAUUAUCUUAAUGCUUGAUCACCAUCUAGACUUUUAAUUGAGUUAAUCAUAUGCAAAUUAGACUAAAUACCAUACUUAAUUUGAGUCUUGCUUCUUGUGAUUAGGAUUUUUAAUUCGUCUAGGGUAAAUACCAUACUCCUAGGGUUUACAUGCUUGUUGGAGAUUUUCACUAAUCUUAAUGAGUUUCUAUAUGUAUUCAUAUUUGGCUUAAAUACCAUAGGCGAAUUGCAUGUAGGAAUAUACGAGUUAGCCUAAAUACUAUAGGUUAUUCAUGAAAUAGGAAAACUAAGCGGUGACAUCAAAUGGUUAGUUAAUAUAGGUGAAUAAGAGGCUAGAUUGGAUUACUAGUGGUGAAUUCAUUGUCCUAGUGCUUUUGUCAAUUUGAAUUUCUCAUCUUUGUGUUUCGUGACUUUCUACUUGUUUUAUUUUUUAAUUUCGUUGUUAAUUAAAUCAUCAUUUCAAAAACCCCUUUUGUGUUUACGUGAGUAUGCUACGUGUUUAAUUUCUUUUUAUAUAAUUAUAGUAGUUGAAGUAUUUUGUGAAGUAAAUUAGGUUAGACUAAUUGGAAGUUGAACUCAAUCCUUGUAGAAAUGACCUCAUAUUUGCCAUACUAAAUUACAAUUGACCUUGUGCACUUGCGAGUAUAAUUUGUGUUCAGACUAAUCUUUAUAAUCUCCAUUUUGCAGGUUGUCUAAAAAUCACAACUGCUACAUUUUCUAAUUUCCGAAGAAUACCCCUAAUAAUUGACUAUAAGAUGUUAGAACAAAGAAUUAUAAUAUAGUAGACCGAGGGGUUUACCUCAGUGGUGAGGUCCCUUUCCUUUCCCCCUUGGUCACCAUUCGAAUCCUAGGAAAAAUGCCUCCCUCCCCAAUACAAUGUAUCUAUCGUUAAUUCUAAAAAUAAAUAUAAAAAAAGUAUUAUAAUAUAUUAAGGUAGUAAAACACAACAACUUGAAAUAAAUUGGUGUCAGGGUCUUUUUCCGUUCGAAGGCUUGUUCGGGCUUGUUGAUUUCAAGGAUGAGAAAGUAGGAGACAUGGUUGUGAUGGCUGCUGAGAGCUUGUAACAGCCAAGAGAACGAGUCAAUGGGAUGCUUGCAGCAGCCAAAGGAUAGAGGAUGAGGGCUGAGGAAUAAUUGUUAUGGUUGCUGGAAUGCUUGCAGCAACCGAAGAAAGGUGCUCUGAUGGUUGCUGGGGUGCUUACAGCCACUCAGAGAAGUUGGUUCUCAUGGUUACUGAGAGGCUUAUAGCAACUUAGAGAAGCUGGUUUUUUCAUAGGCAAUGCCUACCAAUUUACAGAAGGUGAAGGCUCUCUUUGGUUUCCAAUAGGUAAAAGGAAGUGUUGGAACCAUCAUAUUUUCAAAGGGUAAAAGGGAGCAUUAAGACAUUAUUAUUUCCAGAAGGUAAAGCUAGACAUUGAAAAAUGACUAUUUCCUAUGGGUAAAAGCAAGUGUCGGAAUUGGCUUGUUUACAGCAGGUAAUAGAGAGUGCUUGAAGAAUAUCUCAUUUGCUCACCACAUUGGAGAACUCCAAGUAAUAGGGAGUGCUCCCAAGUAACUAGCCCAAAGUCUCCAUUAUCCAAGAGCUUCCGUGAGCCUUGUGGACCUCGUAACCUUCCAUGCUACAACCCCUCGUGCAAGCACCUUGAACCACAUGACUUAGGUUCAUGUGAGCUUGGUAGGUGAUUGUCGUAAGAAAAAUGUAUUAGCCUUGGAUGAAGUUAUUUGGCAUGUGCUUGGAAUGUUUGGGCAUGUGUUGCUGUGGCUUGGACCUCUUGUGAUCAAGCUUAGAGAUAUCAUAUGUAAAUGAAUAGGUUUGGCAUGGCUUGGAUACUCUUACAAUUUGUAUAAAAACAUGCAUAUAUAUAUAUAUAUCCUAAUAUUAAAUCCUAAAAUAUAAUUGAAAUUAGCACAUAACCAAUUUAUCCCUUUAUUUUGAACGUCAUAUUGAACUUUAAAUUCUUUUGGGCUUCUCGUGAUUUUUUGAACAUCAACAAUUGGCAAUGGCUAGAGAUUCAUAUUAAAAUCUUAAUAUCUUAUGGCGCAAGUUUUCCACACCAUGGGCACUGGGUAAGUCCCAUUAGCCAUGCCACAAUUUGCUUACGAUAAGUCUCUUUAGGCUUGGAAUCAAACAACAGAUUGAUUUAUUGUGAGCGUGCUUCUAUGAACACUGCAAAAGAAUCUGACAUAUCAUAUGAAUUAUGUAUAACUUGAGUGCCACGAAAUUUAGCCCUAACUAAGCCACUGUGACUUGAGUGGGGAUUGCAGUAACCAUGGUUCACCUUGAAACUGGACACAUACUCGUCCAAGUACCAAAUCGGCUUUGGACUUGAGAGAGUGGAGGAGGUUGUGACAUCACAGUAUGCCAGGGAUGAAUGAACGUAACUGAUGAAAACAUAUUAACCGUUACUUUUUCUACUACCAUGCGAUUGUUCAUGUCAGGUGCAGUUUCAACUCCUGCCAUGACGAAAACUUCAAUGGCUCUUUCACUGUUUACGAGGGUUUGUUGACGACUCAAUCUGGAUAUUAAUUCAUUACAGGAGUUACCCUACACGUACGCCCACUCACACAUGCAUCUUGACAAAUAACCCAUCCAUCCAUGCAGUGGCGGACCCAGAAAUUUUUUAACGGAGGUGCAAAAUUGAUUAAGUAUGAAAAAUAGUUUUUCGGAAUAAUCAUUUUCUCAAGAUAAUUUUUUGACGGCUUUUAUUCCUUACACAUCAAAUAAGAAAACUUGAUUUUAUGGGAUUUUAGUAUGAAGUAUAUAUUGACUUAAUGAGCCAUUAUUUUUAGCCUAAAUCGUAUUUUGCACUAAAACCGAUUUUUCAUAUUUUGAUUUGGUAGGAAUUUGAUUUUCUAGUAUUUUUAUUUGAAUCCAAAUAGGGGGUACUUCCUUAUUUACAUUGUAAACUUAAGUAAAUGGAGUAAUAUAAAAAUAAAUUAAAGUAAAAGGACAAAGACAUUUACUUUAGUAAUCUGUACACCAGUUGAGCAAAGGGGCAAUUUGAAGCACCUACAAUAGUUUUUUCGGCGAGGAAAGGUGCAGCUGCACCUCCUUGCGCCUUAAUGGAUCCGCCUCUGCAUCCAUGGAGUAGAGAUGGUUUUUUUUUUUUUUUCUUUCUGGAUUUCUCUUCUCAUUAGUUUCUGUUCAUAUUAUAUAAUUCCUCAACCCUCUAAUUUUUGUUUCCUCCUCCACAUCUUUUAAUUUUAUUGUAUUAAAUUUGUACUAGCUAGUUCUAUAUGUACUUCAAAACAACCAUAUUUUGUAAAGGUAUAUGUAAUUUUGAAGCUCUAAUAUAUGUGCUUGUGGUUGAGAGUGUUUGUCCCACAUUAAAAAUUUAAGGGAUUUAGUGUGAGUUUAUAAGGAGUUGGGCUACUCCCCCCAUUGCCAAUUGGUUUUGGGGUGAAACCUCAACUUUCUUCACUUGCAAGCAACCAUAUGUGUCCAGUAUCAUCUCCUCAAAGAGUUGAUCCUCGAUUGAUACUGAUAAAUUAAUAGAAAACUAUUUAUUUGUACAUAUUACAAAAAACAAUAAGUAGGCCUGUUUGGUAUUCAACUUAAAUUCAACUUUUUAUACUCAAAAACAAAAUUUGAGUAAAAAAGAAAGAAAACCUGUUUUGGUAGCCCUAUUUUUAAAAACUCAAACUCAAGAACAACUAAAAAACACCCAAAUUAUUAAAAACAAAAAAUAUCUGUUUUUUUCAAUUUUUUUUUAACAAUCCACAAGUUCUCAAAUUUUUAAGAUUUGAAAACAGUUUUCAAGUUGCAUACCAAACAAGUUUUCGAAUCUUAAAAAUAGAUUUAAGAACUCCUUGUUUUUAAGAAAAAUUAAAGUUUUUGAGUUCCCAAUUUGAAUAGGAUACCAAACGCCCCCUAAAUUUGUGAGGGUUUUUUUGUUGAGAGCUGCAAUGGGCUUAUUGGACUGUUGCGAGGUCCUGAAGUUGAAUAUGUGUUGCAGAUUUUGAUAUGCAGCGGGUACUGGAAUGAUUUUGCUUGAUUUUGUUGUGUUGGAAGUGCUUUUCCUGAAGUUGAAUAUGCACUGCAUGUAGUGGAAUAGUGUUGUAGAAGAUGCUGUUGGAAAUUUAAUAUUAAUUAAUAUUAAUUUUCCUAUUUGAAUGGAAAUUAAUAAAAUUCAUUGGGUUAAAGACAUGACCCUUGGGUUAAAGACAUCUUCACAUGGAGGGUAACAACUCUUCAAACUAAGGGAUGCAUUGUUUGGGAUGACAACUCUUCAGACCAAGGGAUGCAUUGUUUGCCUUUUUAGAUUGUGAUACCUUUUUGGAAAUGGUAUUUCAUCAUCUAUAAAUAGAGCAAUCCUCCUGCAGUUUUAUUCAUUCAGUUUAAUUUUCUACAUAAGACUUUCACAUAUAGAAAGCAUUAGAGUUUUCAUAAAAAGAGGUUCCUGCAUAAUUUGGUUCAAAGUUCCUUGUGAAUUGCAGUGCUUCUUUCACAAAGAGGGGAGUCGUUGUAUCCUGGGAGGCGAACGCUAGUGAACCAUAAGCACCAUUGUGGGGCGUAAUUCGUCUUAAGGUCAAAGUGUCCAACACUUGCCUCGACUCAAUUAAGAUUCUUUUAAUUCAAUUCUGCUGUUGUAAAAAUCUGUUUUGUUUGUAGUGUUUAUUUAUUUAUUUUAUAGCAAUUUAGCACUUAUUUCCUACAGAUGCUAGAGGUGGUCUAUGGUGAAGAGCAGCUACGUACAAGCUUGGCAUGAGAGCUUGUUUCAAUGAAUCAAUAUGAAGCUUGGCUUGAGAGGUUCAUGGUGUGGGAGCUAAGUCUCCAUAUAAGUUUAGCAAGAGAGAGUGCUUUUGCAGUUUCAAUUAGAACAGGCUGCUGGAGGUAAGACGCAGGGGUUAAGGCUUGGGUCUUGGGAUGGUUUGGGAUGAUUUUCUGAGUGAUGUUCAGAGCUUGGAGUGGUGUUAUGAAAGAAGAGGAGAAUGAUGGAGGGGUUAAGGCUUGGGUUUUGUGUGUGUUUACGGCAGGUGGAGGAUAAGCUUGCCUCCUCUGCCAUUCUCUACUUCUUCUGGGUGCCUUACAAAUGGGUAAAGGGUCUAUUUAUAUGCAAAGCCUUGGCUCUGUUUAUGCAUCCGUGAGUGUAUAGUGCACAAUAGUUGGUUUCUCCGUGAGUGUGCUGUAAUUGAUUGUGUGUACAGUAAUGAAUAGUAAUGGGUACGUGACCGUAAUGACGACUGUGUGCACAGUAAUGAACAGUAAUAGGUAGUUGUGGUUUAAUGCUGGAGGAAGAGGCUGGGAGUUCUCUCUUUGCUUACCCGUGUAAUUAGGCUCAGGAAAGUGGGCAUGAGUUUUGAUACUCCCAAGCAGCCUCAAAACUUCUACUGUUUGAUCCUUCAAUGAGCCUUAUGGACACUUGUAAUUAUCCACACAACAACCCGCUCAGCAAGUCCUAGGCAUAUGUGUGGCUUGAGUCCACUUAAGCUUGCCGGUAGUUUAGGAAAGAAAAUUGAAUUAUUUGUUUGGCAUGGCAUGACAUGUGCACUAUUUCUAUAUUUAUUUAAUGAAUUAAUUCCCUAAAUACAAUUUGGAUUAGCAUGGCAACUAUUGUAUGUUAUAUUGGGCUUUAAAUGUCCUUGAAUUUCUCGUAACUUUUUGGUCCUUAACAUUAUCAAACAAAAUUAAUUAAUUAAAUGUGCUUAAUUGACUAAUAGGGGCAACAAAUUUAGCAACAUAGGACAAGACAUGAUUUUAAUGUUUUUAAUUUUAUUUAUGAUGUUGGUCACUGGGAUGUCUGGUUAGGACAACAUACGACAAAACAUGUUUUUUUUUUUAAUGUUUAAUUUGUUUUUUCGCAUGAAAGGUUAUCGGGGAUGUUUGGUCCCAACAACAUAUGACAAUACAUGUUUGUUUUUUUCUCCGAGCUUAUUGCAUUAUUUGAAAUCAUUUCGGGCCUUUAGUAUCAAUGGUGAAAGCAACAUUAUUAUUUGCACAAUUCAAACGAACCAUUAGACAAGGAGCCAUUGCCCACUUAACUUUUAUUGAAUUCUGUUGGGGUCUUUUUCAGUCAGAAGGCUCAUCCGGACUUCGUUGCCCUUUUUUUGAGUUAGCGAGAACUAGGCCCAAAGUAUCCCGAGGGAGAAGCAAGUCCUAGGGGAGUACUUUGUUCUUCUUCCAGCGACUGCGUACUUUGUGCGGAUAUUUCCGGCAGCUUGACGAAGAGUCGAAGAUGGUGCAUUGAUGUUACACAGACUUGGCAUGAGAGUUUGGAGUGUGGGAGUUAAAGACCCACAAGUUUAGCAAAUGAGAAUGCUUGUGCUUAGUUGGUGUUUGAUAUGCUUGAGUUUGGAUGUUGAGAAUUUAUUGUUUAAAGCUAUGGCUAUGGUGGUUUGAUUGUUUGGCUGUGAUGGUUGUUGGGAUGCUUAUAGCAGUCAAAUGAAUGGGGUGGUUUCUAAGAGCAUGGCUGAGGAAAGAAAAGCUUAAGACUAGGGUAUGGUGUUUGUGACAAUGAUUCUAGAGAAAUUUAUGAGUUUUAGAGGUGGGAGGAUAAAAGGAAAAGCUUGAGGCUUGAAAGCUAUGGUGUUUAUAGCUUGGAAGGGUAUGCGAAUGAAGGAAAAGCUUGGAGUUAUGGUCUUUGUAGGGACAAUAGAGGAUUUCAAUGAUAGGAAAAUAGAAGAAAUGGUUGUGAUAGCUGAGGAAUGGCUGGGAUGGUCGCUGGAAUGCUUGCAGUGACUAAAUGGAGGAAGGAAGGUGGUAUGGUGGUUGCUGAAUGAGGUUGAUGGCUACUGGGAUGCCUGACAAUCGGGGGUAAAGGGAGGUGUUGGAACCAGCCUAUUUCCAGUGGUUAAAAGGGAGCACUAGGACAUGCUAUUUUGCAGCAGGUAAAGCUAGGUACCAUAAACUGAUUAUUUCCUAUGAGUAAAAGAAAGCACUGGAAACUGCUUGUUUCCAGUGGAUAGUAGGAAGUGCUGGGAAAGGCUUGUUUCCAACGGGUAAAGCUAGGUAUUUGGAAAAUGACUAUUUUCUAUGGGUAAAAGAAAGUGCUUGAAAAAUAUCUCAUUUGCUCACCCACAUUAGAGAACUCUAAGUAAUGGGCUUGGACUUUGGUGCUCCCAAGUAGCUAGCCCAAAGUCUCCAUUAUCCAAGAGUUUCCGUGGGCCUUGUGGACCUCCGUAACCUUCCACACCACAAUCCCUCAUGCAAGCCUCGUAAACCACAUGACUUGGGUUCACGUGAGCUUGAUAGGUGAUUGGCAUGAAAAAAAUGUAUUAUUAGUUUGACAUGUGCACUAUUUCUAUAUUUAUUUAAUAGAUCAAAUCCCAAAAUAUAGCUUGGAUUAAUGCAUGACCGUCAUUAAAUGUUAUAUUGGGCCUUAAAUGUCUUUGGGCCUCAACAAAUUCAAAUCAAAUCCUACAGAAGAAAAAAAAAAUUACAAAAUAAAAAAACGUGGCUAAAAGUUUCAGGUGACGAAAAUUGAAGUUCGUCGCCAAAACCUUUAAGUAACCAAAUAUUUUCGUCGCCUAACUUUAAUUGGUCGUCUAUGAAGGGUUCCCUCUAAAACACCAAAUGUUGGUGUGUGCUUAAAGGGGAUUAGGCAACCAUAGCUAUUUGUUCAUCGCCUUUAGACUCUGACAACUAAUGGAUUUUGUCGCUAAAAUCUGCACUUGAUGUUUUUGCUUUUUUUAAUUUUGUCACAGGAAGAAGUUUUCUUACAAACAAUAAAUAAACAUAUUUUAAUUUUAGGAAACAAUAGAUUUAGGUAAACUAAACCAAUAGAAAUGACAUUAAAGUUUUUCACAUUCAAAGGUACAUGAGCAUAGUAGUCAUUUUAAGUACACAUAAAAGGUAGUACGCUAUAUCCAAAAAAAAUAAGCAAAAUGAAUAAAGAACUCUCCACAUUAUUAUUGCCCUUUGUAACCCCAAGUUUUGCAUUCAUUAUUUCUCCACAUGAAGACUCUCCCGCGCGGAGGGGGGGUGGGUGUGGUCGGGAUCUGAUCUCUUGGAAGUUCUAAUCUCUAACAAUUAUUGCUUCACCUCAAACUCAUCCAUCAUCUUCCUCUACAAAAGAAACAAAAUAAAGCGACAUCAAUAUGUUCACAUAUAUAAAUAUGUAUAUACAUAGUACUACAAAAGACAAAUUGGUAUAAUGUGGUACAUCUUUGAUCUAUUCCAUUGGAACCAUCACUUCUUUUAUUGCUAUAUAUGCAGAUGUGCAGAAGUACAAACAAGCCCAAUUUAAAAUUUCCAACUUACAUACAUAUACAUACCAUCAAGAGAAGACAAACUUAAACUCAAAGCAGACUAAUUUCCUUAUAAAAAUGGAGUUCAUAUAAGUUAAUGCACUUUAACUUAAACUGAAGAAAGAAAACUUACUCUUGCGUAUCUUUGGCCCUGCUCUCAGUGAUCUCAGACUUAUUAUUUUUGAGAGGCAAAAAACAGGAAAGUUAUAACCAUAAGGAUAGAAAGAAUAGUGAAAGUUUUGGUGCCUAAUCAUAUUCCUUUUGCCAGUCCGAUAUAGCAAUUCAUAUUCCUUUCCAUUGAUGGUGCUACAAUAUGCAUCUCCUGUGCCAUCAUCAUUGACUAGAAACUCUAAGCAUACAGAAAAUCAGGGGAUAAAACAAACAAGAAGUACAUCAAAAAAAGAAAAAGAGAAAGAAAAACUCUCUACAGAAUUCUGCUGCAAAAGGUAGCCCUCUGGUCUUAAAAUCAUGGAUGCAUUACCAGCUAAUGUAAGUAGUAAUUUCAACCUUUCUACAUAUUGCCAACCUAAAAAUGUGAGAACUACUUGAACAAGAUUAAAAUUGACAACAAAAAAAUAAUAAUAAUAAUAACCUGUUAAACAGCUGUAAGUGAUCUUGUUGUAUGAUCAAAUUAUUUCUCUCUGUUCAAAAAGACAAUAAAAAUAAGAUAAGAUCUCCUCUCUCCCCAACAAAAAGAAAUGGAUCUAUAUGGGAAUGUUUAUGCACAGUCUAAACCAAGAAAACUAAUUUUAGAAAAUACAAACAUAGCAAAUCACUUAAUUUUGAGAGAGCCCAAAUAUUUUGGAUGCAUUUAAUUUUAGAUUUCGUGGGUAACCAAAAUUCAAAAAGGGGCAACCAAAAUUGCAUUUGGUCUCAAAUUCAUUGAACAACGUCGAAAUAUUUUGGUCACCCUUCGAAAAGAUUUUGUCCUCGAUCAGUUGGUUGAAGUCUUAAUCCAUGCUUGAAUCUCACAAAACUUUUGGUGACGAAAUUACAAAAUGUCCUUGCUAAUAACCCUAUUAGGCGACCAAAGUUACGUUGGUCACCAAAAAAUUGGUCGCAUAAAAGGUUUUUUCUUGUAGUCAUCUAACUAAUCCUACUACAUGUACUGGAACUCUCUUUCCAAUUCCUACAAAGACAUAGUCUUGAUCUUUACUUGUUUUCUUCUAGCUUACGAAGUCCUACAAGGAAUUAGCAAUAUGGAUUGAUGAUCCAGUGUAAUUCCGCUAGGAAUUAGAAGGAACAAUGACAUUACUAGACUCAAAACAAACUAGGACAUAGAAAUUUGGUUUUACAUUUAGUUUUCUUUUUCUCUAUCCAAUGCUUGUAUCUGGUGCAAUCUCUCUUAAGAUGACCUGUCUAUCCCAGAAGUAACGCUUAAAAACAGUAAUUUUAUUUGCAUUCAAAGUGUUAGACCCUUUAGGAGGAGGAUAGGCCUUUGAUUUAUCUUUAUUAGUCGUAUAGUAUGACGGUAUUUUGGCUUAGAAUGAUGAUGUUUAGGAGCAUGAGCGGUUAGUUGCACAAUGUUGACUUUUCUUUCUCCUUCUUAAUCCUAGCUUCUUCUUGGACCCAAACUGAGGUCAGGUCAUUGAGAUCCCAUUUGUCUUUCUAUGCAUUAUAAAUCACCUUGAGUUUAGCUUACUAAGAAGGAAGUGAAUUCAAUGCAAGGUGAACUAAGAAAGGGUCAGCAAUGGGAAUUUCCAGGACUUGAGUUCCUGGCUACUUUAAUCAUACUCAGAAGAUACACCCUCAUAUCCUAUAUCUCGUCUUAUCUCAUAGUUACCAGCUUGCUCAUCAAAUUUCCGAGUUUCAGCCUUUUGUAAUUCUUUGAACUUUUUACUCACAGCCUCAAGUACUCCUUGGAAUUUUCAUAUUCUGGAAUUCCUCCACAGACAGCUUCUAUCAUAGAUUUCUUCAUGAUCAGCAGACAGAUCAUGUUAGCCUUCUCCAUUUCUCGAACUUCAACUUUUGUUUAGCAGUAGUGAUAUAUGGUUUCUCUUCCCUUAGAGCCUAAUCAUGAUCGAGAAGACCUAAAGCUAUCUCUAAAUCUUGUUUCCACAUCUUAAAAUUGCUACCAGGCAGUGGUUCAAUUGAAUUGAUAGCAGAGGGGGAUUCACAACUGAAAACAUGGAAUUAUGUAAUAUGUUUAAUCUUUAUCCCCGAAUCUCUUUAUGCACAUGUGUGACAUUUGUGGACAGAAUAUCAAAUAUGCAUUUUGUUUCCCUCACAAGUGCAACAACAUGAACUGCUAUGCUAUGAUAAGCUUGUAUCAAGUCAUUGGAGGAAGUAAGCUUGAAAAAGAAGAAAAAAUAUCUAAUUUUAGGCUCACCUCCUUCCAGCAUUGUUAGAUUCUUAUGCUUGAAUCAACUGUUUGAUAUAGACAAAAAGAUAGAGAAUUAGAUGCCACACUUGUCAUUUUAGAAUAAAGGCAAAACAUUUCUGUCUAUAAAUUGAAGCUUAAUGCUCCUACUACUUUCAACUUGUGAUUGUAGAACAAUGAGCAGAAGCCACAAGUACCCAACCAAGCACCAAAAUGGCUCAGAUUAUUAUUCUCAUGUUCAAAGGAUGGCAAGAGCCCCUAGUGUUCUCACUGAAGUCCCUCACUAUAGCCAGACACUUUUCAACAACCAGACCAGUGUAAGAGAGGACAAUGGCGAGUAUGAGCACCAGCAAAAGCAGCACAUCCCUGAGGCUCACGAGUCAGUUGAAGUGACUGAGAGAGUCACACAGUAUGACAAGAACGGGAACUACGUCAUUUUUGAGGAAACCGUUGAUGUUGAAGCUGACAACUUCAUCGAGGGCAAGCACAAGGGAUUUGAAUUGUGCAAGUGGAAGACCUUCAAGGGGCAUUAAGGCUUUCGGAGAGCAUUGGUCAUGGAUGACUGGCAGGCAAAGUAUCUCAUAAACUAGUGUGCUACCCUACACUAGUGCCUGUCUUUUAUAGAUGUUGAAGUUCCUUGGCUUUUAGUAGGAUGCCUGUUAACACAGCUUUCCUUUCCUAGCCUACACAGAAGUCAACUUCACAAUCUCCUCCUAGCAAUUAGCCUUUCCUGCUGUAAAUUGGAUUGUAUUCAUGUCUAUAUUAUUUCAUACCUUAAGUAGAUAUCCUGUACUAGUAUAAAUAGGGACUUUGUGUAAAAUGUUAAAUACAAGGAAAUACAUUCUCUACAUGGUAUCAGCCUAACCUCGGGUUUUCUCCCUCUCCCUUAUUCGAUCCUCUUCUCCUUUAGGUCCACCUCAUGGCUUCGUCUGAAUCCACCAUCUCCCUCCCAAGCCCCAACUCUUCUCAUUUUAUCAAGAUUACUGACUCCAACUAUCUUCUUUGGCUCAACCAACUCAAACCCUUUUUAGUCAGUCAUGACCUCUGGAAAUUUAUCGAUGGCACUCAUGAACAACCUCCUGCCUACACCUCCACCUCUACCACCGAAACACCCACAACCACCACUCUUACCCAAACCAAUCCCGCCCAUGCUCAGUGGUACCAACAAGACCAACUCAUUGUUAGCUACAUCACCAGCACACUCUCUGAGUCCAUUCUCUCUCUCACUGUUGGUUGCACCUUUGCCCUGGAUCUCUGGGAGUGUCUCCAACACCACUUCUCUCAAUCCAGUAUGGCCAGUGAAUCUACUCUUCGUUUUCAACUCAUGGAUUUUCAAAAAGGCUCUCAACCAAUUGAUGCUUAUCUUCGUCAUGCUAAGUCCCUUGCCGAUUCAUUGGCUGCCACCAAUGAACCUGUCUCCCCAAAAGAACUUGUCACUGUUGUGCUUCGGGGUUUAGGACCCGAUUACAAAAUGCUCGUCAUGACAAUUCUCAAUUUUCCUCCACUUCCUGACUUUGCUGAUCUUCGUACUCGUUUGUUAGCUUUUGAAGCACAGUCUCCUUGAAUCUCUCCUAAUCAAAACACAGUGCUAAUGGCCACCUAAUCCUCUCCUCACAUUACCGGUCAUACUUGGCUCUUCCAGCAAUAGGCGCGGUGGCCGUAGUGGGUGGCGCGGUCGCGACCGUGGUGGAAUGGCUUCCAGCAGCCCCAAUGGCCUAAUCAACCGUGGCUUUCUUUUCCUCCAAGUUCUGGAUCUCAAAGCAACUGGCCUUCCUUUCAGCCUCCUUGGGCCCAAUCUGCCGCUCCUAGCAAACACUCUACCCAACCUAACUCAGCUCCUGGUGUCUUGGGACCCGCUUGGUGCACCACCUGCAAUACCAAUCAACAUACUACUGCAACAUGUCCCCAUCACUACAAUGGCCCAGAAUCCUUUCCUUCCUUUGCUGGGGCUCAAUUCAUGCAGCCACCUGACUCUAAUUGGUACCCUGACACAGGUGCCACUCAUCACAUGACUGGUAGUCCUUCUAAUCUCCAAAAUCAACAGCCAUAUCAGGAUAAUAAUUCUGUAUUUCUUGGUAAUGGAGAUUCUCUCUCUAUCUCUCAUACUGGCUCUCUUCCUCUUCCUUUAGGUUCUCACAAAUUUUCUCUUCACAAUGUCUUUUGUCUUCCAUCUAUUCGUACUAAUCUUCUUUCUAUUGCUCGUUUUACCCAUGAUAAUUUAGUUUUCUUUGUCUUUACUCCUGCCUUUUAUCAAAUCUAUGACUUACGUACUGGUUCGUUACUCUUUCAAGGCCCUUCUAAAGAUGGUCUUUACCCACUUUCCCUCUCAUCUCACUCAUCCAUAGUCCCCCAUGCCCUUACCACCGUGCACUCUCCUGCUUCGCCUUGGCCAUCCAUCCCAUCCUGUGCUCUCUCAUUUAGCGCCAUCUCUAGGCCUUAAAGUGUCUCAUGCUUUCUGUAAGGAUUGUGCACUUAGCAAAUCCACCAAAUUGUCAUUUUUUAGUAAUAAAACCUUUGCCCCAUCUCCCUUUUAUUUAAUUCACUCUGAUUUAUGGAUGUCCCUGGUCAUUUUUGUCACUGGUUAUCGCUAUUAUGCCUUGUUUACAGAUGACUUUUCUUAGUACUCCUGGAUCUAUCCUCUGCACCGUAAAAAUAAGGUCUUUUCUCACUUUCAAACCUUUCUUGCCAUGGUUAAAAAUCAAUUUCACACCACUGUACAAAUCCUUCAAAGUGACAAUGGCACUGAAUAUGUUAAUAAUGCUUUCACUGAUCUUUGCAAUCAACUAGGCAUCGACCAACGUUUCUCAUGUCCCUACACUCCCCAACAAAAUGGCCUAGCUGAACGUAAACAUAGACAAUUUCCACCAUGAUCCGUACCCUCCUUACCACCUCUCACACUCCCUACAAUCUCUGGGUCGAAGUUGCCCUCACUGUUGUCCAUCUCAUAAACCUCUUACCUACUCCUAAUCUUCAAUGGGACACUCCAUACAAUCGUCUCUUCCAACAUCCUCCUUCCUACUCUCAUCUCCGAGUGUUUGGGUGUUCUUGUUUCCCUUACCUUGGAUCAUAUACUGAAAAUAAACUCACCAACCACACCCUUGAAUGUGUUUUCCUUGGAUACAGUUCUCACCACAAAGGUUACCGUUGUUUACAUCCCUCCACGGGUCGUGUUUACACGUCCCGUCAUGUUUUAUUUAACGAAAUGCAUUUUCCAUUUGAGGAUUUGUAGGUAUCAUCUUCUUCAGAGUAUGUGGAUAUUGAAUCCUAACCAAUUUUCACUACUACAAAAAAGCAAAAAGACGACGGUAAAUCACCGUCGUGUAUUUGGUUUUUCAAUGGUCGUGGAAUCCACCGUCAUCUUUUCCCUCAUAAACCACGACGCUAAAUAACCGUCGUUGUUAAACAAUACAACGUCAUCAAAAAAUACAAAACGACGUCUUUGUACUGCAAAAGAUCUAAAAAAAGCAAUCGAUGAUGAUAAUAGACGACCAAUUCUCUAAAAAGACCGUCGUUAAAAAGGGAAAAUAUGACACAUAUUAAGAGAACAAGGCCGCAAGAUAGACAUACAACGACGACAAUAAAAAUACGCCGACGUUAAAUAUAAUUUUCACGACAAUAAAAAAUAUGACGUCUUUAAAUACAUUAGAAGACGACGUUAUUGAUACCUACUACGUCGCACAUAUAAACACAACCGUCGUACAAUUAAUUUUCCACUUCGAUUUUUUGAUAAAAGAUGACGUGGAAAUAGUUGUCAGUGUCAUUAUUUACGACGUAUGUGUUUCUAUAGUAGACGUUGAAAAACUAAACAACGUCAGUUACAAAUAUAUGAGAGUCGUAUUAAAAAAUUUAUACGUCCUAUUUUCAGAAACAAACAACGACCAUAAAUAUUAGACGUUGUUAAAUACAACAACGUCGGAAAACAAUAAAAACAGACGUGUUUAGUCUGCUAAAGUUCUACAACGUCUCUUAUUUACAAAAAACCGUCGUGAAAUAAAUUUUCCACUUCGAUUUUAUCUAAAAAAGAUGACGUGGAAAUAGUUGUCAGUGUCAUUAUUUACGACGUAUACAUUUAUAUAGUCGACGUUGUAUUUAUAUGUAUUCAUUACUCACGACGCACUUAAUAAUAUAGACGACGUUGAACGUCUAAACAACGUCGGUUCCAAAUAAAUGAGAGCCGUAUUACAGAACAUAUAGACGGCGUAGAUUAUGAUGGGAGCCGUAUUACAAAUAACGUCGUUUAAUUGUUAUUAGACGGCGGUUAUAAUGAAUUUCCGUCGGAAUUAAUUUCGUUCCUCUUCGUUUAUAAAAGAACUUGCGACGUGGAAAAUGUAUGAUGACGUCGUAUUUUUUAACGUUCAGAUUACAUAUCUCGUUUUUUAGACGUCGGUAUUAUGGGAUUGGAGUCGUGUUAUUUUGAAUUACAUGGCGGUUCUUUAUCCUUCACCGACGUGAUAUCCUGAAUAAUUGCUUCACAAUAGCGUCGUGGUUCUUCAUUGUUACGUUGCUUUAAGACGUCGGUAAAUAUGCUGAAUAACUGAUUCACAAUAACGUCGUGUUUUAUUUGAACGUAGAAAGUGAAGAAAUCACAUUACAAUAUAUUACAAAAUUAAUGUCAUACACUGCCAAUUACAUAAGCAUCAUUCAAUCCAUAUAUCUUCACACCCAUCUCGAAUAUUUUGACCGCCUAACUCACCUACCAGUUCAUCAAAUGUGUCAACAUUUGGCAUCCCUCUAGUAAAUGGCUCACACUCAAUUAUCACAUCACCUAAUACUUCAUCACCAAUAACAUCAUUAUAUUCUCUACUAGGCAUUGAUAACACUACCGACCAACCACGAUGCAUCGGGUCGUCAACAAAAAAUAUUUGUUUGACUUGAGAAGCCAAAACAAAUUGGUCAUUCCUAUGUCCAAUUUUACUCAAAUCUACAAGGGUAAAUCCAAGUUCGUCGACUACAAGACCAGAACUAUCUAUCCAAUCACACCUAAAGACUGGGAUUGUAAACUUUUGGUAGUCAAGGUCCCAAAUUUCUUGAAUGACACCAUAGAAACCCAUAUUUGAGAGAAUUGGGUUUUUAUCCUUGGCACUAGCAACUUGCAUGGUAUGUGCAAGUAAAUAAACUCCACUAUUUUGAGUUGUCCGCACAUCAUCUUGUGCCUUGAUAUUGAAUUUAAUACCUUUAAUAAGAUAGCUCCUAUAUAAUGGCACUGACAUGUUUGGACCAGCUGCUAGCCACCUUAAAUUUUCUGAUACGCCAUGAUUGUCUUCCUCAACUUCACUUUGAACCUGCAAAUUAAUCAUAUCUUAAUUCAUCCUAACAUAUAAAUAAGAAGAAAAUUAAAAGAGAAAUACGUUAUUCAACAACAUAUACCUUGAAGCGUAGCCAUUGAAUGAAAGUGCUAUUGUGCUUAUCCUGCAGCCACUUUGUUCUCUUUCUAAAUUUUGGAUAAGCAGUCUUGAUGUGGAUCAUAUGUUGCCUACAUGACACGAAAAAUUCAAGCAUUACGGUCCCAAAUAUAUAAGAUAAACAUAAGAAAUAAUUUUAAAUGGAAACUUAAAGAAUAAAACUCAUACGUACUCGAUAUAAGGUAGGACUUCCUCCGUAUUCUCCAAGACAUAUAGAUGUGCUUGAUUCAACAGGUCCUGAUCAACUACGCUCACUGUGCAACCUGAUAAUGGCUUUGAAACUCCCAUCUUUUGGCUUGAAGGCACUCCAACUGUACUAACAUCAGAUAAAUGCUGAGUACAAAACUCUACCGCUUCUUCAGCUAUAUACCGCUCAGCAAUGCAACCUUCGGGACGAGUACGAUUCUGAACAUACCCCUUCAGCACUUUCAUAUAUCUUUCAAACGGAUACAUCCACCUAAAAUAUACUGGCCCACAUAGACGAACUUCUCUGACAAGAUGUACUACUAGAUGAACCAUGAUAUCAAAGAAUGAAGGGGGAAAGUACUUCUCAAGCAAACACAGAGUAACUACUACAUCUUCUUCCAACUUAUCUAGCUUGGAAACAUCAACAGUCUUUGCACAUAUAGCAUUGAAGAAGAAGCACAAACGAGUUAUUGCAUACCUUGCAGGCUUCUCCAAAACAGAACGAAUUGCCACAGGGAGCAAUUGUUGCAUUAAGGUAUGACAAUCAUGUGAUUUAAGGCCAAGAAGUCUUGAAUCUUGUACAGAUACAAGAUUUUUAAUAUUUGAAGAAUAACCUUCAGGGACCUUCAUACCAUAGAAAGAAUUGCAAACCUCUCUCUUCUCUGCUCUUGACAAAUUCCAAGGCCCAGGAGGCAAACGAGUACGUCUUUCUCCAUACUCGGGUUGCAAAUCAGUUUUGACCCCCAUGUUCAAUAAAUCUAAUCGAGCAGCAAUCCCAUCUUUAUUUUUUCCAGGGAUCUCCAGCAAUGUACCAAUGAUACUAUCGCAAACAUUCUUCUCAAUGUGCAUAACAUCUAGGGCAUGCCUCACAGGAAGGUAUUUCCAAUACUCGAGAUCAAAGAAUAUUGAUUUCUUCUUCCAACAAACUCUGUCACCAUUUUCAACCAUAUGCAGCACUUCUUCUCCGGUUAAUGGCUCUGGAGGUAUGCCAUAUUCAGGUUUCCCAUUAAAAGCUGCACGUUGCCUCCUAUAUGGAUGAUUGAUUGGUAACCAUUUUCUAUGCCCAAUGUAACAAAUUUUGUGGCCAUUUUUCAACCUGUGACUAGGUGUAUCAUCGCCGCAUAUUGGACAAGCUUUAUAUCCUUUAACAACACAACCAGAUAAGUUUCCAUAGGCGGGGAAAUCAUUAAUUGUCCACAUUAAUGCAGCUCUGAGUGUAAAGUAUUCUCCAUUAUGUGCAUCAUACACUCCUCUAAUCCCAACCCACAAGGAUUUUAAAUCAUCAAUCAAAGGCUCCAAGUAGACGUCUAUAUCAUUUCCGGGUUGUUUAGGACCGGAAAUCAAUAAGGUUAACAUCAUGAACUUUCGUUUCAUGCACAGCCAUGGAGGGAGAUUAUAUGUAACUAAGAUAACCGGCCAACAACUAUAUCUGCUACUUAGAGAACUGUGGGGAUUGAAUCCAUCAGAUGAAAGAGCCAAUCUCAAGUUUCUCGGCUCAUUACCAAACUCAGGCCAUUUAUCAUCAAGAAGUUUCCAAGACGGGGAAUCCGCCGGAUGAGACAUCUGACCGUCAAUUGAUUUUCUAGCAACAUGCCACCAAGUCAAACUCUUAGCUGUCUCAUGUGAUUGAAACAUCCUUUUAAACCUUGGAAUUGGGGGAAAAUACCACACCACCUUCGCUGGCACACCCUCUUUCAAGAUUGCAUCUUUGCCUUCCUUCCACCUUGAGAUACCACAAGUAGGACAAUUAGUUGAAUCCUCAUACUCCUUCCUAUACAAGAUGCAAUCAUUGGGGCAUGCGUGCAUUUUCUCAUAACUCAGCCCCAAUGCACACAAAGUCUUUUUAGCCUCAUACAUGGAGGUUGGUAUUGUAUUUCCUUCUGGAAGCAAAUCGCCUUGAAGUAUCAAUAAUUCUGUAAAACAGACAUCACUCAUCCCAUGUUUUGCCUUCAAAUUAUACAACUUCACUAAUGCCGAUAACUUCGUGUACUUUCUACAACCAGGGUACACUGGUUGAUCUCCAUCCCCAAUCACAUUGGCAAACUCAUACGGAUCCGAACCAAAAUCACCAAAAUCAUUAUCAUCCAUAUCAAUUUCUUCAGACACAAAACUGUACCUACUAUGGCCAUCAUCUUCUUCAACAUUUCUGCUAGCAUUAGUAGUUGCUUCCCAAGGUUCUCCGUGAAAUGUCCAAUUCUUAUAGCUUUGGUCAAUUCCAUUAAAGUAUAAGUGAUCCCUUAUAAUUCCAACCCCAAACAACUUCAAAUUAACACAUUUAACACAUGGACAACGGAUAUGUGUUGUAGUUAGAAGAUUUUCUACAGCAAAGUUCAAAAAUGCUUCCACCCCAAACUCAUAUGCCUUCGAUCUUCUAUCCGAGUGCAUCCAUGACUUAUCCAUCUCCGACACUAUAACCUAUUAUCUAUAAUAAAGUGAAAAUACAGGCAAUGACCAUCACUAUAGCAGAUUAUACAAUGAUCUAAUCGCAAGUAAUAAACAACAGAGACGACGGGUUUUAAUCAAAAACAGACGUAUUUGGCAUAUAUAGACGACGGAUUUUCAACAGACGUCGUCUAUUAUACGUAAUACAAACGACGGUUUAUGAAAAAACCGUCGUGUAUAAGUAAUACAACGACGGUAGUUUAAAAACACCGUCGUGUAAUCGUCGUCGUACGCCUUAAAAUUCGUCGUGUCUCAGUUUAUUUUCAAGAACACAAAACCCAUUAAGAACACAACAUAUAUAUGAAACCAAGCAAGAAACCAACAUAUACAUGAAACCAAGCAUGAAAACAAUAAAUCCAUUCCCAAUUCAACAUAACAUAGGGUGAUUAAAAGAUACGACAAAAUUAAAUCCAUUCCCAAUUCAACAUAACAGAUAAUGUAAUCCAUGAACCCAUUAAACAGAAAAUCCAUGAACCCAUACCUAUAAGCAUUGGUGCACUUUGCACCUUCUCCAGAGCGGAAAAUGACAAGAUCAAAUAAAGGUGUCCUUUUGCUGGAAAUCAUUUGGAAGUUGGUGAUGUGUCUUUUUGUGUUGAUUUCCAGCAAAAGUACACCUUUAUUUGAUCUUGUCAUGAACCCAUUAAACAGAAAAUCCAUGAACCCAUACCUAUAAGCACAUUAUUAACAGAUCGCAAAGCAUAUACCUAAAACCCUUUAACAAAACAACCUAAUAUCAUUCAAUGAAUUUACAAGGGAAGAUAGGGUUUGUACUUACAGGUUGGACGAGCUCACAGAUUCGACGAGCCUGGAGAGUGCAACUUUUAAUUAGAGCAGAGUGAGAGAGCGAAAUGUUAUGGNNNNNNNNNNNNNNNNNNNNNNNNNNNNNNNNNNNNNNNNNNNNNNNNNNNNNNNNNNNNNNNNNNNNNNNNNNNNNNNNNNNNNNNNNNNNNNNNNNNNNNNNNNNNNNNNNNNNNNNNNNNNNNNNNNNNNNNNNNNNNNNNNNNNNNNNNNNNNNNNNNNNNNNNNNNNNNNNNNNNNNNNNNNNNNNNNNNNNNNNNNNNNNNNNNNNNNNNNNNNNNNNNNNNNNNNNNNNNNNNNNNNNNNNNNNNNNNNNNNNNNNNNNNNNNNNNNNNNNNNNNNNNNNNNNNNNNNNNNNNNNNNNNNNNNNNNNNNNNNNNNNNNNNNNNNNNNNNNNNNNNNNNNNNNNNNNNNNNNNNNNNNNNNNNNNNNNNNNNNNNNNNNNNNNNNNNNNNNNNNNNNNNNNNNNNNNNNNNNNNNNNNNNNNNNNNNNNNNNNNNNNNNNNNNNNNNNNNNNNNNNNNNNNNNNNNNNNNNNNNNNNNNNNNNNNNNNNNNNNNNNNNNNNNNNNNNNNNNNNNNNNNNNNNNNNNNNNNNNNNNNNNNNNNNNNNNNNNNNNNNNNNNNNNNNNNNNNNNNNNNNNNNNNNNNNNNNNNNNNNNNNNNNNNNNNNNNNNNNNNNNNNNNNNNNNNNNNNNNNNNNNNNNNNNNNNNNNNNNNNNNNNNNNNNNNNNNNNNNNNNNNNNNNNNNNNNNNNNNNNNNNNNNNNNNNNNNNNNNNNNNNNNNNNNNNNNNNNNNNNNNNNNNNNNNNNNNNNNNNNNNNNNNNNNNNNNNNNNNNNNNNNNNNNNNNNNNNNNNNNNNNNNNNNNNNNNNNNNNNNNNNNNNNNNNNNNNNNNNNNNNNNNNNNNNNNNNNNNNNNNNNNNNNNNNNNNNNNNNNNNNNNNNNNNNNNNNNNNNNNNNNNNNNNNNNNNNNNNNNNNNNNNNNNNNNNNNNNNNNNNNNNNNNNNNNNNNNNNNNNNNNNNNNNNNNNNNNNNNNNNNNNNNNNNNNNNNNNNNNNNNNNNNNNNNNNNNNNNNNNNNNNNNNNNNNNNNNNNNNNNNNNNNNNNNNNNNNNNNNNNNNNNNNNNNNNNNNNNNNNNNNNNNNNNNNNNNNNNNNNNNNNNNNNNNNNNNNNNNNNNNNNNNNNNNNNNNNNNNNNNNNNNNNNNNNNNNNNNNNNNNNNNNNNNNNNNNNNNNNNNNNNNNNNNNNNNNNNNNNNNNNNNNNNNNNNNNNNNNNNNNNNNNNNNNNNNNNNNNNNNNNNNNNNNNNNNNNNNNNNNNNNNNNNNNNNNNNNNNNNNNNNNNNNNNNNNNNNNNNNNNNNNNNNNNNNNNNNNNNNNNNNNNNNNNNNNNNNNNNNNNNNNNNNNNNNNNNNNNNNNNNNNNNNNNNNNNNNNNNNNNNNNNNNNNNNNNNNNNNNNNNNNNNNNNNNNNNNNNNNNNNNNNNNNNNNNNNNNNNNNNNNNNNNNNNNNNNNNNNNNNNNNNNNNNNNNNNNNNNNNNNNNNNNNNNNNNNNNNNNNNNNNNNNNNNNNNNNNNNNNNNNNNNNNNNNNNAUACUUUAAAAAUAAACCCCAAUAAAUAACAACCCUAAUCUCUAAACCCUAGACUCUAAACCCUAAACCAUAAAACUAGAAGUGAUUUUAUGACUCAUCAAAACAAUUUUGUUUUGGAUGGUCAUUUUAAAUUUUUGUUAUUCAAAAUGAAUUUUUUCAAGGUUUAUGUGGAAGAAAAUAUAUCAAUGACUUCAUAGGAGUUGACUUUUCAAUUUUCUGAUUUAUUUUAUAUUUAUUUUGAAUAUUUUGAUAUAAAAAUAAUAAAAUAUUCUUACCAUACAACAAACCACGUCGGUGUUAAAUAAAUUGUAGACGUUGUAAAUUGUAAUAGACUACUAAGUCGUUAAAAUGACGUCGUUAAAAUGAGAAACCAUGGCGGCUAUUUAACUAUACGACGUAAAAUAUAUAUUUUACGACUUAACCGCAGUCGUUACAUAAACGUCGUCGAUUAUACCCUGAACCCUUAAGAAAUUGAAGAUAUUGUAAACCAUUAACGACUCAAUUGUUCAAAGAACGUCGUCUAACUAUUUUUUUACGUCGUAUUUGUUUAAAACACGCAACAACAAAAUACGACGGUUAUUGACUUUAUUAGGUCGUUGGAAAAGUAUUACACGUCGGUUAAGCAAUUUGUAUGUUUGUUUUUUUUUUAAUUUAAGAAAACCUCAACAAAUUUUUACAUUACAUAUUAUAGAGAAAAUUGGUACAUUAUACAUAA
Molecule: long non-coding RNA, 90677 nt
Filed under: Prunus persica (peach)
Lineage: Eukaryota; Viridiplantae; Streptophyta; Magnoliopsida; Rosales; Rosaceae
Description: long non-coding RNA (PPER_LNC006084)
Source: RNAcentral